AAAUCAAUCAAAAUUUUAUACAAAUAAAAAGGGUACACCUCCUUGCCAACGUUAACUAGAAUAUGUCGAAUUUGCUCGUGCAUGAUGUGGGUCUCACGACAGAUAAAGCGCCUCCAUAAUAAACUACAAGACAAAUAAGCAUCCCAAUCAUAUCACUGGACACUACGCAUGGUUGUACACUAUGCAUGGUUGUUAGCGAACAUGGUUGUCAGUGAUCAAUAUCCAUAGGACAGAAAUAUCUAAAUGAAAUAACAAAUGAAGAGUGCAACUGAAAUAUUUCCAGACAACCUACUUGAGGCAUUCCAAUUUUGGUGCUUCAAAUGUAUUCUCUAAAAUGGUCUCAAACAGGGGGGGAAAACUUUUAUUUUAAAAAAUAAUUUUUUAAAAAUAAUAAAAUAUUAUUUUAUUUCAUUAAAAAAAACUAAAAAAAAACACGUUAGUGUCUAAAACGGUGAUUGCUCAAGGACGUGCCUGUACCAGUCAUUAGAGAAUGGUGAUUGCUCAAGGACACGCCUGUACCAGUCAUUCAGGAGCCAUGGCCCUGUCCUAAAGACUUUAUGCAUCCUGAGAAAACGAGCGGCCGUCUGAGGACCUUUUAAGUGGCCGUUUAACCUACCAGAAUAUUCCAUAACACCAACGCUUUAUUCUGUCAACAUUAUACUCAAAAAUAAAAUAAAAACACGUUUUUAUAUACAUUUCCAAAAUACAUGUAAACACCGCCGUUACAUUGACUUAAGUCGAAAAAACAAAAAAAACCCCACCAAAAUACAUCUUGCUUUAUCCUUACCUCAUUACAGAGGAUCUGAUCCCCUUGCAUCAUUAUAAAUAGACGGCUCAGAGCAACCUUGGAGUUGCUAUUACAUACCUGUCCCACAAUUGGUGAUUGGUGAUUGUUCUUGACGCCCCUGUCCCAAUCAUGAACCCUGUCCGGAAAGACUUUUUGCGUCCUGAAAAAACAAGUACCUGAUACCCUUUAUACUGGUAUGAUGAAAGAAGUUUUUCUGAAAUGUUUUUUUUUUCUGAAAUUAUAUUAAUAUAAUAUUUUUUAAUUUUUUAAAAUUUAUUUUUUACAGUAGCAUAUUAAAACAAUUAAAAAAAAAUUUAAAGUAAAAAAAAUUAAAAUUUAAUAAAAAACUUGUUCAAUCAAAAUCCCUUUAAAAAAAUAAAUAAAUAAAUCACAAUCCCAUUAAAGCUGAAAAAACAUAAAUAAGUAAAUAAACAAAAAGGAAUAGAAAGACUUUAAUAAAUGAAGUCUUGAUAGAUAUCACUAUUAUUUUUAUAAUUAUCAUGAAUGCUAUUAUUCUAUUUUGUUUAUUUUCCUAGAAAUCUUUCUAGAAAAGAAAUCUUGAUAUGAGAAGUCUCCGCCUGUCCCAAUAAUGAACCCUGUCCUAAAGACAUGAUGCAUUCUGAGAAAUCAAGUACCUGAUCCCCUUGAUACUUUUUUUUUAAACUGUCACUUGUACCAAGGUCUUCGGACGGCCACUUCUUCAAAACAACUUGUGAAAAAUAAAAACAAAGAUGACGGAGGAUCGCCAUCGCCAUGCAUUAUAAAUAAGAUGCUAACUUUAAUUUAGGGGUGUAGUUUCGGUUUAUUUCUCAUAAUUACCUCGAGAUUAUUAAAAAUUUAUAUAAUUAUUAAUUGUAGAACUCAUAAUGAUAUUGAUUAAGGAAUGCACAAAUUAACCUCAGCAUUCAUAUUAAUAAUAUAUAUAUAUACACACACUACCUUACAUUUACUUGAGUCGAAAAAACAAAAAAUCCCUACCAAACACGAAUUAACCCGCAUCUUGCUUUAUCCUUAUCUUAUUACAUAGGUGCACCAUCUUCAUGCACAAUGGCGGAGCCAUGUAGGGUUAAAAGAGGACAAUUCCUUAAUUUUUUUUUUAAUUUUUUUCAUAUUACAAUAUUAAUAUAAUAGUAUGGUGAGGGCUUGAGAGGUUGACACACGCAGAGACGCAAAGAAAAUAUUGUUGACUUGUAUUUUAAUAUAAUAAAUAAUAUAUAUAAUAUAUGUCUUAUGUUUAGGUUUCCAGCACUCACUCCAGCUCAUUUCUUAUUUCCCCAAACGUUUUCCACUCACUAUCCGAGAACUUUUCUAUUUUUUUUGAGCUGCUGUUCCUUAUACAAAUUUUUCUUCAAGUCCAAUUAAGCAAGUAACUUUUUCUAUUUUAGAUAAAUUUCCUUCAUUUUUUCUAUUUAUUUUAUUAUCUAAUUUUAAUUUUAUUAUUUUAUAAUUAAUUAUUGAAAAUAUUAAGGUUUAUAAUAAUUUAAGGGUUUUGAUAUGUAUAAUGUUUUGAAUCAAUUAAAGGUAAAUGGUAGACACAGAAAGAUUUUGAACAAUAGACAUUGAUUUGAUUGUUUUGAAUUAAUUAAAGGUUAUUUAAUCUCCAAUUGAAUUGAUUAUAAUAUGAAAUUAAACCUUUUAAUGAGAUGAACAAGCAAACAUUCCAAUUAUUAUCGGUGAGUAAAGAUUGAUAUUUGUAGAAUUAAAAUUGCUUUAGCUUGAGAUUGGUUCCUUUUAUGAUGUUAAUUUCCUUGUGUCUUCCUAUAAAAUAAUCAGGACCGAUGAUUAAAUAAUUCAUAUUUUAUUUGUUUUUUUUUCUUUUUUGUUUUCGUCAGACAAUUUGAGUUUUGCUGGAGCCUGGAGAAGAAUUAACGCGUGCGUGCAAGCCUGAUUUUAUUAAGUGCAUGUUAGUUUUUUCUUAAAGAAGGAAAGAAAAAACUAUUUUUUAUAAGUUUUUUCAUUUUAAAGGUAUUUUUAAAUUAAUUUUGUUUUAUAUGAGUUAAUAUAUUUAUUUCGAAUUAAUUUCUAACACAUGUUUAUAUAAUAUAGUAUUUGUUAGAAAUUUGUUCUGUCAAUUUAAAAAUUCUGGUCCAUGCAUCAUGAUAAAUAGAUGGCUCAUUAUGCACGAGGCACACAGCAAAAUAUUUUUAAGCUUAUUUUAUUCAAAUAAAACCGUCUUACAAGUGCGUCCCUGUGAAUAGUUGCCGAGUAAAUUGGGGUACAAGGCGGCACAGCGAGGUCAAAGUUUUCUGAAGGUUAUUUUUUAAAAUAUUUUUUAAUAAAUAAAUAUAGAAAUCAUUUUAGAAAGCAGAAUAAAAAGCCAAUGCCAAUCGAGAAAUGGCAAAAAUCAUUUAAAAAUGGGGGCACGAGUGAGAAGCCGUCAUUGUCAGUCCGCAUGUCGUAGGUGUUGCCAUUUGAAGAAAAGCAGCAUGAGACUUCAUAGGGAAAAAAAAUGAAGAAACACAAAACUUUAUUAUUUAUUUGCUCAUGUGGUGGGAUAUUGAUAGUGAGCUAGGCUUCAAGUUUCCAAUCGCUCGGCCUCAUGAUGCUAUAUUGUAACCCCAAAAGAAAGGAAUAAAGCUUGGGUUAUAUAUUUGAGAUAUCAUCUCACAAAUAAAGAAUGAAAUGAUCAAGUGUCAUAUCUCAAGCCUUUCACUCAGCCAUCUUUGGUAUUGCAUUUCAAAUCUUGAUAGGAUAAAAUUUGAUUUUUUUUAUUUAAAAUUAUUUUUUUUAUUUUUUAAUCAUUUUGAUAUGUUGAUAUUAAAAAUAAUUUUUAAAAAAUAAAAAAAUAUAUUAUUUUAAUACAUUUCAAAAUAAAAAAUACUUUAAAAAACUAUAUCUAUCACACUAUAAAUAAUCUAAAAAUACAAACUUUAGAGAUUUCAUUCUACUUGCCAGUUCCGUACAAACAUGUUGGACUUUUUAUAUGGUGUCAUGCUCCCAUUUAAAAUGAUGUGGUAGAUGAUGGGGUAGUGAUUGUGGUUUAAAGUUAUAUGGUGUCAUGCACCAUUUAAAAUUAUGUGGUAGUGAUUGUGGUUUAAAGUAUUUUUCGUUUAAAAAUACAUUAAAAUAAUUUUUUUUUUAUUAUUUAAAAAAUUAUUUUUAAUAUUAGCACAUUAAAAUGAUAUGAAAAUAUUAAAAAAAUAAUUUUAAUAAAUAGCUAUUUUCACGCAUUCCAAGACACACUUAAUCGGCUGCCUAUUUCUUUUCGGACAAUGACAAUUGACUCAAGUGGCCAACACAAACAAAUCUAUGUGAACGUGCAUUGUUAAAGAAUAAUAAUAAUAACAAUAAUAAUAAUAAUAAUAAUAAUAAACUCGUUUGAUUCAUGUUCUUAUAGUUUUUAAUCCCUUCAAAUAAAAUAUAUGAUUUUCUACACUAACAAUAAUAUUUUAUUUUAAAUUUAAUAAUAAUAAUUAAUUAUUAUUAUUAUUAAUUUACCGUUCAAAUCAAAAAUAUAGUUGUUUUUUUCAAUAUUAAUAACAUGUUUUUCAAAUUUAUUAAUUAUUAUAUGAAUAAUAUUAAUCACAAUAAAAAUAAUAAAAUUUAUAAUAUUAAUAAUAAUAUUAAACUUGUUUAACCCAAGUUUAAGUGGGUCUCGAUGCAACGCUAUGCCUAAGAGCUUUGAGUCCCUCUUAAACACUAGACCUAAAACCCUUUAGUCUGACAGCAACGACGGACCCAUUCAGUGGCGGAGCCAGGAUUUUUUAAAUGAGGGGGCAAAUUACUAAUAAAUAUUUGAUAUUAUAUGAUAUAUAGACAAGUGUUAUAUAAAAAAAUUAAUUUAAAAUAUAUGUCUCAACUCAAGUCAAGUAAAAUUAAUUUAAGAAUACUUUUAAAAUAAAAAAAAAACUUACAUUAUAAUUGUUCUCUUUGAGAUUUUAUAUUUUAAAACUGCUCAUAAUGAUUUUAUUUUUAAUCUCAUUAAAAAUAUAUUUCUCAAUAUAUACAACAAACUUUCAUUUAUCUAUUUCUAAAUCUUUCUAGGAUUAGGAAAGUUCUUGGCAAGAAUUAUAUGUUGACAUCUGAUACAUAACAUCUAAAAUCAUAGCUUAAAAGGAUUGUCACAAAUUAAUGUUGUUCUUACUGACUUGUUGUUUUGUAGAAGUUGAUUAAACAUAAAUAUUAAAUGUUUUCUUUUUAAUUUAUCUAUUAUGUCCCUAAUUUUUUGAGUUGUCCUGUACUUCAUUUUUAAUCACUAGUAAAUUCAUCACCAUCAUUUUUCAUAUGAAAUUCAUAGCAAAAUACUUAUUAAUUCAUAAAAACUCAUUUUAAUUCAUAUCCAUUAGCUUAUAAUAUUACCAAUACACAUAUUAAUUCAACAAACCCAUAAAUUAUUAUAAACCUCAACAUUUUCAAUAACUAAUUAUAAAGAAAUAAAACUAAAAUUAGAUAAUGAAACAAAUAGAAAAGAUAAAGGAAACUUCCCUAAAGCAUAAAGCAUAAGAGGUUACUUACUUAACUAAUUAAUAGCUUAGGGCUUGAAGAGAAAUUUUGUAGAAAAAAGAGAGAUAGAGAUAAUAGUAAAAAAAAGAAAAAGAGCUUGAAUUAAUUAGGAGCUAACAAAGAAAAUUAACCAUGUAAAACUAUUAUAUUAAUAUUUUAAUAUAAAAAAAUACUUUGAAAAAAAAAUUAAUAAUUUAUUAACAAGUGACUUGGGUCUGACGUCCCUGCUAGGCCUAAGCAACUUGGGUCCCAUGUUCCUUUUCAAUCCCAAGUUACUUGGGUUUGGAAGGGGAUGCUAGAUCUAAGUUAAUAAUAAAAUUAAUAACAACAACAACAACAAUAAUAAUUUAUUUUAAUUUUCAAAUCAAAUCUAUGUUUUGUUUUUUUACAGUAAUAAUAUUAAUUUCAAAUUUAAUAAUAUUAAUGCAUUUAAUAAUAUUAAUAAUGGUAUUAAACUUGUUUGAUCCAAGUUUUUAUAGUUUUUAGUUCCUCAAAAUAAAAUUUAUAAUUUUUUUCGAUAACAAUAAUAUUUUUUUCAAAUUUAGUAAUGAGAAUAAUAAUAAUAAUAAUUUUUAAUUUUACUGUUUAAAUCAAAUUUAUAGUUGUUUUUGAAUAUUAAUAGUAUAUAUUUUUUAAAAAAAUUAUUAAUUAUUAUAUUAAUAAUAAAAUUUAUAAUACAAAUAAUAAAACUUAUAAUAUUAAUAAUAAUAUUAAACUUGUGAGGCUAAAAACCCAAGAUCAAGUGGGGCUACAAAACUCAAUAACCGAAGGCCUCCAUUGUAAAGAAAAGAAUAAAGCUUGGGUUAUUUGAGAUAUCAUCUCAAGCCUUCAAAGUCAGAACUUUAGAGCUUUGAUUGUACUAGUCUUUUAUACAUGGUAUUUGCGGACAAUGACAGCUAGUGAAGUGGCUAGCGCAAAUUAAGCGAGAUGAAUCGAUCCCCACCCCUUUGCAGACAAUGCCAGGUACUUCUUUAAAUCAAAUGACAAAUUAUUAUAUUACCAUCAACUUGAAAAAGGGAAUCAUCGUUUUGAACUAAAGUGAACUUAAUUAUCUUUCAAGUUGUUCGUCAUAUUGUUAAUGCUUUGCGCUGGGCACUUUAUUCAUCAUUAGAAAGCAAGUAGCUUAUAAAUAGAUCCUAAGUAUACACGAGGCACACAGCACACAAAAUUUCAGUCCUCUCCAAGUGUUCCUUUGGUCACUCACUUGCAAUUGGUCUUUGAUAAAUGGCGAGAUUCUCAAAGGUACUCAGGAAGACUGAUAUUAAAAAGAGACUCUCAGUGCCGACCGGGUUUCUCAGCUCUCUUCCAUCUUUUAACGGUGGUGGUCAUGCUGUAGAUUUUCAAGCUGUAGAUGGAAGUGGCCGUGUUUGGGCCUUCAGAUGCUCAAUUCGCAAGAAAGGACAUCCAAAACCAGUUAUUUCAAAGGGUUGGCUCGCUUUUGUUCAUAGCAAGAGCCUUAAAGUUGGUGACAAGGUCCAGUUUUUGAGGGAGAAAAACGAAGCUGGCGCCAAAACGCAUGCUUACGAGAUUCGGGCUGAGAAAGAAAUCAAGAUAUUUGGUGCUGUUUUCGGAUAUGCACCCAUAAUAUAGCUCCAUUUCCGUGCAUUAGGGCUGAUAAGAGUAGUCUGCUUUUGGCUCGGCAUGACUACCUCAGCCUAAAGACAUCUCAAACAGGGCUUGUUUUUGGUAUUUGUAUUUAACAAAAAGAAAAUGUUCAAACCUAGCUAUGCUGUUGCUGUGCAUGUUCUUGUUCUUGUAACGUUGUCUACAUGUUACCGCUGUUCUAUAUUUCGGUGCUGUCAACUUUAGUUAUUAUCAAAGUAAAAUAAAGUUUCAAUUUGUACGUGUCAAACAAUGUGAUUGUGAGACAUUUUACUAUGUCUCAAACAGUGAUUCAAGUUCCAUUUCUAAUAUUUUCUUCUCGCGAGAGGCCAUGGUUUCUUUUGUUCGUUUUUUUUUUUACUCCAUGUUCAGACAGAUGACAGAGGAGAGGAUGCACCGAGCAGGCAGAAGAAAAAUGAGAGAAGGGUGCCGCGACGGAGAAAGACUACAACAUAGGCAGCAGCACCAUCACAAACAAGCGAGUUUCUCACAGGUUAGGAGGUGGCCAAUCAGUGAACAACACGUCAAAUCAGCAUCACCACCAGCAGAAUCAGAAGGUCUGUCACCACCGGAGAGCUGGAAAGUGCAAUAGAUUCCCAUGUCCGUCUCUCCACCGUGAACUCCCAGCACCGCCGCUGCAUUCGUCUGUGAACGGGGGAGGAGGAGGAGGAGCGAAGAGAGGGUUUAUCGGAAAUGAUUCGUCGAUAAACCCUUCACCUGGUAGCAGCCCUUUCUUAAACAACUCAAGAUUUCUUUUGCACUUGAAGGGAAAUUAGGCUCCUACACAUUUGCGUUGACGAUUCGAACCAUGAUUUUUAGAUUCGUUUUCCUACAUUUUUCACCUAUAGACCAUUGAUUCAUGCUUUUGCUCUCUUUUUUCUCUGUAUAUGUGGCUUCUCCUCUACCGCAUACCCACCUUUUCUUUACCUCAGAUCGCGUUUUUCAAUUCAUCUUUCAUUUUGUAAACCAGAUCACUGGAAGAGAGAAUAAGCACAAAUUUGUGGAGAGAAUGAUGAUGGUGCUGCAGAUGGCUUCUGAAAUACUAGAGACUGGACGAUGGUUGUAAGAGGGAUAAUAUUUUAUUUGGAUGGUGGUAGGUAAAAAUUGUUUUUUAAAGUAUUUUUAUUUUAAAAAUAUUUUAAAAUAAUAUUUUUUGUUUUUAAAAGAUUAUUUUUUAUAUUAAUAUAUUAAUUAAUUUUAAAAAAAUUAUUUAUAAAAAAAACAAUUCAAAAUGAUCUUUAAAUCAUCAAACUAGUUCUUGAAUUGUUAUCAUCCAAACACAAAUGCGAAUCAUUUACUAGUUCUUGAAUUAGCAUUUACAAUUGCGAAUCAUUUCCAUUUUAUAAAUUCAUAGAACAGUUCUAAAUCAAAUCUCUUUAGAAAUAAAAAAAUCCCUUGAAUGAUGUAAGCUCACUCCAAUCCUCUUACAAAAUUACGGAUUCAUUUGGCAUCAUUAAUUGAGGCAAGUAUCUCAAAUCAACACAAUUAGGAGAUAUCAGUUUAUUGUUAUAUAAGAGUUUUUGCACCGUGGAAGAAUUUAACAAAAAUUUAUUUUAACCUUGCCAAGAAAGCCAUGGACAACCCCACAAAACACUAUUUUCACAUUUUCUAGUUCGUCACGUCAUCAAAUCACAUAGUUUUUGAUGGGUUAGCUUGGUAAAUAAAAACAAUGUUAUUCUAAAUUUGUUUUAAAAAAAAAAUUAAAAUAGUGUUUUUUAAAAAUAAAAUAAGAAUUUAUUGAGAAUUUACUUGGUAAGUCUAUAUAUUUCAUCACACUUUGUCAAUUUCCACCUAUUUUUCUUAAACCCCAGUACACCAAGUCUUUAUUCAAUCAGAUCCUGGAUCUAUUUACUAAGGCAGGUUUAGAGUGUAUUUAUUUUUGUAAUUGAGAUUUGAAAAAACUAAGUUUAGAAAAAAUAUUUUUAAUUGUGGUUGGAUUAAUUUAAAUAAAUAUUUAAUUAAAACUGUGGUUGAAAAUGUUGUUAAACAAAAAUUAUAUUAAAAGACCAAGAUUUUUUUUAAUUUGCAUGGAAAUCAUAAUAUAUUAGAAUAAGAACAAUAAUAAUAAAAAAAACACUACUUUUUGUUGGGAUAAAUGACCAUAGCAUCACAAGAAAGAAUGUUCUUUAUUAGACUAAGUUCAGAACUCAGUAAAAGCAUGCUGAUAUUGCUUUUUGUUAAGCUGUGGUUGGAGGCAAAUUUAUGGGUUCCACAAACUCGAAUAUAAGAUUAUGCUGAUAUUAAACUACCUUUUUUUUUUGGGGGUAAAAAACAAACCCAUUCUUAAUAACACAACACCUAAUGCUAAUUGCUGAUAUUGUCCGCUUAUAAGAAUAUGUGCCAUAAGAGGCAUCUUAGCCCAAUGCUAACCUGUGGCUGGACCACAAAUUUUAAUAGAUUUCUCAUAAGCAUAAACCUGUGUUUCAGAUGCAAUUAAAUACUUUGUUUUUUUUUACCCUCUCAGAUACAGAAGCUGCCACAAAAACAAACGCGUUAUUAACAUAACUAAACCUAAUGCUAAUUGCCCUUAGAAGAAUAUGUGCCAUAAGAAGGGAGACCCAAACCAGGGUUAUUAGGCAUCUUAGCCCAAUGGAAGAUAAAUAAUACAAAGCUCAGAUCUUUUAAGUAAGCCCAAUAAUGAUUUCAGCCACCAGCCCAUAGGAAACAAGAUGAAGUCCAAUUAUUAGAUGCGAGCACAGGCGUAGGGCAAAAACCAUUAGGGCGUAGCUUUGUUUAUGAUAAUCCCUCCCAUGCUCAAUACUCUUUUUUUUUUCUUUAGUUUUAAUAGUUUAUAAGAUGUAAUUAUCAUGAUAAAACAUGAUAUAUGAUAAGAAUCCUCGAGAUACAAGUUUUGAAAGCAAGACGUAAAUAUCAUAAAACUCGAUGGGAGGUUAACAAUUCUUUCAUAUUAUGGUAUUUCCUUUUAUAUAUGUAGAUAAGCAACGUGAAUAUUCAUGUAAAAAAAAAUGAAGAAAUACAAAAUUUAAUCACAAGAUCAUGUUGUAGAAUAUUGCUCAGCCUCGGAAUGCUAUAUACCACCGAAAGAAAGAGAAUAUGGUUAGGUUAUUUAAGUUAACAUCCCACAAAUAGAGGAAGGAAUUAUCACCUCCUCCUUCAAAACCAAAAUAAUUGACACUUAAUUUGUCAUAUUUCAAGCCUUUGAUUCAAAGUCAAAACCUUAGAAAUCUGAUUCAAUAUGCACCUUAGGAUCUAAAUAAUUUAUUGACAAUCUGAGCUGGAAUGUUCGAUGAAUGUAUACAUAGAUUUUGUUUUCUUUCAUGAAUAGAUUCAUGGCCCCUUAUACCCAUGGAUUUUGGAGAGUGACAAUCUAGUCAAGUGGCCCCGGUCAAAACUAAGUGAAUUAACAUUUAGUGGAUUUUUUUUAUUGUGGUGUAUAAUAUUUUUAGAAAAAUAUUUUUUAAAAAAAUAUAUAUUAAAUUAUUUUUAUAUUAGUAUUUUAAAAUUAUUUUUAUAAGAUUCAUGGCUCGAGCAAUAGUGGGCCCCAGCAGAGAGAACAGUCAGGAUAACAAGCGCUCCGCCCGUCAAGCGGGCGGCAAAAGCAGCGGCCGAGUGCUUGGCAGGCCAACAGCCACAAACACUGGUUAGACUUGUUUGUUUACUGAAAAGUAAUUUUUUUUUAAAAGUAAAUUUUAAAAAAAUAAAUUUCAAAAAAAUAAAUUAUUUUUUUAUGUUUGGUUGUAUAAUGAAAAAUAAGUUGAAAAACACUUUCCAGUGUUCAGUGAUGUCAUGGAAAAUGAGCUGGAAAAUAAUUUAUUAAUGUUUUAUUUUUCUCAAGUUUAUUAAAAUAAUGAGGAACAAAUCUUACAAAUUAAAAGGUUGAAUGAGAAUGAAAUUGAAAAAAAAUAUAAUUUCAUAAAUUAUCUCAAAUAAAAUAAAUAAUAAUCAAAAUAAUAGAGAUCAAAUCUAUAAAAAAAAAUGAAAGAUGAAGAAAUUAAAAUAAUAAUAAUUAAUAUUUCAUAAAUUAUUUCAAAUAAAAUAAGUAACAAUUAAAAGAAUGAGGACCAAAUUUAAAAGAUAAAAAAUUUCAAUAAAAAAUUUAUAAGAAAAAAGCAAAUAACAAUUAUAAAAAUGAGGAACAAACUUAAUAUAAAAAUUAAAUUUUAAGAGAUAAAAUUGAAAAAUAAAUAUUCAAAACAAAAUAUAUAUAGCAAUCAAAAGUUUGAGGACCAAAUUUGAUAUAAUUAGUAAAUAAUAUGACAUUUUUAAAUUUUUCACAACUUUCGGAAAAUGUUUUCCGCCCAAAUUUUCCAGGAAAACACUUUCCUAAAAACCAAGCCAAAUUUUCCUUCGACUGGAAAGUGUUUUCCGUUGACCAACUUUUCUACUGACAAACAAACACAGAAAAAUUUAAAAAAUAAUUUUAAAAAAACCACUUUUCAAAAAAUAAAUACAGCCUUAAUUAACAAAAGAGCUCGGAGUGUGUCUUUUACCUGGAUUCAAAUAGUAAUUUCAGUUUUUCAGUUUCUCAUUUUGCAUUUUACUGCAGAUUCAAUCUCUCAUCUUUUGCUCUCUCUUUUUUUUUCUGUGUAUGUGGCUUCUCCUCUACCGCAUCCCCACCUUCUCUUUACCUCAGUCUCAGAUCGCGUUUUUCAAUUCAUCUCUUAAUUUCUUUUUGUAACCAGAUCAGUGGAAGAGAGAAUAAGCAAAAAGUUGUUGAGACAAUGAUGAUGGCUUCUGAAUCACUCAAUAAAAAUAUUAGAGAUUGGAGGGUGAAUGUUAGAGUUAUAGCUAUUGUUAUUUAAAAUUAGCUUAAUUUGCCUUUUCAACAUUUAAAAAUACUACACCUAAUGCUAAUUGCUGAUAGGAAACAAGAAGGGAGGCCCAAACCAAGGUAAUUAGGCAUCUUAGCCCAAUGGAAGAUAAAUAAUAGAAAGCUCAGAUCUUUUAAGUAAGCCUAAUAAUGAUUUCAGCCACCAGCCCAUAGGAAACAAGACGAAGUCCAAUUAUUAUAUAUAUAUAUAUAUAUGCUAGCACAGACGUGGGGCAAAAACCAUUAGGGCGUAGCCUUGUUUAUGAUAAUCCCUCCCAUGUUCAAUACUCUUUUUUUUUUUUUAGUUUUAAUUGUUUAUAAGAUGUAAUUAUCAUGAUAAAACAUGAUAUAUGAUAAGAAUCCUCGAGAUACAAGUUUUGAAAGCAAGACGUAAAUAUCAUAAAACUCGAUGGGAGGUUAACAAUUCUUUCAUAUUAUGGUAUUUCCUUUUAUAUAUGUAGAUAAGCAACGUGAAUAUUCAUGUAAAAAAAAAUGAAGAAAUACAAAAUUUAAUCACAAGAUCAUGUUGUAGAAUAUUGCUCAGCCUCGGAAUGCUAUAUACCACCGAAAGAAAGAGAAUAUGGUUAGGUUAUUUAAGUUAACAUCCCACAAAUAGAGGAAGGAAUUAUCACCUCCUCCUUCAAAACCAAAAUAAUUGACACUUAAUUUGUCAUAUUUCAAGCCUUUGAUUCAAAGUCAAAACCUUAGAAAUCUGAUUCAAUAUGCACCUUAGGAUCUAAAUAAUUUAUUGACAAUCUGAGCUGGAAUGUUCGAUGAAUGUAUACAUAGAUUUUUCUUUCUUUCAUGAAUAGAUUCAUGGCCCCUUAUACUCGUGCAUUUUGGAGAGUGACAAUCUAGUCAAGUGGCCCCGGUCAAAACUAAGUGAAUUAACAUUUAGUGGAUUUUGUAUUUUCGUGAGUAAUAUUUUUAGAAAAAUAUUUUUUAAAAAUAAUAUAUAAUUUUUUUUAUUUUUUUAUAUCAAUACAUUAAAAACACUAAAAAUAUCUUUUCAAAUAACAAAAUAUUUUUGAAACUCAUCAAAAAAAAAAAACUAUUGUAUUUCUAAACACUCACUUAUAAAUCUACAUGGUUAUUUUGAAUAGUAACUUUGACUCUUAACCUUGAAAAACACAAUUAAUUUGUCAAGUUUUUGUAAUAAAAUAAUUUUUCAUAGAUUCAAUUUCAAUGAAAAAAAUGCAUUUAAAGGGAUAGUUACUCUCUAAAUAAAAAUAUUGUAAUGCUCAAUAGUGAUCUCAGCCACCAACCCACAUAUACCUAAAACUUGAAAAGUACAAAACAUUAUUAUUAUUAUUAUUAUUAUUAUUUAACUAAAAAUAUCUGGUUCAGUUUGCGUGCACUUUAAGUAAUUUAUUGAUAUCCUAAAGUUAAUGACCAUGUAAAUAUCUAGUGAUUUUAAAAUUUAUAGGACUCAAACUGAUAACUUUUAAAGAAUAAACUCAUAACAUGACUAGUUAGUGGCUACACCCCUUGUAAGUGAAACACAAAACAUUAUUAUUUGCUCAUGAGGUGCGAUAAUGGUAGUAAGCUAGGGUUCAAGUUUCCAAUCGCUCAGCCUCGUAAUGCUAUAUUGUAACCCCGAAAGAAAGGAAUAAAGCUUGGGUUAUUUGAGAUAUCAUCUCACAAAUAAAGAACGAAAUGAUCACGUGUCGUAUCUCCAGCCUUUGUAGCAAAGUCAGAACUUCAGAAAUUUAAUUCUACCAACCAUGUCUGGAUACUCAAACAUUUUUUAUUUAUUUCGUGGCAUGGCCGACUUAAGCCGCUACCCAUGUGUUUUCGGACAAUGACUGUCCGACUGAAGUGGCCAGCGCAAAGCGAAAUGAAUUAACAAUAUGAGAACUCUCCAUCUGGAUCCCCUUUACACUUUUAUUGAAAUAAAAUCAGAUGACAAAUUAUUUUAUUACCACCAACUUGAAAAAUGGAAUCAUCGUUUUAACAUGAAGUGAUGUUUCACUUCAUUUUGUUAAUUCAUUUCAACUGCGAUGGGCACCUGACUUAGAUUAUCAUAUAUAUAUAUAUCCCAUGAAUGCAUCAAUUUGUUUAUUUAUUUGGAUAAGCAAAUUAUAAUGAAUUUAACCAUUUAUUUGUUGUUAAAAAUAUAUAUGCAUCAAUUUGUUUAUUUAUUUGGAUAAGCAAAAAGAACCCGAGGCACAUGCCUAGUCGAGCAAGUGUAGGUUUGGCUUAAAUCAAAAGCCUACUUCAUGGGAGAGGUCUAUAUCAAGUAUAUAUCUCUAGGAAAAGGAUCUCUUAAAUAAUGUUAUCUUACAAAACUCUUGUUGCUGACUUAGCCAUACACUUUCAUAUAUGUGUAGGUUUCAUCUGACAUCAUUAAAUCCGUAUUAUGUGCCAAUAAAGUACAUGAUAAUACAUUAUAUAAGAGUUUUUGCAGCAUGAAGUUGGAAAAUUGCAAAUAAAAAAUGACAAUCUGUGAGUAUAGAUGGCAAAACCUAACAAAAACCAUGCUUAGCCCCACCACGAAAGAAAGUCAUCGCCAACACCAAAAGGCGCUGCUUUCACAUUUUCUAGCUGAUGGUUCAAGGGGUUUAGAAAUUAUUUUUUAAAAUAAUUUUUAUUUGUAAAUAUAUUAAAAUAAUAUUUUUUUUAUUUUUAAAAAAUUAUUUUUAAUAUUAGCACAUCAAAAUAAUUUGAAAAUUUUAAAAUAAAAUAAUUAAAAAAAAAACAGGUUAUCUGUGAGCUGCAACGCUUUCCUCCUCCACACCCAGUCGCCUAAUGCCAAUUGCUGACAUUGUUCACUUACUAUCCCCUGAGGUGCCAUAAGAAGGGGGACAUGAAGUCCUAUAAAUAUCAAUAUUAUUUUUAUAAUUAUCUUGUUUCAUCGGACAUGCAGCUUUUGAUAAAAGCUGAGGAAGCUUCUAUUGCCUCAGCUUUUCAGAACGCAUUUUCGCUUCGGUUGAUAAUAAAUUGUCGACAUUAAAUAUUUUUAAGCUUAUUUUAUUCAAAUAAGACCCUCUUACACGUGCGUCCCUGUGACUAGUUGCCGAGUAAAUCGGGGUAAAAGGCUGCACAACGAGGUCGAAGUUUUCUGAAGGUUAUUUUUAGAAAAAGAAUUUUAAUAAAUAAAUAUAGAAAUCAUUUUAGAAAGCAGAAUAAAAAGGCAAUGCCAAUCAAGAAAUGGCAAAAAUCAUAUAAAAAUGUGGGGCACGAGUAAUGAUGACGCUGUCAUUGUCAAUCCGAAGGUAGGUGUUGCCAUUUGUGCACCGACUCGAACUAAAUCAAGGUGUCCCAAUCAUUCGGACAAUCAACCAUACUGUUCAUAAACUACAGUGGAGUUACAUGAGUGGUUACCAUUUUGUCCUAAAGACUGUUCAUAGUCUACAAAUUAAAAUAAAAAGACAAUUGUAAUAUAAGAAGGGUGUACGCGGGGAGGGUGAGCUGAUUAUUUUUUUAAAUGUCUUUUAAUUAGAAAUAUAUUAAAGUAAUUUUAUUUAGUUUUUUAAAAUUAUUUUUGAUAUUAACGUAUUAAAAAAUUUUAAAAAUAUUAAUUUUAAAUACAAAAUUUUUAAAUUUAAAAUUUUUCAAUAAAAUGAUUGCACAUACCCAAUGACCCUGUCCUAAAGACUUUAUGCAUCCCGAGCAAACAAGUGGCCGUCUUAAGGGUUACCAGAAUAUUCCAUAAUAUAGCUAGCUCCGUUUCUGUGCAUGAAUUAGGGCUAAUAAGAUUCAUGGCCCCUUAUACUCAUGAAUUUUGGAGAGUGACAAUCUACAGGGCAAAGCUAAGUGAAUUACCAAGUAGUGGAUUUUGUAUUGUUAUGUAUAAUAUUUUUACAAAAAUAUAUUUUUAGAAAAUAUAUAUUAAAAUAUAUUUUAUAUUUUUUUAUAUCAAUACAUUAAAAUUAUUGAAAAAUACUAAAAAUACAUUUUCAAAUAACAAAAUAUUUUUAAAACCCAGCAAAAAAAGAAAUUAACUACUAUAUUUUUAAACACUCACUUAUAAUUUAAUAUAUAUUUUUAUUUACUUGGUUAACAAUUUUAUAUCAUAGCUCAAGCAUUUAUUAGCUUUAAUUAUCCAUUAUAAAAUAAAAUUGCAGUCACAAUUUUUUACUUUAAAAUAUAUAAUUUUUUUGUAUAAAUAGAAGUGAUUUAGGUUAAAGUAGAAGAUUGUUCAAACUUUUUAUUCAUAAAUAAAAAAAAUAAGUUGACAAAAAAUAAUUAAUAUUUAUAGGAAAGAAAAUAUUUUACAGAAAAUCCAAACCAAGCCUAGAAUAUGUUAAUAAAAAUUAAUUAUUUAUGAACCGUUAGAAGGAUUGGAGGCACUUGCCUAGGCGAGUGUACGUGUGGUUUAAAUCAAAAGCCUACUUCACUCAGAUCCUCUUCACAGUCCAUUUUAAAAAUAUUAGUACUCUACGAGAUUAUUUUUAAUUUUUUAUCUUUUUAUUAUAUAAACUAUAAAAAAAAUUUAUAUUUUACAUGGGAUUGCGAAUAGAUAUAGGAGAGAGCUUAUCCAUAUCAAUUAUUUAUAAAAAAUUAUCUUCGCUUUGAAUAUUAAAAAUUGAAUAAUGUGAUAAGCUCACAGUUUUGAUUGACAUGGUUUACGACAAUUGCAUAACAUACCUCAACAUUUAUAAAUUAACAGAAUCCCACACCAAAAUGCAUUGCUUCUUUCACAUUUGGUCCUCCACACCCAGUCGCCUGAUGCCAAUUGCUGAUAUUGUUCACUUAUUAUCCCAUGAGGUGCCAUAAGAAGGGGAGACCUGAGCCGAGGUUAUUAGGCAUCUUAGCCCAGUGAAAGAUAAUAAUACGAAGCUAAAAACAUUUAACCAAGCCCUAUAGUGAUCCCAGCCACCAGCCCACGGAAACCUAAAACUCGAAGAAACACAGAACUUUAUUAUUUAUUUGCUCAUGUGGUGGGAUAAUGGUAGUGAGCUAGGGUUCAAGUUUCCAAUCGCUCAGCCUCAUAAUGCUAUAUUGUAACCCCGAAAGAAAAUAAUAAAGCUUGGGUUAUAUGAGAUAUCAUCUCGCAAAAUAAAGAACGAAAUGAUCAAGUGUCGUAUCUCAAGCCUUUGAUUCAAAGUCAGAACUUCAGAAAUUAAUUUUAAAUAUUUUUUAAAAAUAAUUAAUUUUAAAAACCCCACCAAGCACUUAGAAUUUUCAAAAUAGAUGUAAACAUCAUGUUCUUCUGGAACACGCAUUAAAAUUUGAGUGAGUAGUUCUGACUUGAACAUGAGCUUUAAUUUGGAAUGUUUUAUAUAUCAACGAAAAAGGUUUAUAUCUUAAAAAAUCCUGUAUAAGUUAAUAAACAAUGAAUUAGUUGAAUAAACAAUUCAGCCAAAUUAAUCCAGUAUAAAAAGGUUUAAUUAAUUUUUUUAAUUAAUUUUAUUUUUUAAUAUAAAUUUAUUUUUAUUUAGUUUUUACAUUUUCAUAAUAGAAUCUUAUACUUGACCAAAACUUUUGAAUUUGACAUUGCAGCUAAAUUCACUUCAACUUAAAUUAUAUAAAUUUAAUAUUAUUAUUUAUAUUAUAAUUAAUAUUAUAAAUAUUACUUUUUAAUUAUUCAUUAUAGUCAAAUUAAAUUUUUUUUUUAUAUAACCUAGAAUAUUCAAACCAGCUUAUAUGUAACAUGAUUAAUUCCUGUAUUCACUGUACAACCUGUAAUCUUAGAUAAGUAAAGUAUUACGAAGAUAACAAGUGUCCACGCUGAAGUUUGAACAUAAAAUACAGAGGAAGGGAAACAGCACCGCUGGGCCAGCCUCGGUGCCAACUUAAAAUUGUUGAAUCUAACGGUGUAAGUAGAUUUAACACUCAUGAACGUGACCUCAAGGGUUCGAUGCUUCAUGAGCUAAUAGAAAUCACUCUAUGUUAACUCCUGUUGGACGAAGUCGGUUUGCUGGACCCAUUUGCCAUUUGGUUGCUAGACUGGCUACAAAGCAAGUUACAUAACUGCCCCUCCAGCCUAUAUAUAGAGAUGAUUGCUGUGCACACAGCACAAUAAUCUGAGUCCUCUCCAACUGUUCCUUUGGUCACUCGCUUGGUCUUGAUAAAUGGCGAGAUUCUCAAAGGUGCUUAGGAAGACUGAUAUUAAAAAGAGACUCUCAGUGCCGACCGGGUUUCUCAGCUCUCUUCCAUCUUUUAAUGCUGGUGGUCAUGCUGUAGAUUUUCAAGCUGUACAUGGAAGUGGCCGUGUUUGGACCUUCAGAUGCUCAAAUAUUCGCAAGAAAGGACAUCCAAAACCAGUUAUUUCAAAGGGCUGGCUCGCUUUUGUUGCUAGCAAGAGCCUUAAAGGUGGUGACAAGGUCCAGUUUUUAAAGGAGAAAAACGAAGCAGGCGCCAAAACACAUGCUUACGAGAUUCAGGCUGAGAAAGAAAUCAAGAUAUUUGGUGCUGUUCUCGGAUAUGCACCCAUAAUAUAGCUCCGUCUGCUUAUGGCUCCGCAUGACUACCUCAGCCUAAAGACUUCUCAAACAGGGCUUUUUUUUUUUUUUGUAUUAGUAUUUAACAAAAGAAAAAAGUUCAAACCUAGCUAUGCUAGCUGUUGUUGUGCUUGUUCUUGUUACGUUGUCUCCAUGUUACUGCUGUUUUUAUCUUUCGGUGUUGUCAACUUUUGUUAUUAUCAAAGUAAAAUAAAUUUUCAAUUUGUUCGUGUCAAACAGUGUGAUUGUGAGGCAUUUUACCGUGUCUCAAACGGUGAUUCAAGUUCCAUUUCUGAUAUUUUCUUUUCGCGAGAGGGCAUGGUUUCUUUUGUUCGUUUUUUUGUACUCCAUGUUCAGUUCUCCCCUUUCUUUUUCUAAGCCAAGCCGACAGAUGACAGAGGAGAGGAUGCACCGAGCAUGCAGAAGAAAAAUAAGAUAAGGGUGCCGCGACGGAGAAAGACUACAACGGAGGCAGCAACACCAUAACAAACAACCGAGUUUCUCACAGAUUAGGAGGUGGCCAAUCAGUGAACAACACGUUAAAUCAGCAUCACCACCAGCAGAAUCAGAAGUUCUGUCACCACCGGAGAGCUGGAAAGUGCAAUAGAUUCCCAUGUCUGUCUCUCCACCGUGAACUCCCAGCACCGCCGCCGCAUGCGUCUGUGAACGGGGGAGGAGGAGCAAGGAGAGGGUUUACGGGGAAUGAUUCAUCGUCGUUUUCUGGGAGGUGGGGUAGUAAUAGUAAUUAUUGUAACAGUUGGGGCACUUUGGGAAUAAGGGUCAUAUUUUAUGGGUAAAAAGGGAAUUGUAAUUUUGGUGAUAAGUGGCGGAGCAAUAUUUGCUUUCUCGGGAGCUUCGGUGAUGGGUUGACUCAACUUGAAGGGCAUCAAAAGUUGAUUGUUUUGUGAUUCUUUAGUGUUUUGUGUAAUGGGUUUUUGUGGGUUUUGGAUUUGGUGAUUGAUUUUGGGGGUUUUGAUGUGAGCAGGCGAUGCAUUGCCAUCUGGGUCUGAAGGGUGAGACUGUUAAGAGUUUGGGGUUUCCAGUCUGGACAGGUUUGAGUUUUACCAUUUUCAGCUUGAAUUUUAGCUAAUAUUUUCAGCAGACAUUGAAAUUUACGACUGUGAUUGAAUUGUAAUGUGCUGUUUCAAGUUGAUGUCUCUGAUGUUUGUAUUGGAUCAAUUAUCCAAUUUCUGUUAAAGCUAAGACUAUGAUUAUAUUGAGAUAUUUAAAAGCAAGAUGCUAGCGGGGAGUUGCUUCAAGCUUCAAUAUUUUCUUUUCUGUAGUUUUUCCUUGCGGAUACUGCAAUUUGAAUUAGAUAUUUGCUUGAGAGAAGAAAGUUAUUUUUAUCAACUGUUUUUUCUUCACUCGGCUAAAUGUUCAGUGACAAACUUGCUUUAUGGAUGUUGUUGUUGCCCCUGUUGUUUUGGCAAUUUAGGGGUCUGAUUAGUCUUGGUGGUGUGUUUGGUUGCGUGAUUAGUGAAGGUCCUUGGGUUUUUGUUGGUCUUCCAAAUGUUGUCAAGGUUUGGCAAGCCUUUCUCAUUGUUUUUUAUAUCACUCUAAACCCAAUUUGUGGUGGUAGGAGAGUUUGUGAUGAAAUAACUCGUCAGGGAAGAAUAUUGAUGCAGAGGCAAUAUACAUCGAUUUUAGUUGACAGCGAGGCGCUUGAGGUGAAACAUUUUUUUUCACAAGGUCUUUUUCAUUGUUUUCCUUUUUUUAUUCUUGAUUGUAAUUUUAACAUGAGACAUUUAUAUUGUUCUGCCUCCGUUUGUAAUUUGUGCAGGCAAGAUGUUACUGCUCAAUUGUCAAUUUUCAGCUCUAUCUUACGUUGAUUUUACUGUUCCAUCUCCUUUGCAGGCAAAACGGUACAACUCUACUGCCAAUUUUCCAGCUUCACUUUGCUUUAAUUCCACUGUUGUCUGUGCUUGGAUUUUUACCAGUAGCUGAUGAUUCAGGAAAAACGAUUAGUUCCAUAUGGAAAUCUUCAGAUUUUGCUUCCUUUUGAGCUUUAUAUAUAUAUAUAUGCUUUCAUUUCAAUCAUCACUAAACGGCAUGUUUAUUAAGUGCUAAGAUUGCUUAAACUUCUACUACAACGUUACGUCUUCACCCAGCUAUUUUGCAUUUUUUCCUUUUCGAUAUGCAUUUUGAUCCCCUUCCCCUGUCGGCAGCCCUUUCUUAAACAACUCAAGAUUUCUCUUGCACUUGAAGGGAAAUUAGGCUCCUACACACAUUUGCGUUGACGAUUCAAACCAUGAUUUUUAGAUUCAUUUUCCUACAUUUUUCACCUAUAUAUAGACCAUUGAUUCAUGCUAUGGUUGCGCUGGCGCCGACAGUAGUUAAUUAACAAAAAUCUAAAAGAGCUCGGAGUGUGGCUUUUACCUGGAUUCGAACAGUAAUUUCAAUCUUUCAGUUUCUCAUUUUGCUUUUUACAAAAAUUAUUAUGUAAAACCCUUCAACCUCCCCUUCUCAAUAUUCAUCCAAACACGAGUAACUCAUAGCAGCAUUUUCUGUUAUAUAAGAGUUUUUGCAGCAUGAAGUUGGGAAGCAACAAAUAGAAAUUGACAGUAUGUGAAUAUAGAUGGCAAAACUUAACAAAAACCAUGCUUGGCCCCACCACGAAAGCCAUCGACAACACCAAAAUGCACCGCUUCUUUCACAUUUUCUGGUUCGCCUGGUUUAAAGCUCUGAACAGCAACGCUAUGCUCCUCCACGACCAGUCGCCUAAUGCCAAUAGCUGAUAUUGUUCUCACUUAUUAUCCACGAGGUGGCAUAAGAAGGGCCCAUGAGCCGAGGUUAUAAGGCAUCUCAGCCCAGUGAAAGAUAAUAAUACGAAGCUAAAAUCUAUUAACUGAGCCCAAUAGUGAUCCCAGCCACCAGCCCACAGAAACCUAAAACUCGAUGGAAAGUUAAUGAUUUAUUCAUAUUGUGAUAUUCCUUUUAUAUCAGCACAAUAACACAAUCUUUUGAAGAAAAGCAGCAUGCGACUUCCUAGGGAAAAAAUGAAGAAAAUAUCAGCACAAUAACAUAAAACAUUAUUAUUAUUAUUUUUAAUUAUCAUAGAUGUCCGGACUGCUUUGCUUGUGCAUAUCUCUACUACUAAUUCUAAGGUCACUAAAUUACACAAAACAUUAUUAUUUGCUCAUGUGGUGGGAUAAUGGUAGUGAGCUAUGGUUCAAGUUUCCAAUCGCUCAGCCUCAUAAUGCUAUAUACCUCCAUUGUAACCCCAUCUCACAAAUAAAGAACGAAAUGAUCAAGUAUUGUAUCUCAAGCAUUUGAUUCAAACCACCAGUUUAGUAUUGCGUUUCAAAUUCUAGUUAGGCAAAAUUUAAAAUUUAAUUUACUUAAAAUUAAUUUAUUUUUAUAUUUUUGUAUCUUUUUUGAUUUGUUGAUAUAAAAAGAUUUUAAUUUUUUUUAAAAUUUUUUUUUUAAUAUAUUUUAAAAUAAAAAAUAUUUUAAAAAAUAAAACAUUCAAAACACAUAUAAUUCAAAACAUCCAAACAUUCUUUUAUUUUAUUUCGUGUCGUGCACAGUUGAAGAGCUGCUACCCAUUUAGGGUGCGUUUGUUUAGUUAUAGCUUUUAUAUUUGCGAUGUAAAAAACGCAGUUUGGUAUUCAGUAAUACAUCAAACUGUUUUAUACUGUGGAGCCCAUCAAAAAAUUGAGUUUGAAACGCAGUUUUUGUGAAGCAGUUUUUACAUGUUUUUUUAACCGAGUUUCGUAAAACUCUGCUUGUUUUUGCGUUUUAAAAGCAAUUUUUUUAAAAUUUAAAUUUUUUUUAUUUUUUAAUUUAAUUAAAAUUAUUUUUUUAUAUAAUUUCAGAUCAUUUUGAUACGCUGAUAUCAAAAAUAAUUUUUAAAAAUAAAAAAAUUAUUUUGAUGUAUUUUCAAGUAAAACACACUUUUAAAAAGCAAUAACAACCAAAUAUUUUAUACAUAUUUUUUAUCAUAUAUAAAUCUCAACCAUAAUUUUUACCAAACACAUAUCUAAAUAUAACUAACCAUAUUUUUAAAUUUUUUUUUAAAAUCAUAAUUACAAAAAUUACCUCUAAAACAAAAAUACUUUUGUAUUCCGGCAACGACAGUCUAGUCAAGUGGCCAGCGCAAGGCGAAAUGAAUUAACAGUAUGAGAACUCUCCAUCUGGAUCCCCUUGAUAACUGCCACUAGUAACAAGGGUCUUCAGACGGCCACGUGGCUUCACACGUGCAUAGAGGGCCCCCUUUUCCUAUCUUAAUUCUCACCCAUUUAUAAGGGAAAAAACAAGGGCCAUAUAAAUUAAAUGAGAUGUAAUUGAACUAGAUACAUGAUAGAAAAAUGGGAUUUUCUCUAUAGAAAGAGGUGAGAUAAAAUUGAUAAAAAAACCAAUUCUUUAAAAACAAUUUUAUUAAAAUUGAAUCAGAUGACAGAUAAUUUUAUUAUUAGCAAACUAAACCAAGCCGACUUUAACUGAUUGUUUGUUAUAAAAUAGUCUUUUUAGAAAGUAAUUUUUAUAGAAAAUAAAUUAUUGUACAGUGAAUUAUUGUUUGAUAUUGACAAUGUAAUAAAAAAUAAAUUAGAAAAUAUUUUCCAGUAUUUAACUAUAUCAUUAUCAAAUAAACUAUAAAAUAAUUUUUUAAUUUUUUUAAUAAUAUAUAUAUUCUACACCAUUUUUUUACAUUCUUUAAGCAUUAGCUUUAGAAAAUAAAUAUAAACACUUUAUAUCAAACAUAGUAUGCAUAAAUAAUCUGCUUUAACAAUUUCAAUUCUCAGCACCUCAGUCACACGAGUGGCUUGUGAAUUUUUAAAUACAGAAAUGACUUGAACAUGAGCUUUAAUUUGGAAUGUUUUAUAUAUCAAUGAAAAAGGGUUUAUAUCUUAAAAAAUACUGUAUAAGUUAACAAACAAUGAAUUAGUUGAAUAAACAGUUCAGCCAAAUUAAUCAUAUUAAUUAUAUCUAUUUGUGUAUAUAUAUAGAGUAUCUUUUUUUAAAAAUAUAUUUUUUUUUUAUUUACAUGAGAGUUUUCAUCAUACAUCAUGAAUCCAUACACAAUCACCAAAUUUCAAUAUCACAUUUUCUCACUAAUUAAUAGAUUCUACAUAGAAAUAAGAUAAAGAAACGAUGUUUAUAUUUAAUGGAUUUUGCAAUAUAUCAAAAAUAAAAUAUUGCAAUACAGUACUAUCAAAACGAUACACUUCGAUAAUAUCAGGCGUAUAAGAUUGUAUAUAACAAUAUAAUUACAAUAUAUCAAAUAUAAUUAUUUAAAUUGAACAGCAUAACCGACGCUUGAUGGCUGAUGCGAUUUGUAGAUAACACGUACGCUUUUAUUUUUCCUAAAUGAUCUCUAGGUUGGAUGCUUCCUAACACGCUUUUAAAGCGUGUGUCUACAAAUAAAAGCGUGUUAGGAAGCAUCAAACUCUGACAGAAGUCCUGUGUGCUUGUCCUUGAAAGGAGUUGGUUACAAAAAAAAAACGUUGUAUAACUGUCCCAAUCAUUCAUGUCAUGAGAAAACCAACAGGAAUAUUCUACUAAUUGAAGUCUGGGAAGGUAUACCGUUAGCUCCGGUGCUCUUGUCGCUGGACCCUACCAUAACGCAUCAGAUUUUGUCCCAUUUGGUUACGAAAGAAAGUUGCUAACAAAUAAUAAAAAAAAAAAUUUGUCUUUUGUUUGUGAUUGGUCUCUCUCAUUUUUUUUUAUAUGACUUUUUAAGCUUCAUUUUGUUCGAACUAAUUGCAUGCUCCAAGGGAUGGAUUCAAUUUACAGUGAGAAAACACAUCUAGCUUGAUAUUACUAUUGUGGUCUCACCACUAAACACUUUGUUGUUUUAAUUCUUAAUUUUCUCAAAUAUAAUCUACGUAAAAAUACUAAAUGAAUAUUUUUUAGCUUUUAAAAUUAGAAACACUUAAUUAAUAAACUCUUUAAAAUAUAUAUGACCACUCGCCUAAUAAUAAAAACAAAAACUAUAUGCUUAAAUAAAAAUGAAAAGUGUAACGCUCAAGUAGAAAAAUAAAAAAACACUCGGAUAAUAAAAAUAAAAAAUCCAAUGGUCUUGCUUUAUCUUACCUAAUUACGGAUGUUCGCCAUCGCCAGCAUUAUAAAUAUAUGCUCAUUAUGCUCGACGCACACAGCACUCAAAAUCUUAAUCCUCUCCAACUGUUCCUUUGGUCAGUCACUCGGUCUUGAUAAAUGGCGAGAUUCUCAAAGGGGCUGAGGAAGACUGAUAUUAAGAAGAGACUCUCAGUGCCGACCGGGUUUCUCAGCUCUCUUCCAUCUUUUAAUGCUGGUGGUCAUGCUGUAGAUUUUCAAGCUGUAGAUGGAAGUGGCCGUGUUUGGGCCUUCAGAUGCUCAAUUCGGAAGAAAGGACAUCCAAAACCAGUUAUUUCAAAGGGCUGGCUCGCUUUUGUUGCUAGCAAGAGCCUUAAAGGUGGUGACAAGGUCCAGUUUUUAAAGGAGAAAAACGAAGCAGGCGCCAAAACACAUGCUUACGAGAUUCGAGCUGGGAAAGAAAUCAAGAUAUUUGGUGAUGUUCUCGGAUAUGCACCCAUAACAUACAGAGGUCCUAACAAUGACAAACACCGUCUUAUAUUAAACUUCAGGGGUCCUAACAAUGACAAACACCGUCUUACAUUAACUUAAAGACGACACCAUAAAGAAUCUCCUGACCCACCCAUGAUUGAAUGACUGAGCUCUGCCGUGGAGGAACUCGGCAUGCCGUGGAAGAACAAGUGGACCCCGGGAAAAUCUAGCCGCCCCUGUUUGGAGUGGACCCCCGAACCAGGAAAGUCUCGCCUCCUCGUUUCGGCGUUGGUAGGGUUUUGACGUGGCCGACAAAUCACGUACUUUCCUUUUUGUUCCUUUCGUUUUUUUUUUUUUCCAGAGAAAAUGCGUUCUGACUUUUUUUAUGAAGCCCAAGAGUCAAGAACCAAGGGAAGUUUUAUUAAUAAAUAACUUGCAGGAGACUGCGCAGCAAAUCAGUUAUAAAAAUAAAAAGAGCUAGAGUUGCACCACAAAUAGUAGCAAAAAUUACAAUUAAAAUUAUAUUUGUUCACUGGAGAUUUUCUCCGUAACCUGUGACAAAAAUAUUAAACAGUGGGGGGUUUUAUCAAAUCCACUAGUAAAAAUUAAAACAAAUUAAAACACAUUUCUAUAGAAGGAUGAAUAAAAAAAAAGAAAAAAAACACACGAUGAAAUACUAUUAUAAUUUAUAAUAAUUUUUUUAAAUAUUGAAAAUUUAAAAAUUUAUAAAUAAAAAAACACAGCUUGAAAAUUUAUUUUUAACAUUAAUAUAUUAAAACAAUUUAAAAAUAUAAAAAAAUUAAUUUUAAAUAUUGUUUUUUAAAAUUUCAGCUAUCUUCUUGGACUGCACUAGCAAACGGGGCUAAAUCUACGAACCCCACCAAGCACUUGAAUUUUCAAAAUAUAUGUAAACACCGUGACAGUGACCUUUCAAUUUGUCUUGAAAAAUGACGAGAUUAUCAAAGGUAUUUAGAAGAAUAAUAUUAAAAAUAUUUUUUUUUUAUUUUUGUGUUUUACAUGUAUUUAAAAAAUAUAAUUGUUUUUAUAAAAAUGGUAAGUAUACACGAGGGGCACAGCACACAAAAUCUGAGUCCUCUCCAAGUGUUUCUUUUGUUCAAUUGGUCUUUGAUAAUUAAUGGCGAGAUUAUCAAAGGUACUUAGGAAGAUUGAUAUUAAAAGGAGACUCUUGACAUUAUUGGCUCGAACUCCAUUAAUAUUAAUAAAUUAAAAUCAUUAAAAAACAUUAAAAAUAUCUUUUCAAAUAACAAAAUAUUUUUAAAAAACAUAUUAAAAAAAACUACUGUAUUUCUAAAUACUCACUUAUAAAUCUACGUGGUUAUUUUGAAUAGUAACUUUGACUCUUAACCAUAGUUAAUUUUCAGACCCGGCCAAGUGGUUGGCCCAGUCCAAGACCCGGAUUCCGGGUUUUGAUCGGGUCGCCCGGGUCAAUUUGUUUUUAAAAUCAAAACGACGUCGUUUUAGUAAAAAAACAAAAGUCAACGGAUUGCAAACGAGUUUUUGACCGGGUCUUACCGGGUCACGCCGGGUUUUUCCUUUCCCUAUUUUUUCUUCAACCCGACCCAAUUCUAGCCUCGGGUUGGCCGGGUCUAGGGACGACCCGCCGGCCCGGACCGGAUUUCAAAACUAUGCUCUUAACCUUGAAAAACACAAUUAAUUUGUCAAGUUUUUGUAAUGAAAUAAUUUUUCAUAGAUUAAAUUUCAAUGGUUACUCUUAAAAUAUUAUAUUUUUUUAAAAUCUAUUUUAUCUUACAUAUUUCUAUCCGACAAGUUUUAUCUUUUCAUUGUAUAUCUAGUUGAGCCUGUUUAGAAAUGUGAUUGUGGUUAUGUUUUGAAAAAGCUUUUUACUCUGAAAUGUAUUAAAAUAAUUUUUUUUUAUUUUAAAAAAAUUAUUUUUAACAUCAACGCAUCAAAAUAAUCUAAAAAUAUAAAAAAAAUAAUAAAUAAAAAAAUUUAAUUUUUUUCAAACACAUUUUAAAAUACAAUAUUGUGGCGCUUCCAUGGAAGCAGGUCAAGCAAAACAUGGUCAAGCAAAACAUAGCUUCUGUUUAAUAUUGCUCACAAAAACAUAAAAAUAGAAAACCUUAAAAAACAUUAUUCCAUGUCGUGACUACAUGAUGGAUGUGAGAUCAUGGAUGACGAUUGCACCUGUCCACAGAAACAUAAAACUCGAUGGAAAGGUAAUGAUUUAUUCAUGUUGUGAUAUUUCCUUUUAUAUCAGCACAAUAACACAAUCUUUUGAAGAAAAGCAGCAUGAGACUUCAUAGGGAAAAAAAUGAAGAAACACAAAACUUUAAAUUUUUUUAAGAUAAUAUUUUUUUAAAAAAUUAUUUUUAAUAUCAAUAUAUUAAAGUAAUAUAAAUAAUUUUUAAAAAAUAUUAAUUUAAAAUUUAAGAUUUUUCCAAUAAAAUGAUUGCACAUACCCAAUCGUUCAUGACCCUGUCCUAAGGACUUUAUGCAUCCCGAUCGAGCAAACAAGUGGCCGUCUUAAGUGCUACCAGAAUAUUCCAUAAACCAACGGAAUAUUCUGUCAAUGUUAUUGAAGAAAUUUAAAAGCUUCACCAAGCAAUUGAAUUUCCAAAAUAGUUGCAAACACCGCCGUUACGAUGACCUUAAUCGAAAUAAGAAAAAGAAAACUACCCAUCCAAAUAACCUUGCAUCUAAGCCGCACCAUUAUAAAUAAGAAGCUAAAGUAUACACGAGGCACACGGCACACAAAAUCACAGUCCUCUCUAAGUGCUCCUUUGGUCACUUGGUCUUGAUAAAUGGCGAGAUUCUCAAAGGUGCUUAGGAAGACUGAUAUUAAAAAGAGACUCUCAGUGCCGACCGGGUUUCUCAGCUCUCUUCCAUCUUUUAAUGCUGGUGGUCAUGCUGUAGAUUUUCAAACUGUAGAUGGAAGUGGCCGUGUUUGGACCUUCAGAUGCUCAAUUCGCAUGAAAGGACAUCCAAAACCAGUUAUUUCAAAGGGUUGGCUCGCUUUUGUUGCUAGCAAGAACCUUAAAGUUGGUGACAAGGUACACUUUUUAAAGAAGAAAAACGACGCUGGCGCCAAAACACAUGCUUACGAGAUUCGGGCUGAGAAAGAAAUCAAGAUAUUUGGUGCUGUUUUCGGAUAUGCACCCAUAAUAUAGCUCCGUCUGCUUAUGGCUCGGAAUGACUACCUCAGCCUAAAGACUUCUCAAACAGGGCUUGUUUUUUGUAUUAGUAUUUAACCAAAAAAAAAAAGCUCAAACCUAGCCAUGAUGUUGUUCUGAGUCUUCUUGUUACGUUGUCUACAUGUUACUGCUGCUUCUAUAUUUCGGUGUUGUCAACUUGUGCUAUUAUCGAAGUAAAAUAAAUUCUCAAUUUGUUCGUGUCAAACAGUGUGACUGUGAGGCAUUUUACUGUGUCUCAAACAGUGAUUCAAGUUCCAUUUCUAACAUUUUCUUUUCGCGAGAGGGCAUGAUUUCUUUUGUUCGUUUUUUAUUACUCCAUGUUCAGUUCUCCCCUUCCUUUUUCUAAGCCAAGCCGACAGAUGACAGAGGAGAGGAUGCACCGAGCAGGCAGAAGAAAAAUGAGAGAGGGGUGCCGCAACGGAGAAAGACUACAACGGAGGCAACAGCUAGCACCAUCACCAACAAGCGAGUUUCUCACCGAUUAGGAGGUGGCCAAUCAGUGAACGACAUGUUAAAUCAGCAUCACUACCAGCAGAAUCCGAAGGUCUGUCACCACUGGAGAGCUGGAAAGUGCAAUACAUUCCCAUGUCCGUCUGUCGUCCACCGUGAACUUCCAGCAUCGCCGCCUCAUGCGUCUGUGAACGGGGGCGGAGUAGGAACGAAGAGAGGGUUUAGCGGGAAUGAUUCGUCGUCGUUCUCUUGGAGGAGGGAGUAGUAUUUUAGCUAAUAUUUUCAGUAGACAUUGAAAUUUAUGACUGUGAUUGAAUUAUAAUGUGCUGUUGAUUUGAGCACUGGUGUUUCAAAUUGAUGUCUCUAAUGUUUGUGUUGGAUCAAUUAUCCAAUUUAACUAAGCCCAAUAACGUUUUCAAUCUUUGUUGUAGACUAGUUAAAUCUAAAAUAUGCACCUUAGGAUCUAAAUAAUUUAUUGACAAACUGAGCUAGACUGUUCAAUGUAUGUAUAUAUAGAUUUUGCUUUCUUUCAUGAAUAGAUUCAUGGCCCCUUAUACUCGUGGAUUUUGGAGAGUGACAAUCCAGUCAAGUGGCCCCGGUCAAAACUAACUGAAUUAACAUUUAGUGGAUUUGUAUUUUCGUGAGUAAUAUUUUUUUAAAAAUAAUAUAUUAAAAAAUAUAAUAUUUUUAUAUUAAUACAUUAAAAUCAUUGAAAAACACUAAAAAUAUCUUUUCAAGUAACAAAAUAUUUUUGAAACCCAUAAAAAAAAAAACUAUUGAAUUCUAAACACUCACUUAUAAAUCUACAAGGUUAUUUUGAAUAGUAACUUUGACUCUUAACCUUGAAAAGCAUAAAUAAUUUGUUAAGUUUUUCUAAUAAAAUAAUUUUUCAUAAAUUAAAUUUCAAUGAAAAAAAAUUGCAUUUAAAGGGAUAGUUACUCUCAAAAUAUUAGAUUUUUUUAAAUCUAUUAUACCUCACAUAUUUCUAUUGGAAAAGUUGUAUCUUUUCAUUAAUAUUAGUGGCUGUUAGGGUUAGUAGCUAUUGGGGAAUGUGGUUGCGGUUGCUUUUAAAAGUGUUUUACACUUAGAAAUGUAUUAAAAAUAAUAUUUUUUUAUUUUUUUAAAAUUAUUUUUGACAUGAGCGUAUCAAAAUGAUCUAAAAACAUAAAAAAAAAUUAAUUUAAAAAAAAUUAAAAACAUUUAAAUCUUUUCAAAAAUAUUUUUAAAAAACAAGAAUAUCUCAUUUCUCACAAAAUACAAUAUUGUACGGCCCUUCCAUGGAAGUAGGUCAAGCAACAACAAGCUGGUCAAUAGCCUCUGUUUAAUUUUGCUCACAAAAAAAUAAAAAUAAAAAUAAAAAACUUUUUAAAAAUUUAUUCCAUGUCGUCACAACAUGAUGGAUGUGAGAUCAUGGAUGACGAUCGCUCUCUACGCACAUGCAUGUAUUGUCCCCUUCUUUAUCUCCUUAUAAAUAGGUAAAAAUUAUAGCUAGCAUUCAUGAUAAUUAUAAAAAUAAUAUCGAUAUCUAUCGAGACUUCUUUUACAAUAAGAUUCCAAAAGAUUUAAUGAACACCACUUGAUAAUAUCGCUAAAACAAUUGUUAUUAAUAAUUGUUCAUAUAAACAAUAAAUUAACAAUUUUAUAUUGUAACUCAAUUAUCGGCUAUAAAAUAAAAUUACAGUAAUAAUUUUUUACUUUAAAAUAUAUAAUUUUUUUUUGUAUAAAUAGAAGUGAUUUAGGUCAAAGAAGAAGUUGUUCAAACUUUUUAUUUAUAAAUACAUGAAAAAAAAGUUGACAAAAAAUAAUUAUUUAUAUAAAAAAAAUUAUUUUACAGAAAAUCCAAACCAAACCUAAAAUAUGUUGAUAAAAAAUAAUUAUUUAUAAACCGUAAAAAGAACUCGAGACACAUGUCUAGUUGAGCAAGUGCGCGUGUGGCUUAAAUCAAAAGCCAACUUCACCCAGUUCCUCUCAACUCUAGAAACUUUAGUGCUUUACGAGAUUAUUAUUAACUUUUUAUCUUUUUAUUAUAUAAACUAUAUAUAUAUUUUUUAAUAUUUUACAUGGGAUUGCGUAUAGGGUAUUGGAGUGAACUUAUCCAUAUCAAUCAUGUACAUGAGUCGAGGUUACUAGGCAUCUCAGCCCAGUGAAAGAUAAUAAUACGAGGCUAAAAUCUUUUAACCAAGCUCAAUAAGAUCCUAAAGUUAAUGACCAUGUAAACCUUCAGUGACCCUGAAAUUUAUAGUACUCGAACUGGUGAUUUAUAGAAAACAAACUCAGAACCUGACUAGUUAAUUAAACUACAUCCCUUAUAAUUGAAACACGAAAGAUUAUUAUUUGCUCACGAGGUGGGAUAAUGGUAGUGAGCUAGGGUUCAAGUUUCCAAUCGCUCAGCCUCGUAACGCUACGUAUGUUGUAAACCCAAAAGAAAGGAAUAAAGCUUGGGUUAUUUGAGAUAUCAUCUCACAAAUAAAGAACGAAAUGAUCACGUGUCGUAUCUCAAGCCUUUGAUUCAGAGUCAAUUCCAUACAACCAUGUCUGGACACUCAAACAUGUUUUUUUUAUUUCGUGCCGUGUGCCCGACUUAAGCCGCUACCCAUGUGUUUUCGGACAACGACCGUCGACUCAAGUGGCCAGCACAAAGCGAAAUGAAUUAACAAUAUGAGAAAUCUCCUUCCGGAUCCCCUUGAUACUCUAAUUGAAACAAAAUCAUAUGACAGAUUAUUUUAUUACCAACAACUUGAAAAGUGGAAUCAUCGUUUUAAAAUGAAGUGAUGUUUCACUCCAUUUUGUUAAUUCAUUUCAACUGCGAUGGGCACCUGACUUAGAUUAUCAUAUAUUAUAUAUUAUAUAUAGCCCAUGAAUGCAUCAAUUUGUUUAUUUAUUUGGAUAAGCAAAUUUGAAAGAGUUUAACAAUUAUUUGUAGUAAAAAAUAAAUAAUUAUAAAGUGAAUUAUUUUAUAUUUGAUAGUAUAAUAAAAAAUAAGUUGGAAAAUAUUUUCUAGUAUUUGACAUACUUAUUAAAAAAUAAUUUAUUAAUAUUUAAAUUUUUUCUUCAAAAUAUUAAAAAAUAAAUAUAAAUAAUUUAUAUUAAAUAUAGUCAUGCAUAAAUAGUUAUUUCAAUUCUCAGUACCUCACUCACAGGAGUGGCUUGAGAAUCUUUGAAUACAGAAGUACCUUGCUCACAGGAGUGGCUUGAGAAUCUUUAAAUACAGAAAUGAUAAAAGAAAAGGUUUCACAAAAUUCUUCAAAGUUUGUCUUCACUUCAGCUGUCCUAACAAUGACAAACAUCGUCUUAUAUUAAACUUAAAGACGACACAGUAAAGAAUCUCCUGACCCAUCCAUGAUUGAAUGACUGAGCUAUGCCGUGGAAGAACAAGUGGACCCCGGGAAAAUCUCGCCGCCCCUGUUUGGAGUGGACCCCCGAACUAGCCUCCCCCGUAUAGGCGUUGGUAGGCUUUUGACGUGGCCGACAUAUCACGUACUUUCCUUAUUGUUUAUUUUUUUUUUCCAGAGAAAAUGCGUUCUGACUUCUUAUAAAACCCAAGAGCCAAGUGAAGUAUUACUAAUAGAUAACUUCCAAGAGCCAAGAGCCAAUAUCACUAGUUUAAUUAGUUAGGUUUUUAAUUUUUUUAAAGAUAAUAUAUUUAUGUUCUUUUAAGUUUAUUAAAGAUUUAUAUAAUUAUUAAUUUUAAAACUUGUAAAAUUAAUUAAAAAAUAUAUAAACUCACUCGUACAUUUAUAUUAAUAAAAAAAGUUUUUCAGAGAUUGAGCAGCAAAUCAGUUAUAAAAAUAAAAAGAGCUAGAGUUGCACAACAAAUAGUAAUACAAUUAAAAUUAUAUUCGUUCACUGGAGAUUUUCUCGAUGCUGAGAAUAAACCUGUGAUAAAAAUAUUAAACAGUGGGAGUUGUAUCAAAACCACUAGUAAAAAUUAAAACAAAAACACACUUCUAUCUAAGGAUGAAUAAAAAAAAGAAAAAAAACACUAUAAAACACUAUUAUAAUUUAUAAUAACUUUUCUUUUGAUGAAAAGUUAAAAAGUCAUGCACAUUAUUUUUUAAACUUGUAUUCGAAUUGUAAUUUAAUAAUAUAAUAUACUAAGAAGUUGUUUACGUGGAGAUAAUAAUUGUUUUUUAAAAUAUUUUUUUAAGUAUAUUAAAUAAUAUAUUUUUAUUUUUAAAAUUUUAUUUUUAAUAUUAAUACAUUAAAAAAAUUUAAAAAUAUAUAAAAAUUAAUUUAAAAUAUAUUUUUUUAAUUUCAGCUAUCUUCUUGGACUACAUUAGCAAACGGGGCUAUAACUAAGAACCCCACCAAGCACUUGAAUUUCCAAAUAUAUUUAAACACCGUGACAGUGUUCCUUUGGUCACUCAAUUGGUCUUGAAAAAUCUCAGUCCUCUCUAAGUGUUCCUUUAUGGCGAGAUUCUCAAAGGUUCUUAGGAAGACUGAUAUUAAUAAGAGACUCUUAGUGCGGACAUUGUUGGCUUGAACUCAAUUAAUAGCCGACGACGCACUACUGUUCAUUUAUAUAUUCUCGGUUGCAAUGGCGUGUAGAUAUGGUUAACCUGAUUUUUAUCUGUUUAUCAAGUUAUAUUUUACGUAUUAUUAAUGGAUACACCAGCAUAAAUAAGUGAUGAUCACAUUUUAUUAGUAAUUCUAUAUGUAAUAUUUAUUUGUUACAUGAAACAAUUUUAUCAGUGAAUAUCGAGAGAAAUAUCGACAUUAUUUUUCAUUGGUACCAUUCAUGAUAAUUACAAAAAUAAUAGUGACUUCUUUUCCAAUUAGAUUUAAUGAACAAAACAUAUUAGUUUAUUUGCUAUGUUAAUGUUGUAAUAUAAUAAGGACUAAAAAUAUAUAUUAGUUUGGUGAAAUUAAUGUUUUCAAAACUUUGAUAUAUGUUGCCAACGUGGCAACAAGGAGUGUAUAAUAGAUCGUCAUAAUCUGUUUUUUUACUAAGGCUCUGUUUAUUUGCAGGAAAAUAGUUUUUUUGAAAAGUAUUUUCUUGAAAAGUGAAUUCCGAGAAAGUAAAUUAUUUUCUGAUGUUUGGUAGUGUCAUGGAAAGUAAGUUGGAAAACACUUUCAAGUGUUUGGUUAUGUUAUGAAAAAUGAACUGGAAAAUAGCUUAUUAAUAUUUUUUUUUCAUGUUUAUUAAAAUAAUAAAGAACAAAUCUUACAAAUUAAAAAGUUGAAUGAGAAUGGAAUUAAAAAAAAUCUAAUUUAAUAAAUUAUCUCAAAUAAAAUAAAUAAUAAUCAAAAUAAUAGAAAUCAAAUCUAACAGAUAAAAAAAUUGAAAGAUGAUGAAAUUAAAAUAAUAAUAAUAAUUACAAUUUCAUAAAUUAUUUUAAAUAAAAUAAGUAACAAUCAAAAGAAUGAGGACCAAAUUUGAUAAAUAAAAAAUUUCAAUUUAAAAAAUAAUAAGAGAAAAGUAAAUAACAAUCAUAAAAAUAAGGACCAAAGUUAAUAUAAAAAUCAAAUUAAAUCAAAUUUUAAGGGGUAAAUUAAAAAAAAAAGAUUCAAAUAAAAUAUAUAGCAAUCAAAAGUUUGUAGACCAAAUUUGAUAUAAUCAGCAAAUAAUAUGAUAUUUUUAAAUUUUUUAUAAUUUCAGAAAAGUGUUUUCUGCCCAAAAUAAAAGGAAAACAUUUUCCUGAAAAUUAAGUUAAAUUUUCCGUUAAGAGGAAAUUAUUAUUUUAUUGAUCGGAAAGUAUUUUUUAUUAACUAAUUUUUCUAAUAUCAAAUAAACAUAAAAAAAAAUUUAAAAAGUAAUUUUUGAUAUAUUAAACUCUGAUGUGUUGCCAUUUGAGCCCCGACUCAAACGGCAACAAGGAGUAGUUGUCGUUCUGAGCUAAUUUAUUGCCAUUUAGAAAUAGGCCUAAACAACAACAAAGCAUCAAGAGUGUAGCAUCUGGGCCACAGUCUAAAUAGCUAAAUUUACGCCCAUGUUCCAGUCAUUCAUGAGAUCAAGAAUGGUGAUUGCUCUUCACGCGCCUGUCCCGGCCAUUCAUGACCCUGUCCUCAAGACUUUAUGCAUCCUGAGAACACAAGUGGCUGUCUGAGGACUUUGUAAGUGACAAUUUAACACUACCGGAAUAUUCCAUAACACCAACGCUAUAUUCUGUCAACAUUAUACUCAAAAAUGAAAUAAAAACACGUUUUUGUAAUAUACUAAAUUUAAGAAUCCCACCAAGCACUUGAAUUUCCAAAAUAUAUGGACACACCGCCGACUUGAGUCGAAAACUAUGAGAAAAAAGAAACAAAAAAAAAAAUACUACCCCACCAAACACACGCAUAUUCUUGAUUUCUCGUGACUUAACGACAGAGGUUCGCCAUCGCCAUGCAUUAUAAAUACAUGCUAAGUAUACACAAGGCACACAGCACACAAAAUCUCAGUCCUCUCCAAGUGUUCCUUUGAACACUCACUUGGUCUUGAUAAAUGGCGAGAUUCUCAAAGGCACUCAGGAAGACUGAUAUUAAAAAGAGACUCUCAGUGCCGACCGGGUUUCUCAGCUCUCUUCCAUCUUUUAAUGGUGGUGGUCAUGCUGUAGAUUUUCAAGCUGUAGAUGGAAGUGGCCGUGUUUGGGCCUUCAGAUGCUCAAUUCGCAAGAAAGGACAUCCAAAACCAGUUAUUUCAAAGGGUUGGCUCGCUUUUGUUGCUAGCAAGAACCUUAAAGUUGGUGACAAGGUCACGUUCUUAAGGGAGAAAAACGAAGCUGGCGCCAAAACGCAUGCUUACGAGAUUCGGGCUGAGAAAGAAAUCAGGAUAUUUGGUGCUGUUUUCGGAUAUGCAACCAUAAUAUAGCUUCGCUUCCGUGCAUUAGGGCUAAUAAGAGUAGUCUGCUUAUGGCUCGGCAUGACUACCUCAGCCUAAAGACUUCUCAAACAGGGCUUGUUUUUGGUAUUUGUAUUUAACAGAAAGAAAAUGUUCAAACCUAGCUAUGCUGUUGCUGUGCUUGUUCUUUCUUGUAACGUUGUCUACAUGUUACCACUGUUUCUAUAUUUCGGUGCUGUCAACUUUUGUUAUUAUAAAAGUAAAAUAAAUUUUCAAUUUGUACGUGUCAAGCAGUGUGAUUGUGAGGCAGUUUACUGUGUCUCAAACAUUGAUUCAAGUUCCAUUUCUAAUAUUUUCUUCUCGCGAGAGGCCAUGGUUUCUUUUGUUUUUAUUUUUACUCCAUGUUCAGUUCUCCCCUUUCUUUUUCUAAACCAAGCUGACAGAUGACAGAGGAGAGGAUGCACCGAGCAGGCAGAAGAAAAAUGAGAGAAGGGUGCCGCGACGGAGAAAGACUACAACAGAGGCAGCAGCACCAUCACAAACAAGCGAGUUUUUCACAGGCUAGGAGGUGGCCAAUCAGUGAACAACACGUUAAAUCAGCAUCACCACCAGCAGAAUCAGAUGGUCUGUCACCACCGGAGAGAGCUGGAAAGUGCAAUAGAUUCCCAUGUACGUCUCUCCACCGUGAGCUCCCAGCACCGCCGCCGCAUUCAUCUGUGAACGGGGGAGGAGGAGGAGGAGGAGCGAAGAGAGGGUUUAUCGGGAAUGAUUCGUUGAUAAACCCUUCCCCUGCUAGCAGCCCUUUCUUAAGCAACUCAAGAUUUCUUUUGCACUUGAAGGGAAAUUAGGCUCCUACACAUUUGCGUUGACGAUUCAAACCAUGAUUUUUAGAUUCUUUUCCCUACAUUUUCCACCUAUAGACCAUUGAUUCAUGCUAUGGCUGCGCCACCUAUGAUACGGACUCCAAGUUCUUAUGGCGGAGCACGAAGAGAUUUACCGUCAUAUGAUGAUGGGAAUGGAAACCUGAAGCACCGGGGUCUUCGUGGUCCAGGAUAAUUAAACCAUCAAUAACAGUAACGUAAGCAUGAGACUUUUUGGUAGUACCCGUGAACCAGAUGGCCGCGGCGAUAGAAUCUGGGACGGAGGACUCGUAGUAUCUCUUUAGAUCUGGCAAAAGCGAAAGACCCCCUAAAAUAAUUCGAAUGGGGGCUGACCGCUGAGCCCAUUCUGGCCUCGCAUGGCGGGGCCCCGUCCCGUGGUUGCGAGCUGGAGCUGCCAUAGCUUAUGGCUCGAGCAAUAGUGGGCCCCAGCAGAGAGAACAGUCAGGAUAACAAGCGCUCCGCCCGUCAAGCGGGCGGCAAAAGCAGCGGCCAAGUGCUUGGCAGGCCAACAGCCUCAAACACUAGUUAGACUUGUUUGUUUACUUAAAUGUAAUUUUUUUUUAAAAGUAAAUUUUAAAAAAUAAAUUUCAAAAAAAUAAAUUAUUUUUUUAUGUUUGGUUGUAUAAUGAAAAAUAAGUUGAAAAAUAUUUUCCAGUGUUCAGUGAUGUCAUGGAAAAUGAGCUGGAAAAUAAUUUAUUAAUGUUUUAUUUUUCUCAAGUUUAUUAAAAUAAUGAGGAACAAAUCUUACAAAUUAAAAGGUUGAAUGAGAAUGAAAUUGAAAAAAAAUAUAAUUUCAUAAAUUAUCUCAAAUAAAAUAAAUAAUAAUCAAAAUAAUAGAGAUCAAAUCUAAAAAAAAAAUGAAAGAUGAAGAAAUUAAAAUAAUAAUAAUUAACAUUUCAUAAAUUAUUUCAAAUAAAAUAAGUAACAAUUAAAAGAAUGAGGACCAAAUUUAAAAGAUAAAAAAUUUCAAUAAAAAAUUUAUAAGAAAAAAGCAAAUAACAAUUAUAAAAAUGAGGAACAAACUUAAUAUAAAAAUUAAAUUUUAAGAGAUAAAAUUGAAAAAUAAAUAUUCAAAACAAAAUAUAUAUAGCAAUCAAAAGUUUGAGGAUCAAAUUUGAUAUAAUUAGCAAAUAAUAUGACAUUUCUAAAUUUUUCACAACUUCCGGAAAAUGUUUUCCGCCCAAAAUUUCCAGGAAAAUACUUUUCUGAAAACCAAGUCAAAUUUUCCUUUGACUGGAAAGUGUUUUCCGUUGACCAACUUUUCUACUGACAAACAAACACAGAAAAAUUUAAAAAAUAAUUUUUCAAAAAUCACUUUUCAAAAAACAAACAUAACCUUAAUUAACAAACAAAAGAGCUCGGAGUGUGUCUUUUACCUGGAUUCAAAUAGUAAUUUCAGUUUUUCAGUUUCUCAUUUUGCAUUUUACUGCAGAUUCAAUCUCUCAUCUUUUGCUCUCUUUUUUUUUCUGUGUAUGUGGCUUCUCCUCUACCGCAUCCCCGCCUUCUCUUUACCUCAGAUCGCGUUUUUCAAUUCAUCUCUUAAUUUCUUUUUGUAACCAGAUCAGUGGAAGAGAGAAUAAGAAAAAAGUUGUUGAGACAAUGAUGAUGGCUUCUGAAUCACUCAAUAAAAAUAUUAGAGAUUGGAGGGUGAAUGUUAGAGUUAUAGCUAUUGUUAUUUAAAAUUAAGCUUAAUUUGCCUUUUCAACAUUUAAAAAUACUACACCUAAUGCUAAUUGCUGAUAGGAAACAAGAAGGGAGGCCCAAACCAAGGUAAUUAGGCAUCUUAGCCCAAUGGAAGAUAAAUAAUAGAAAGCUCUAAUCUUUUAAGUAAGCCUAAUAAUGAUUUCAGCCACCAGCCCACAGGAAACAAGACGAAGUCCAAUUAUUAGAUGCGAGCACAGACGUAGGGCAAAAACCAUUAGGGCGUAGCUUUGUUUAUGAUAAUCCCUCCCAUGUUCAAUACUCCUUUUUAUUUUAUUUUUAGUUUUCAUAGUUUAUAAGAUGCAAUUAUCAUGAUAUAUGAUAAGAAUCCUCGAGAUACAAGUUUUGAAAGCAAGACGUAAAUAUCAUAAAACUCGAUGGGAGGUUAACAAUUCUUUCAUAUUAUGGUAUUUCCUUUUAUAUAUGUAGAUAAGCAACGUGAAUAUUCAUGUAAAAAAAAUGAAGAAAUACAAAAUUUAAUCACAAGAUCAUGUUGUAGAAUAUUGCUCAGCCUCGGAAUGCUAUAUACCACCGAAAGAAAGAGAAUAUGGUUAGGUUAUUUAAGUUAACAUCCCACAAAUAGAGGAUGGAAUUAUCACCUCCUCCUUCAAAACCAAAAUAAUUGACACUUAAUUUGUCAUAUUUCAAGCCUUUGAUUCAAAGUCAAAACCUUAGAAAUCUGAUUCAAUAUGCACCUUAGGAUCUAAAUAAUUUAUUGACAAUCUGAGCUGGAAUGUUCGAUGAAUGUAUAUAUAGAUUUUGUUUUCUUUCAUGAAUAGAUUCAUGGCCCCUUAUACUCAUGAAUUUUGGAGAGUGACAAUCCAGUCAAGUGGCCCCGGUCAAAGCUAAAGUGAAUUAACAUUUAGUGGAUUUUUUUAUUGUGGUGUAUAAUAUUUUUACAAAAAUAUUUUUUUAAAAAAAUAUAUUAAUUUUUUUAUAUUAGUACUUUAAAAUUAUUGAAAAAUACUAAAAAUAUUUGCUCGGGUAACAAAAUAUUUUUGAAACCUAUAAAAAAAAAUACUAUAUUUCUAAACACUCACUUAUAAAUCUUUUGACUCUUGAUCCUUGAAAAGCAUAAAUAAUCUGUUAAGUUUUAGUAAUAAAAUAAUUUUUUAUAGAUUCAAUUUCAAUGUUAAAAAUGCAUUUAAAGGAAUAGUUACUCUCAAAUUAAAUAUUAGAUUUAUUUUAAUCUAUUCUAUUUCACAUAUUUCUAUUGGACAAGUUUUAUCUUUCCAUCGUAUAUCUAGUUCAAUUAUAUCUCAUCUCUCACAGAAUACAAUAUUAUAUGGCCCUUCCAUGGAAGGAGGUCAAGCAAAACAAGCUAGUCAACAGCUUCUGUUUAAUAUUGCUCACAAAAAAAUAAAAAUAAAAAACCUUUAAAUUUUUUUUUCCAUGUCGUGACCACAUGAUGGAUGAAAGAUCAUGGAUGAGUGUCGCUCUCCACGCACCUGUCACUGUCCCUGUCCCCUUCUUUUCCCCCUUAUAAAUAGGUAAAAAUUAUAGCUAGCAUUCAUGAUAAUUAUAAAAAUAAUAUCGAUAUAUAUCGAGACUUCUUUUACAAUAAGAUUCCAAAAGAUUUAAUGAACACCACUUGAUAAUAUCGUUAAAACAGUUAUUAUUAAUAAUUGUUAAUAUAAACAAUAAAAUAAUUUAAUAUAUAUUUUUAUUUACUUGGUUAACAAUUUUAUACUUAACAUAGGAAUCAAGUUAUCGUGAAUGACAAACAAUAUGUUGUUUACGGGUUAAAAAAAAGAGUCUAGGUGAUUAGACUUCUCUCGGGUCCACGAACAUGAGCUUUUGUUAAAAUGCAUAUAAUUUCUUUUAUUAUUUAUUUGGGUUUUUUUUGGCAUUUUUUUAUUUUUUAUUUAAUAUGAGAUUUUUAUUUAAUUUUAUUUUUAUUAUUGAUCAGUUUAUUUACAUUGAUUUUUAUAUUUUUUAUCAUAUAAUAAAAGUUUUUUUAUCUUUUUUUUUCAACUUCAUUCUUUAAUAAAAGAUUAUAAAAAAAUAUUUAGGUUUUUUUUACCCUAUUCUUUUCCUCAAAUUCAUUAUUUAAUAUGAGAUUUUUACUUUAUUUUAUCAUUUAGUCUUGCAUUAAUUUUUUUUCUUUGAAUUUACCCAUGAAAAAAUUAUUUUAAAAAAAUUCUCACUCAAUUUAAUUCUAAACUCGUGUUAAGUAAAUAAAACUAGUUUAGGAUUUUUCAAAUUUAAACCAUGAUAAACCGGCAAUCUAAAUAUUAUUUUUUUAAAUUUAUUUUUUUUAAUCCAACCUGCAGCGAGAUUGCAGUUAAAAAAUCUCACUUAAGAUGUUCAGUCUCCUGCCUUCCUUUUUGAAUUUGAAUUAUUCUCUCUAAUUUUGCAUCAGUAACAAUUAUUUUAUUUCAUCGAAUUGUCAUUAAUAGAGCUUAUUAGAACCUUUGGUUGCUACUUAAUUAAGUUGAUGUUGAAUUUCCGUAGGAUUAGGCUGGAAAAUCACAGAAGAAGUAGUGGUUUACAGUGUGUUAUGUUUAAGAUGAUGAUAAAAAUAAUUUUUAAAUUAAUUUUAAAAAAAUAUAUUAAAAUAAUUUUUUUAUUUAACUAAGUGAGGACCUAGAUCCUGUAAAGAAAUUUAAAUUUUUUAUGACCAAAAAACAAAAAUUUUUUUUGCUGUUUUGUUAUCGUUAAAAACAUAUUUUAUAUAUUUUAAAAAAAUAGAAUUAAGCAAAGAACAAAAAAAAAACCUUAUAAAUAUAUUAAAACUCUAAGUAUAAUUGGUAUCGUUAAAAAAAUAUCAAUAAAAUAAAUCUAUUAUAUUUUAAAAAAUCAUUAUUUAUAAUCUUUUAUUGAACUCAUCUCUUCAUAAUCUUUCCAACAUGACCAAAUUUUUGGUGUAUCAUAGGGUCUUUUUAAAGUGAUAAAAAAAAAAACUCUACUUUAAUUGCUAAUAAGCUGUCGGCAUCAAACUGGGUAGUUGCCAAAUAAACUGGCUACAAGUCUGGACAAUGUGUUCAAAGUUUCGAGAUGGCUAAGACCUAGGAAGUGGUGGGCGCAAGGGCUCUGAUGUUACCAUCAUCGUUAAUUGAUUACUUAUAUUAAAAUUUGAUGUGACCCAAAAUCUCUCUAUUACAUGUUCGUGAGAAUAACAAAAAAAAAAUAUUGUAGAAAGAAAGAAAAGGCAUUCCAACAUCUAAGAAACCCUAGGAGCUAGAGAAAUAUUAUUAAUAAACAAGUUCCCAGAGAGUCUGCAACUGCAAGCCCACCUGAAGAAAUAGAACAAACAACUUGUAUCAAAUCAAUUAUAAAAUUAAAACUAGCUCGACUUGCCCCACGAGUAGUAGGAAAAAUUACAAUUAAAAAUAUAUUUGUUCAAUGGGAACACAUUUAGUCGGUGGAUGACUUUUACAAAUCAUCAGCUGUGUGGUUGUUUUAGUGUUUGAUUUUGUGUUUGUUGUUGAAUACCAUUCUUAACAGUAUAAAACAACACAAAUUUAAACGCAUGAAAUCAUAUUUUUGCACUUGUGUUUUUUACUUUAUGUAUAUUUAUUUUAGUUGUCGCACCCGACAUCGCGGCGGUCCCACAAAAUAAUUUCUAGAUUAUGGAAAAAGAACAGAUUUCUGGCAUCUGGUUCUUUAAGGGGAAAAGGUCUUGUUUAAGGAGUCGCCACCUAGUAUUAUGGUCACUAGGAACCCUAACUGGUCAACAGAGAUUCUAUGGCUCGGGAUUGGUUACGUAAAAGGGAAGAUAUUAUCACCCCUUAAACGUUCUGCCUAAGGCAAACUGCAUUGUUGGUUUUGUCUUCAAUUGCUAAACAUUUAUUCACUUAUACUAUGAUGAUUUGUUUAUAAUAUUCCUAACUCAGGCGCCAGUGAAUAUUCAACUACGAAUAAUUCCAACUCUGGCGUUGGUAAAUAUUACGUAGCUAUCAAAUAAAUUUGGAUCAAUAUUUUUAUUCCUGACUCUGGCGUCAGUGAAUAAAUAAAUAAAAAUAAAUUGAUUUUUACACAUGCACAUAUUUUUUAGUUUUCUAGCUAAAUAAAAUACACCGAAUAAAAAUAAUAUAAAUUUAAACCGAUAUUUUUAUUCCUGACUCUGGCGUCAGUGAAUAAACCAAUAAAUUUACAUUAUUUUUAUUCAUGUAUACAUAUUUUUUUAUUUUUUUUACCCGUUUUACUUUCUGUUUUUAUUUUUUAUUUUUUUUUUGGGCUGGGUCCAACUCAGCCCACAUGGGCUGGGCUAGACCCAGCCAGCCCGGCCCGGUCACUGGCCCAAGCCAGUGACCCGGCUGGGCAAAAAUCAAAGAAAGCACGCGUGAAGUGAUUUCACGCGUGCAUGAGCAGAAUAGAGGAAAUGAGUUAGAAUGUGUGAAUUAAAAUUCAAAGUAAACAGUAGCCGGUGAAUUAAAAUGAAAAGCGGGGAAAGAGAAGUUUACUUACCUGGUCUGCUGCUCCUGAAGAUGAAGACGCUGCUCCUGAAGAUGAAGACGAAGCCGGUUCUCUCGGGUGGUUCUUCUUUUUCUGGUCACUGUUCGUCCUCCAUUUUUCUGUGGUUCUUGGUCUGUUCCUCCAUUUUUUCAGUUCUUCCUCUGUUUCUGUUUUCCCCGUUUUUUAGUCUCUCCUGCCCUUCGUGGCCUUUUCUUCUCCCCUGGGUUUUUUUCCGCCCUUUCUCUUGUUUUUCUCAGUUCUCUCUUCCGAUGGUUUGGAGUGUGCAGCUGGAGACGAAUAAUUAGGCUGACCAACGCUUGCAGUUUCCCUGCACUUCACUUGCGUUUUGAGAACAAAGGCAAAGCAGGCCUGCUGUCCUUUUGCUCUCUCCCUAUUUCUCUGUUUUUAGGUCCCCUCUCUGUUUUCGUUCAUGCUCCCCAUUGGCCCCUCGGUUCUGCCCUUUUUUUCUCCUCUUCGGUCGCUCACAGUUUUUCCCUUUUUUGCUCCCCCAGCGCUCUCUCAUCUUCUCUGGCUUUAUAGCCAGAGAAUGCCAAGCACCUCUACAAUUGAAACGGCUUCAAAGCCAUUACUGCAGAAACCGUUCCUGUGGAAGGAGACGAAGAAGGCGACGGCUGAUUUCUAGAAACGGCGCCGUUUGUGUGAUGGGAAUGGCCAUUUGCAAUCCAGUCACUGAAGUUCUGAAAUCGUGUAAUCAAGCCCCUAGAUAAAUUGUAAUUGGACCCCUGUAUUUCGGCUUUUUUACAAACUAAUCCUUGGACUUUAAUCUGUUGCAAUCGUGCCCCCAAUUAACCCCAAACUUUGCUAUUUCUUCAAUUAAGCCCCUGAUUGGAUUAAUUAAAUUAAUUCCAAGCUUAAUUAAGUCUCAAAACUUAUCAAUUCUCCAAUUAAAACCUUAAUUGGAUUAAUUAAAUUAAUUCCAAGCUUAAUUAAGUCUCAAAACUUAUCCAUUCUUCAAUUAAACCCUUGACUUGAUUAAUUAGAUUAAUUCCAAGCUUAAUUAGAUUAAUUCCAAAGUUUAAUUAAACCCUAAAACUUCCAAUCAUGUUGCCCUUAACCUAAAUUUUAAUUCAAUCUUCAUUUAUUUCAUUUUACUUGUUUUUUUCAUCAUUAUUAUUUUUUAUCAUCAUUUUUUAUCCUUUUAAAUAAAUAAAAUAAUAAUAAUAAUUAAAAUAAAAAUGGUCAAAAUUUGGGUUAUGACAGUUGCCCCCUCUUUAUAAUAUUUACUAUGCAAAGAUAUUGGAAAAUUUCAUUUUCCAUUAGUUUUGUGUAGUAAAUUUAUAAAGAAAAGUAAAUACAGAAAGAACCUUUUUUUUUUUUUUUGAAAACAGGAGAUUGACAUAUGACUUUUACAGAGAGAUGUUGAAAUCAAGAAACAAGUAAUUCAAACGAUGACCCACUUUUUUUUGUUUUUGUUUGUUUUUUUGUUUUUGUUUGUUUUUUUUUUUGUUUGUUUUUUUGGUUUUUUAAAUGGAUCAAAUUGUUUUGGGCAACCUGCCCGAUGAUAAAAGAACGCGAAAAGGGUUUCGCGAGUGGUCAAAUUGUUCCAGGCGACCUGCCCGAUAAGAAUAAAACGCGAAAAGGGUUCCGCGAGUGGUCUAAUUGUUCCAGGCGACCUGCCCGAUGAAGAAUAAAACGCGAAAAGGGUUUCGCGAGUGGUCAAAUUGUUCCAGGCGACCUGCCCGAUAGGAAGAAUAAAACGCGAAAAGGGUUUCGAGAGUGGUCAAAUUGUUCCAGGCGACCUGCCCGAUAAAGAAUAAAACACGAAAAGGGUUUUGCGAGUGGUCUAAUUGUUCCAGGCCACCUGCCCGAUAGGAAGAAUAAAACGCGAAAAGGGUUUCGCGAGUGGUCAAAUUGUUCCAGGCGACCUGCCCGAUAAAGAAUAAAACACGAAAAGGGUUUCGCGAGUGGUCUAAUUGUUCCAGGCGACCUGCCCGAUAGGAAGAAUAAAACGCGAAAAGGGUUUCGCGAGUGGUCAAAUUGUUCCAGGCGACCUGCCCGAUAGGAAGAAUAAAACGCGAAAAGGGUUUCGCGAGUGGUCAAAUUGUUCCAGGCGACCUGCCCGAUAGGAAGAAUAAAACGCGAAAAGGGUUUCGCGAGUGGUCAAAUUGUUCCAGGCGACCUGCCCGAUAAAGAAUAAAAAGCGAAAAGGGUUUCGCGAGUGGUCUAAUUGUUCCAGGCGACCUGCCCGAUAAGAAUAAAACGCGAAAAGGGUUUCGUGAGUGGUCAAAUUGUUCCAGGCGACCUGCCCGAUAGGAAGAAUAAAACGCGAAAAGGGUUUCGCGAGUGGUCAAAUUGUUCCAGGCGACCUGCCCGAUAAAGAAUAAAACGCAAAAAGGGUUUUGCGAGUGGUCUAAUUGUUCCAGGCGACCUGCCCGAUAGGAAGAAUAAAACGCGAAAAGGGUUUCGCGAGUGGUCAAAUUGUUCCAGGCGACCUGCCCGAUAAAGAAUAAAACGCGAAAAGGGUUUCGCGAGUGGUCUAAUUGUUCCAGGCGACCUGCCCGAUAGGAAGAGUAAAACGCGAAAAGGGUUUCGCGAGUGGUCUAAUUGUUCCAGGCGACCUGCCCGAUGAAGAAUAAAACGAGGAAAUUGUUUUUUUUUGGACAAAUACAAAUGAAAGGGUCUCAUUGUAAUGGGUGACCUACCCAAGUAAAAAAAGAAAUAGGAAAAUGAGGGCUCGAAGGCGCGCUCGAAAGGAAGCGAGGGCUCAAAGUCGCGCUCGAUAGGAAACGAGGGCUCAAAGGCGCGUUUUUAAGGAGGUGGAAAAACAUAGAGAUUUUUCAGAGGGCCUAAUUCUCGUGGGCGGCCUGCCCAGGUUGAAAAAUUCUCAAAAGUAAAAAUUUUUCAAAAGCAAUUUCAAUCCUGGCCAUUUCAAAUUGGCCUUCCACUUGAUGGAUUCCGUUGGAAUUUUCUCUAAUGAGAUUUGCAAAACUCAUUGUCCAAUUUCUCAAAGUUUAGAUGAUAUGCAUGCAUCUUUACCUGAUUUGAAAUAUAGGCCCCCCAUUUCUUCUUUGUCUUCUUGUUGCUUGACUGAUGAGGACUUGCUACCUCUGAUUUGGGUCAUAUUUGUCGCUUGGCUUCUAGCCCACUCGAGUUGGCCCAUAUAAGUCUAUUUCCAGAUUUGUUUGCACAACUUAGCCUUUAUGGUGCCCAUCGUGACCCACUUGCUUGCUAGAGAUUUUCUGUCUUGUCAAAUAAUUUGAGAGGAUCAUUCAUUACUCCUCGUCUCACUACUAGAAACAUUCAGUGUCACUUGCUGAAAGGAUCAAAAUAUCUUUUGUAAACCAAAAUGCCCCCUUAUCUGGUUGAAAGAAAUUAACAUCUCAUUUUCUAGAAUUUUUUCUUCUAAACACAAUGUUGCCCCCUUGUACUGGUCAUUGCCCCCAAGUGUGCUUUGCCAGCGACUUAGACAAAUAAUGGUUUUAAAAGACCAUUCUCUCUUUUUUUUUUUGUUCAUUUUGGUGAAGGAAUAUGGGUGGAGAAUAAAGCUUGAAAUCUUGAUCUUGCAUUUUGAAAAAAAAAAUUGUUUCGAUGUGAGCCUAAAACAAUUUGCUUUUGAAAUCUUGCAACUCCUUGGUUAUUUUCUUUCUUGGAAAAGAGAUUAUUUGCUCUUGUGUUUGGUAAUGAGGUCUUCAGUGAAAAUACAUCAUGAGAUGACCCUUUGUUUUAAAGUGAAGGGCUCAAGAAAAAGCUCGAGGUUUUGUAUGAGAAAAACUUGUCUCUUUUUGAACAUUUAUUUUUAUCAGCAUGAAUAAUAAUGAGUAGUUUAUUCUUGAUGUCAUGAAUCUUAUGAAAAAUAUUCUUUGCAUUUUGAGAGCAUUGUUUAUUGUUCUAGGUUGCUUGCUUGCUUGAUUAGAAAGGACUUCUACAGGCACGUAACGUAGGCUGUGGUUUUUGGCUAUGAAAGAAAAGGAUUCAUAAGGCUCAAAGAGUGUUUCAGGGUUUCAAAGACUAAGGAUCACUAUCAACAGUUUGACUCUUGACGUCAUUCCUAUUUUCUUUUGCCGCUCUUAUUUGAUUUGCUGCUUCUUCUUUUUUAUUGCUUUGCUAAGGCAUACUCAUUUGAUCUUGGAUGUCACUUUUUCUAGUGAUUUGAGCAUGCCCCCUAGCAUUUUGAGUUUCUUGAGCUCUUAUGCCUUUUUGGCUUUCUCACGGCUUUUUGUCUUUUCUCAUUGAAAUUUUCUCUUGCCCCCCAGUGUGGGGUGUGAUCCUAGUCGGGAUUUUUUUUCAUGAAAGAAAAAUUAUUCGGGCUCAAAAAGGGAUCUCAAGGGAUGUACUUAUUUCAGAACGUGAAAGGAAUAACAAAGAUGACCUUUUCUCAUUUCAAGUGCAAGCAGUUAAGAUCAAUAAACUUUGACCUCAUCCAAUAUGAUGGUUUGGUCUUUGCAAAGAUGCAUUUCAAGGGUCAUGAGCAACGAGUUCACUACAUACCAUUAUUCAUACAUUUAAAAACACAUGAUUCAAGAGUCAUGGGGUAAGGGUGUUUAUUCAUUUCUUUUUUCUUUCUUUUUUUUCUUUCUUUCUUUGGUUUAUAAUAGUCACCUCAAUGAUGGAGUUGCUUGAUUCAAUUGUCAUUCUACAAGUAGAAUGUUAAAAAUAUCAUUUUUUAAAGAACAUCAAUUUAUUUUUGAAAUCAAAACGCCAGAUCAAAUUUUCAAAACUCCAAUAGGGAAACUGAUUUUGGUAAAAGGGAUGAAUUGAGUCUAUGAGAUCACGCGAGGCUUCAAAAGUGUAUUCGUGAGUUCUUAUAUGAAAACUCUCUUAAUCAGAUGAAUAAUGCUUGGUCGUGAACACGAUUGAAUGACAAACUCAUUAUUUCAUUGAAGCUUUGGAAAAGAAACAACAAAGAACUUAUGCUAACAUGAAUACUGGCAUGAUAACACAUAAAAGGGGCUAAACAUUUAGUGAUCAUUGAUUGGAAUUUCCAGAAUCUUUCAAUCACUCAUUCUUCUUGACAAGAGUAUCUUUUCAGCAGUUAGUUGAAGCCAUAUGCAGACCAUCCUCGACCUACUAUCACCAUAGCUUUAUCUUCAAAAUAGUUGAUUUUUGGGAGUUGGUGCGAAGAAAUUAACUAUAGGAAUGGUAAGUGCCUUGGCAACCCCCUUCAGUGUCCUUCCUUUUUUCAGUGAAACCGUUCUUUUUCAGUUGGAUCAACAAUUUUACCUAACCCAAUGGCUUGUUCGAUCCUCUCAGCUAUAACAACCAGGUCAGUAAAAUGUUGUGCAGAGUUUCUAACCAAGUAUUCAAAGUAUGGAGCUUUAAAGGUGUUGGAAAAUAAACUGAUCAUCUCCUUUUCCAACAUGGGAGGGUUAACUUGUGCAGCUACCUCACUCCAUCUUCGGGCGUAUUCUCUUAUGGACUCCUUGUUGUUCUUCUCCAUAGCUUGCAAGCUUAACCGAUCAGGGCCCACGUCUAUAUUGAACUUAUAUUGCCUCAUGAAGGCAUCAACUAAAUCCUUCCAUUUUUUAACUUUGAUAUUAUCCAACUGUAUAUACCAAGUGAGGGCAGCGCCACUUAAGCUGUCUUGAAAUAAAUGAAUCAGCAAUUUCUCAUCAUCAACCACCUCAGCCAUUUUGUUGCAGUAUGCUUUGAGAUGAGUUAUAGGGCAUUGAGUUCCCGUAUAUUUAAUGAAUUCUGGCACCCUAAACUUCUUAGGAAUGACUAUGUUAGGUACCAAACACAUAUUGACAGCUUUCACCAGGUCACACAAAUGGUUUCCUUCAACUGCCCUUAUCCUCUCUUCUAAGGCAAUCCAUUUUUCCAAACCCUCUUCUUUCACUAUCUUGCCCUUUUGAGACUCUUUCUCGGUAGAAUCAAUGGUAAACGGCAUUCUCAUGGGGUAUGCUGGCUGGAAAUGCAUAGCUUGUUGAAAUUCAGAUGACACCCUAUUUGCCCCCAGAUUCUGUGGAUCGAAAUGAGUUACAUGCAUAUCUUCAGGGUGAGCUAUAAGUGUUGCUUUUUUGGAUUUAUCUUUCAAGGCCUGCUCGAGUAGACUAGUAAGCCUUGCAACUUCUUCUUUAAGAUUAUCCAUCUCUUUUUGAUGUUGGGCUUCCAACUGGUCUCUUUCUUCGUUUUCCAUUUGUCUUUUUCUCGAACGAGUGUUAUAGAUGGGUUUCAAUGGGGAACCUAUAUUUCAACCUGCUAAAUGUAAAUCAUGCAAUUUAUGCAAAAAAAUGAUAAUAAAAAAAAAUGUGUAUGAAAUGCAAACUUACCCUUCACGGGGUGACAACCUAGUAGGAAGAUCCUAAUUGUUGAGUGCAUCAAGGGGUUGGUCAUUAUCUAGUUUCAAAGGGUCUCUCGCAUGCUCAGUGAUCGUCCAUGAAAGGUCGAUAUGAGGCUUACAAGUAGUGUGAAAAUAGAGGCCCUGAGUAAUAUCAGUUUGGCAUAUCAACCACUUCCAAGUAAACAAUCAAGCGAGAGUUGGAUGGUUUCACGAGUCUUACCCAGGCUAAAGCCAUUGGGGUACCAUUACUCCCCCACUUAUCCUAGUUUGCAAAGUGUGUGCUCCCAAAGUGAUGCAUGACAACAUAAACAAGAAUGCAUGCUAAAGCAGUAAAUGCAGGAAAGAUAAACAAAUAAACACAAAAAAAUAGCAAUAAUAAGACAAAAGACAAAGCUUAAUCCUAAGGUCCCCAGUGGAGUCGCCAUUCUGUCGCACCCGACAUCGCGGCGGUCCCACAAAAUAAUUUCUAGAUUAUGGAAAAAGAACAGAUUUCUGGCAUCUGGUUCUUUAAGGGGAAAAGGUCUUGUUUAAGGAGUCGCCACCUAGUAUUAUGGUCACUAGGAACCCUAACUGGUCAACAGAGAUUCUAUGGCUCGGGAUUGGUUACGUAAAAGGGAAGAUAUUAUCACCCCUUAAACGUUCUGCCUAAGGCAAACUGCAUUGUUGGUUUUGUCUUCAAUUGCUAAACAUUUAUUCACUUAUACUAUGAUGAUUUGUUUAUAAUAUUCCUAACUCUGGCGCCAGUGAAUAUUCAACUACGAAUAAUUCCAACUCUGGCGUUGGUAAAUAUUACGUAGCUAUCAAAUAAAUUUGGAUCAAUAUUUUUAUUCCUGACUCUGGCGUCAGUGAAUAAAUAAAUAAAAAUAAAUUGAUUUUUACACAUGCACAUAUUUUUUAGUUUUCUAGCUAAAUAAAAUACACCGAAUAAAAAUAAUAUAAAUUUAAACCGAUAUUUUUAUUCCUGACUCUGGCGUCAGUGAAUAAACCAAUAAAUUUACAUUAUUUUUAUUCAUGCAUACAUAUUUUUUUAUUUUUUUUACCCGUUUUACUUUCUGUUUUUAUUUUUUAUUUUUUUUUUGGGCUGGGUCCAACUCAGCCCACAUGGGCUGGGCUAGACCCAGCCAGCCCGGCCCGGUCACUGGCCCAAGCCAGUGACCCGGCUGGGCAAAAAUCAAAGAAAGCACGCGUGAAGUGAUUUCACGCGUGCAUGAGCAGAAUAGAGGAAAUGAGUUAGAAUGUGUGAAUUAAAAUUCAAAGUAAACAGUAGCCGGUGAAUUAAAAUGAAAAGCGGGGAAAGAGAAGUUUACUUACCUGGUCUGCUGCUCCUGAAGAUGAAGACGCUGCUCCUGAAGAUGAAGACGAAGCCGGUUCUCUCGGGUGGUUCUUCUUUUUCUGGUCACUGUUCGUCCUCCAUUUUUCUGUGGUUCUUGGUCUGUUCCUCCAUUUUUUCAGUUCUUCCUCUGUUUCUGUUUUCCCCGUUUUUUAGUCUCUCCUGCCCUUCGUGGCCUUUUCUUCUCCCCUGGGUUUUUUUCCGCCCUUUCUCUUGUUUUUCUCAGUUCUCUCUUCCGAUGGUUUGGAGUGUGCAGCUGGAGACGAAUAAUUAGGCUGACCAACGCUUGCAGUUUCCCUGCACUUCACUUGCGUUUUGAGAACAAAGGCAAAGCAGGCCUGCUGUCCUUUUGCUCUCUCCCUAUUUCUCUGUUUUUAGGUCCCCUCUCUGUUUUCGUUCAUGCUCCCCAUUGGCCCCUCGGUUCUGCCCUUUUUUUCUCCUCUUCGGUCGCUCACAGUUUUUCCCUUUUUUGCUCCCCCAGCGCUCUCUCAUCUUCUCUGGCUUUAUAGCCAGAGAAUGCCAAGCACCUCUACAAUUGAAACGGCUUCAAAGCCAUUACUGCAGAAACCGUUCCUGUGGAAGGAGACGAAGAAGGCGACGGCUGAUUUCUAGAAACGGCGCCGUUUGUGUGAUGGGAAUGGCCAUUUGCAAUCCAGUCACUGAAGUUCUGAAAUCGUGUAAUCAAGCCCCUAGAUAAAUUGUAAUUGGACCCCUGUAUUUCGGCUUUUUUACAAACUAAUCCUUGGACUUUAAUCUGUUGCAAUCGUGCCCCCAAUUAACCCCAAACUUUGCUAUUUCUUCAAUUAAGCCCCUGAUUGGAUUAAUUAAAUUAAUUCCAAGCUUAAUUAAGUCUCAAAACUUAUCAAUUCUCCAAUUAAAACCUUAAUUGGAUUAAUUAAAUUAAUUCCAAGCUUAAUUAAGUCUCAAAACUUAUCCAUUCUUCAAUUAAACCCUUGACUUGAUUAAUUAGAUUAAUUCCAAGCUUAAUUAGAUUAAUUCCAAAGUUUAAUUAAACCCUAAAACUUCCAAUCAUGUUGCCCUUAACCUAAAUUUUAAUUCAAUCUUCAUUUAUUUCAUUUUACUUGUUUUUUUCAUCAUUAUUAUUUUUUAUCAUCAUUUUUUAUCCUUUUAAAUAAAUAAAAUAAUAAUAAUAAUUAAAAUAAAAAUGGUCAAAAUUUGGGUUAUGACAUUAGUAAUUGAUUUUAUGUUUGUUAUGAGAUAUAACCAUCAAUAGCACAAAACACAAGAUCAAAAGCAUGAUUUUGAUCUUGUGUUUCUUACUUCGUGGGUGUUUGUUUUAGUAGUUAGUUUUAUGUUUGUUGUGGGUUACAACCCUCAACAAAAAAUUAAACACAAGAUCGAAAACAUGAAAAUCAUGCUUUUGAUGUUGCGUUUUUUUAUUUUUAUUAGUGUUUGUUUUAGUGGUUGAUUUUGUGUUUGUUGUAGGUUACAAUCCUCAUCAACACAAAACACAAUAUCAAAAGCAUGAAAAUCAUGUUUUUACUGUUGCGUUUUUUACUUUGGAUGUGUUUGUUUUAGUGAUUGAUUUUGCAUUUGUUACGAGGUACAACCCUCAACCACACAAAACUUAAGAUUAUACUUUUGUUGUAAUGUUAUGUUUUUUAAUCCUAGUGAUAGCCUCACAAUUAAAAACAAUCAUAACAAUAAAAACAAACAUACACAAAGAAUAUAAAAUUAAUGUGAGUUUUGUGUUAAUACAUUAAAAUAAUAUAUAUUUUUUUAUUUUUUAAAAUUUAUUUUUGACGUAAGCAUAUAAAAAAAAUCUAAAAAUACUAAAAAAAUUAAUUUGAAAUUAAAAAAAUUCAAAUUUUAACCCAAAAAAACAACUUGAAAAUCAAUGUCUAACACACCGUUAAUGUUCUAAGUCCACAUCUAGGUGAGAAAUGAAUUGCAUGGCUUGUGUCAAUUUGCUUCGUUUUUUUUUCCACAUCAACACGUCUUUCUUCUUCUUCUUCUUCUUCUUCUUCUUAUUAUUAUUAUUAUUAUUAUAUUCUGCCAACUCAAAAUGGGAACUCAUGUAAUUCCAUAGAUUCCCUUUCAAUGGAUUCCUUUCUUAUUCUAAUCUUAGUGAUAUUUUUGUUUUUGUUUUCUCAAUUAAUUAGUCAACAAGCUGGACAAACGCACGAUUCCUUUAUUUUACCAUUUGCAAUCUCUCGAUGACCAAGGUGGGCCAAUGUGCUUACGAAUAGAGGACUCCCAAAAUUAUAGAUGCGUGCUAAAAGCUUUAUAAAAAAAGAGAGAGACGUCCAUUCUCAAGUACCUCUUCUUCCCACUUGGCUACCAAAUGGCAAACUUCACCAAGAUACUUAGCCCUGCGUAUCUUCCCACAAUAUCCUCAGUAUCAUCCCAGUAUCUCAAGCGUCUCUCACGUUUUCAAGUUCAUGUAAAAAAAAAAACUUAUGGAAUAGUUGAUCACCAGCAACAUGCUAGUGUAAGGUUUAGGUAAGAUGAUGACUCGGGAGGGUCAAUCUGAAUUAGUUUUAUUUAAAAAAAAUAAAACAAACUUGUUUUAAUAAAUUUUUUAAAAAGCCAACGAGUUAAGAUUUUAUUUGUCGUAGUUGUUAUGAUCCAAUCAUAUUUUUAAAUAUUUUUAGUUUUAAUUUUUUUUAUAUAUUUAGAUUGUUUUGAUAUGACGAUGCCAAAAUAAAUUUUUUAAAAAAUAAAAAAUAUUCUUUUUAAUAUAUAUCUAAAUAAAAAAUAAAUUUAAAAAACAAGGCUCAAUAAAAUUUGUUCACGUUUCAUCAAUAAACUUUAAUGUAUGUCAUCUGCAAAUUGAAGAUCAAGCACGAGGAUAAUUUUUAUAUGUUGGAUACAACCUUGAUGAGUUGGAACUUUGCUAUUUUCAGUCCUUUUCUCUAUUGUUUCUCUUUUUUUUUUUAAAAAAAAAAAAAACCUUGACCGUUUGUGGUGAAAGAAUCAUUGAUGACGAACCCUUUCCAUUUAUCUUCCUAUUUUUCUUCUAUUUUAAUAAAUUUUGAUCUGGUUCAUAUGGUUUUAGAUCUAAUUUUUUUUAUUUGUUGUGUCAAGAAUCUUGUUUAAUUUCUCACUUGUUGGGUUUAUAUCCUUUUUAAAUAAAAAAGUUUGUUGUUACAUCUUAUGAUCUAUAAUAAGAUUGAUACUCUCUAAUAAUCAAUCACGAAGAAAUAAAAUAUUUCAUUAUUGAAGUCUAAUGGUGUAGUGUGUUUAUUAUAUUGAUGAAGAUUUGAAAAAAAAAAAUAAAAACUUUAAAAACUUAGUUUUACUCGUAAUCUCAUCAACUCGAGUAAAAUUUAAUAACAAAUAAUUAAAUUUUAUUUUUUAAAAUAUUUUUUAUUUGGAAAUACAUUAAAAUAAUAUAUUUUUUUAUUUUUUAAAAUUUAUUUUUGACAUUCAAAAUGAUUUGAAAACAUAAAAAAAAUAUUUUAAAAUAAAUAAAAAUAAAAAUAAAAUUUUUUCAAUUUUUUUCCAAAAUAUAAAAAUAAGGAUGCUCUAAGUUGAUACUGACUCGGUCAAAAAUCUAAUAUGAUUUGUAACCCGAUGAACUUAAGUAAAAUUUAAUAACAAAUUAAUUAAAUUUUAUUUUUUAAAAUAUUUUUUAUUAAAAAUAAAUAAAUAAAACACUGCCAGGCCAAAUUGCCAGGAAGAAGAGUGUGAAAACGUGGCUGAAGGUCGGUUGUCAGUGAGAGAAAAAGAGAGAGGACGUGGCUUGAUUCAAAAAAGUUCUUAAAAAACGCACUUAUUAGCUGUUUGGUUACAUAUUGUUAAAAAAUAAAAAACAUGGAUCCCAUCAUUUAUUUGCGGCAGAACCUCGAUUUUUAGGAAGUAGGGAAUUCGUGCUUUUCACGCACUGUUCAUGCUAAUUACACUGUUCAGUGAACAGUGCAAUUACCAUGAACAGUGUAGCAUGCUACACUGUUCCGGUCGGACUAGUUCUGGUCGGACCGGGUCCAGUUCAAAGCUCAACAUGCAUUGAACCGAGUUCGACGCAGUAAAAUAAAAAAUAAAAAAUAUUUUUAAUUUUAAUUUUUUAAUUGUGUUUUAUUCAAAAAAUUAGUGUUUAACAUUAUUCAACAACACUAUGUAAAUUAGACAGAGAUCGCUUGAUGACGUAGCAUUUGCAGAAUUUGAUCGUAAUUUCAAUUUUGUUUCUAAUUAUGUUUUACCUGAUAUUGUCGCGCGCUUAAGAAACCAAAAAAACUUUAGUCCUUGUCAGAUAUAUUUUAUACGUGAUGAAAUUGUAGAUAGUUUAAUGGAACAAUGAAAAAUAUUUUAUAUAAAGUAUUAUUUAUUUCAUGAUAUAAUAACAAUAGUUAAAUGUACAAUAUUUAAAUUAAAAACCAUGUAUAUAUAUAUAUAUAUAUAUAUAUAUAUAUAUAUAUAUAUAUAUUUUAAAAUUAUUUUAUAACCUCAAUUUCAAAAGCAUUAUUAACCAAACACAUUAAACUACUUUUUGUUCAACCUCAAUUUCAACCACAGUUUUAACCAAACAUACAUAAAUAUCAAAUCAACCUCAACUAAAAACACUUUUUAUAAAACAACUUUUUUCAAACCACAACCACAACAGUUACUACAAUACUAAACACACACACAUAUAUAUAGGCCCUUUUUGUUUGAGAUCUUACAAUUUAGUCCCUUUAUUGACAAACUGAGCUAGAAUGUGCAAUGUAUAUAGGCCCCGUUUGUUUGUUGAAAAGUAGUUUCUUUUUGGAAAAUGAAUUCCGAGAAAGUGAUUUAUUUUCUGAUGUUUGGUAGUGUAAUUAAAUAUAAGUUGGAAAACACUUUCCAGUAUUUAGUUAUGUCAUGGAAAAUGAACAAGAAAAUAACUUAUUAAUGUUUUAUUUUUUUCAAGUUUAUUAAAAUAAUGAGGAACAAAUCUUACAAAUUAAAAAGUUGAAUGAGAAUGAAAGUGAAAAAAAAUAUAAUUUCAUAAAUUAUCUCAAAUAAAAUAAAUAAUAAUCAAAAUAAUAGAGAUCAAAUCUAAAAAAUAAAAAAAUUGAAAGAUCAAGAAAUUAAAAUAAUAAUAAUUAACAUUUCAUGAAUUAUUUCAAAUAAAAUAAGUAACAAUCAAAAGAAUGGGAACCAAAUUUGAUAGAUAAAAAAUUUCAAUUAAAAAAUAAUAAGGGAAAAACAAAAUAAAAAUGAGGAUCAAAGUUAAUAUAAAAAUUAAAUUUUAAGGGAUGAAAUUGAAAAACAUAUUCAAAACAAAAUAUAUAUAGCAAUCAAAAGUUUAAGGAUCAAAUUUGAUAUAAUCAGUAAAUGAUAUAAUAUUUCUAAAUUUUUUACAACUUCUGGAAAUUGUUUUCCGCCCAAAAUAAAAGAAAAACACUUUCUUGGAAACCAAGCCAAAUUUUCUUUUGACUGAAAAAUAUUUUCCGUUGACUAAUUUUUCUAAUGACAAAUAAACACAGAAAAAUUUAAAAAAUAAUUUCCUUAAAUUUACUUUUCAAAAAACAAACACGCCUAUAAUUUUUGUUUUCUUUCGUGAAUAGAUUCAUGGUGCCUUAUACUCAUGAAUUUUGGAGAGUGACAAUAUAGUCCCGUGGCACCGGCAAAGCUAAGUGAAUUAGCAUUAAGUGGAUGUUGUAUUGUAGUGUAUAAUAUUUUUAGAAAAAUAAUUUUUUAAAAAUAAUAUUAAUUUUUUAUAAAUAGUUUUAUAUCAAUACAUUUAAAUCAUUAAAAAACACUAAAAAUAUUUUUUCAAGUAACAAAAUAUUUUUGAAACCCACCAAAAAAAGAAACUAUUAUAUUUCUAAACACUCACUUAUAAAUCUAUGUGAUUUUUUUAAAUUACCAUCAAGCAUAAAUAAUUUGUUAAGUUUUUGUAAUAAAAUAAUUUUUCAUAGAUUCAAUUUCAAUGAUAAAAAUGCAUUUAAAGGGAUAGUUACUCUCAAAAUAUUAGAUUUUUUUUUUAAUCUAUUCUAUCUCACAUAUUUCUAUUGGACAACUUUUAUCUUUCCAUCGUAUAUCUAGUUCAAUUAUAUCUCAUCUCUCACAAAAUACAAUAUUAUACGGCCCUUCCAUGGAAGAAGCAGGUCAAGCAAAACAAGCUAGUCAAUGGCUUCUGUUUAAUAUUGCUCACAAAAAAUAAAAAUAAAAACUUUAAAUUUUUUUUUUUCCAUGCCGUGACAACAUGAUGGAUGUGAGAUCAUGGAUGAUGAUCGUUCUCUACGCACCUGUCCCUGUCACUGUACUUGUCCCCUUCUUUUCCCCCUUAUAAAUAGGUAAAAAUUGUAACAUUCAUGAUAAUUAUAAAAACAAUAUCGAUAUCUAUCAAGACUUCUUUUACAAUAAGAUUCCAAAAGAUUUAAUGAACACCACAUGAUAAUAUCGUUAAAACAGUUAUUAUUAAUAAUUGUUCAUAUAAACAAUGAAAUAAUUUAAUAUAUAUUUUUAUUUACUUGAUUAACAAUUUUAUAUUAUAACUCAAUAGUUAAUGCAUAUGAAUCACAUAAAGUUAUCGUGGAUGACAAACAAUAUGUUGUUUGCGGGUAAAAUAAAAGUGCCCAGCUGAUUAGACCUCUCUCAGGUAUACGUGCAUGCCUAUAAUUUUUUUAUUAAUUAUUUGGGUUUUUUUUUUAAAUAUUUUUUUAUUUAAUAUGAUAUUUUUAUUUAAUUUUAUUAUUCACUUGAUAGUAAAUUAAUUUUUUUUAUCAUAUAAUAAAAUUUUUUUUAUAUCUUUUUUUCCAACUUUAUUCUUUAAUAAGAUAUUUUUUAAAAAACAUAUUUGAGUUUUUUUUACUUUUUUUAUGUGAUUUUUAUUUUCAAUUUUAUUAUUCAAUAUGAUGUUUUUAUUUAAUUUUAUUAUUUAAUAUUGUGUUAAUUAAUUUUUGGAUCUACCUAGUAAAAAAAAUUAUUUCAAGACAACUCUCACACAAUUUAAUUUAAAACCCUUUUAAAAUAAUUGGUUAUGGAAUAGUUGAUUACAUACAACAUCUUAGCACAUAAAAUACUACAAACUGUACUUGUAAUUUUAAAACUCGACUACAAGAUACUGGUGUAAGGUUUGGGUAAUAUAAUGAUUUUGAUAGAGUUAAUCUGGGUUGGUUUUUUUUAAAAUUAAAACGAUGUUGUUUUAAUAAAUUUUUUAAGAGUCAACGAAUUAAAACCCAGUUUAGUAUUGCGAUUCAAUCGUGUUUUUGAAAUUUCUUUAACUUUAAAUUAAUUUUUUAGUGUUUUUGGAUCGUUUUAAUGUGCUGAUAUCAAAAUAAUUUUUUUUUUUUAAAUAAUAAAAAAUAUAUUAUUUUGAUAUAUUUUAAAUAAAAAACACUUAAAAAAAAUUAUAAUACACGGGAUAUAAGAAUAGAAAGCUUUAGUCCACGUUUCAUCAAUAAUCUUUAAUGUAUGUCAUCUGCAAAUUGAAGAUCAAGUAUAUUAUAUUAUGAGGAUAAUUGCUAUAUGUUGGAGACAACUUUGAUGAGUUGGAACUUUGCUAUUUUCUGUCUCUUUCUCUAUUGUUUCUCGUUUUUUUUUUUUAAAAAAAACCCUUAACCGUUUGUGGUGAAAGAAUCAUCGAUGAUGAACCUUUCCAUUUAUCUUCCUUUCACUGAUCUGGUUCAUAUGGUUUUGGAUCUAAAAAAUAAGGGAAUCCAAUUUAACGUUUGUAGAUUGAUUGAUUGGUAGUGAUAAAAAAAUAUUAUUAGUAGGUCAUAAUUUUCAUAAUUAUUGAGUUUUGAAAAUAGUAAUGUAAUAAUAAUGUACUUUGCACUUCUCAAUGAGUUGUUAUAUAUUAUGAUAAAGAAAAAGAAAAAGAAAAAGAAAAAGAAGAAAAAUUCAAGCCGGGCCUCUAAGAUCAAUUUGACCUCUAAGCCGGGGAUGAUGUGUCUGAGUUGCGACAGCAAAGCCAGUAUCAUUCAAGCUGCUGUCACCGGUACUUAAUUUAUAAUAAAUGGAAAAUUCGGCUGUUAAAUGGCGGCGAUGGCGGUUGCCGUUUUGGUGCUCACACAGGCGACUAGUUCGACAGUACGGAAACUGGAGCGAUUGACCAGCGACAUCAGCUCUUGUUUUUUCUUUCAAGGGUUGUGGGCUAACCUCAAAUCUGGUAAAAGUAAUUUUUUUUUAAUGACUAGAGGUAUCUUUACAAUAAUAUAACAUGGAGAUUAAAUUCAUCUUUUCAGUUUAUAUAAAUACAGAUUAUUAAUAACAGGGAAAUUUCACUCGGCCUUAAUUUUAAUAGCUCAGGUACGAGUCCUGUACACAUCACUUAAUUAUUAUAUCUUAAAUUGGUUCAGGUUAAAAAAAAUAUGGGAGGAAAUUAACUUAUUUUAACUUGUUUAAAAAUCUAAUUUGACUUGUAACUUGAUUAACUCGAGUACAAUUCGAUAAAAAUUAAUAAAAAUUUAUUUUUAAAAAUAUUUUUGUUUGAAAAUAUAUUAAAAUAAUAUUUUUUUUGUUUUUUUAAAUUUAUUUUUGACAUUCAAAACAAUUUGAAAACACAAAAAAAUUAUUUAAAAAAAUUCAAAAAUUUUCAAAAUAUAAAAACAAGAAAGCUCUAAGUUGAUCCUGACCCGGUCUAAAAUGUAGUUUGACUUGUAACCCGAUCAACUCGAGUAAAAUUCGAUAAAAAAUUGAUUAAAAUUUAUAUUUUAAAGUGUUUUUUGCUUGGAAAAUAUCAAAAUAAUAAUUUUUUAAAAAAAUUUAUUUUCGACAUUCAAAACAAUUUUAAAACACAAAAAAUCAAUUUAGAACUAAAAAAUAAAAUAUUUUCAAAAUAUAAAAACAGUAAGCUAUAAGUUGUUGCUUGCUUUUAAUUUCGCUGGUGCGUUUCAGCAAACUGACGUGCACUAGCUAGCCAUGUAUUUAUUAGACAUCAACAUCUAGAGAUGAAACACUGCCUGACCAAAUUGCCAGGAAGAAGAGCGUGAAAUCGUGGCUGAAGGUCGGUUGAUGGUGAGAGAAAAAGAGAGAUCACGUGUAUGACCAAAUGAAAUUGUCAAACCCACUUUUCCUUAACCCUCCUUAAUAAUAGAGUAGAUUAUUCUUUAAUCCCUGGGUUCUUAUUGAAGUUAUAAUCUAGCCCUUUAUGUUUGAAAUCUUACAAUUUAGUCCCUUUACUAUUGUUUACUUCUUUUUUCUUUUUUAUUAACAUCGAUUGGUUUUUCUCCAAGCGAUUCAAUUGCAAGAUAAUGACCAGCAAGAGAUUAAGCUACAAGGAUUCAAACUCGAGGGGUUAUUUCAAAGUCCAUGGAAGCCCACUGGAGAAUAAAAAAACAUCUCAGCUGAUGCAUUCUCCGAAGAAAGGGACAAUUAAAAAGCAUUUUAGUGUUGAUUUCAAAGGUUAGUCUGGAUAAGAUGGAUUGAAUUUCUCUAGGAAAAACAGAAGAAAGGUUCGUUUUGCAUUCUGUUUGAGACCGUGUCUUGUAAGAACAGAGGACCCAUGCAAGAGGUGACUUGCUCCUGACCCUUGUCAUCAUGUGGAGAUUCUGUGUAGUAGGACACUCAAAAGAGCAUCGUCAUGAUGUGAGCUUGCAACUGCUCCUUGGAAAUUUUCUUGUCCCAACAGCCAGCUAACGUUGAAUUCCAAGUACAGGUGGAGUAUUUCUGAGGAUCGAGAAGGACCGACUUGCCUGAAAUUAGUUCCGAGGAUGAAUUUCAAUCUUCUGUUCUUCAAGAGGUGGAGUAUUUCUCUCUUUUGUUUCUUGUUCUAUGGAAUAUCCCCUUCGGUAAAUGGUAAAUGGUAAAUGUGUACUUGAGACCUCAAUAUUCUUUUUUAAUUGACUUUCACUCAUAAUUCUAAAAAACCUACUACAGGUUAUUGGCUAAUUGUUAGAGAGUUAAGAAAAAAAAUCAGAUUAAAACAUUAUUAUAAAAACAUCAAUAGUCACAGAUUCAUGGGUUGACAUCAAUCAUAUGAUUUUUAUUAUCUCCAUGAAUAAUUAAGACGUUACUAUCUCAUAUCAAUUAAAAGAUGAGGAUCUUAAUAGCUUAUAUAAUAUAAAAGUCAUAUUUUUUUUGAAGAGGUGUUUUCCAUGAGCAUAAACAUACAUCAUCAAAUUCAUCGUAUCGGCUAGGGUCCAUCAUGAUCCAUGGUUAUGAGCAUAUAUAUAAUGAAAUACACGUGCUCAUUUUGUUGAAUAAUGCCUUCACUUGGUGUUCGGAAUGUCUAGGAUUGGCCAGAAUUGAUUUUGAACACACCAAUUUCAAUACUUAGUUUCUGAAAUUAAUUAAAAUUUUAAAACAUUCCGAGAUCCAACCUCUUUGGGUGCGAUUUUGGGAAGAUAAACAUUACAAUAAGUCCUCGAAUGUCCUAAAGGCCAACCAGUCUAAUAUUAUUGGCUCGCAUCAAUAUUUUCCACGGUAACUUUGUCCUUUUAGAACCUGAUGAUCAUCACCACAGAUUCUGACCAAACCGUACACCCAUUAUUAGACAACAAAUUAUUCACGCUAUAGAAAAAAGACAAGAGGUGGAUGGAAGAUAUACAUGAAAACACUAGGCUGAAGUUACCCUUGUUGUUUAGAUAAAUGAGUAAAAUUAUAAUAAUGUUUUAUUUUUAUAUUAGUUUAAUUAAAUUAGAGAAUAAUAAAUGAAUUCUAUCGCAUUAGAUUUGAAUCACUUAAAAUCCAACUGGGUUCAUUAUAUUUUAUUAUGAAUUAAUUUGGUUUCAAAUCAACUAUUAAUUUUCACUCUAGUAACUCUCAGGUUCAACACUUCUCCAUAUCUUCUCAAUGAAUGGAUUCUAAGUAACCACACAUCCUAGAGUUGAAGUUAAAGAAGUUUUUGAUCCUACUUUUUUUUUUUUAAAAAAAGUAUUUUCUAAAAAAUUAAAAAUUUUAUAAUUAUUUUUAAAUUAAUUUUUUUAUUAUCAAAUCGUUUGGAUAGGCUGAAAUUAAUUUGUUAUUAUAUGUUUUUAAAUAAAAAAUCUUUUCAAAAAUAACUUCUAUUCACAGUAUAAAAUAGACUCUAAAACAUACAGACGCCAAGCAUACAACUAGUUGAAUUCAGAUGCAUGAACAACGCAACAUGGAAUGCAAUAUAAAAAUGGUAAUCGGACGAGGCGAUGUCCUUUUUAUUUUUUACUUUUUUCUCUUCCGAUUCUCUUCUGGUCCCCUUCAAGAACUAAUCGCACAAUUUGAUUUUAAUUUUCUCCUUUUACUACCUCUGCCUUUUCGUGUAUAUCUGAGAUUGUGAUAAUAGUAACGUUUUAAAAUAAUUUUUAUUUAAAAAUAUAUUAAAAUAAUUUUUUUUAUUUUUAAAAAAUUAUUUUUGAUAUUAAAACAAUUUAAAAAUAUAAUUUUUUUUUAUUUUUAUAUAAAAAUAAAAAUAAUUUUUUAAAAUUUAAAAAAACACGGUUUUCAAACGCUAUUCAAAUGCCAUUCCACAUACGAAAACUCGCACGGUUCCUGUCGCUUUCCCUAGUACAAUCGCACGAUGAGCAAGUUGAGGCUACACUGUGCCAUUUGCAAGACAUAUAAAUAAAUUACCAGUACUGAGCCCAAAAUUAGAAUCCACCCUCAAAGACUCACUUCGCUUAUUGACAGAUUGAUGGCAAAGUUCUCAAAGAAACUUAGCAAGACAGAUGUCCGAAAGAGACUCGCAGUGCCAACCAGGUCUCUCAGCUCUCUUCCAUCCUUUGAUGGUGCUCAUGCUGUAUAUUUUCAAGCUGCAGAUGAAAGAGGUGAGGUUUGGACCUUCAAAUGCUCCAUUCGCAAACGAAGGCACCCAAAACCAGUUCUUUCAAAGGAUUGGCUCGCAUUUGUUGAUAGCAAGGGCCUUAAAGCUGGUGACAUGAUCGAGUUCUACAAGGAGACAAACGAAGCCGCCACAGCACAUGCUUACAAGGUUCGGGCUGAAAGACAAAUCAAGAUAUUUGGUGUUGUUUUUGGGUAUGCUCCUAUUACUGCAAUAACCCACGACUCCAGCGAUGUUUCUCCAAUAUAACUAUGAUGUAUAGUAGGAAGCCAACAUGUAGCUAGCUAGUGCUAGGCAUAAGGAACUGAAUUACCCUGUAAAUUCUAUUUUACCAUGCUGUUCAUAUUCAAUUACCUAAAUUGUUAUGGGAAUUGUACUGAUUCUCAAAACAUUAGGAUUCUAUAUUUCAUCUGUAUUUAUGUGGCAAGUAUUGAAUAACAUUAUUGUUUAUAAGAAAAGGCCGAGUAUAUGUGCGUGUACUGCCAGAAAGAGUUGGUGUAUUGUUCAGAGUUAUUAAACUGGUACAGUUAAACAAGUUGUUUUGUAUCUAUUUAAAAUUCUAUCAUUUCAAGAAUUUUUUUUAAUAAAAAUUGAAAUUAUGUUAUUUUAAAUUUUUUAAAUUUUAUUAAGUUGACCGGAUUGUUAAUUGAUUUACAUUAGAUUUGAUCAAGUAAAUUCCACCUAAUUUAAUUUGAAACUCAACUUGAACUAGAUUUUAAAUUGGUAAGUUUUUGGGUUAAUUUAUCAAGUCAGGUUUAAUAUCCAUUAUAUGCAUAGUUAGAUUAUGCUAUUAGGUUUUUUUUACCUAAAAGCAAUGAUUUUAUACAGAGACCAUUUACAUUUUUUAUACACUCACUAGGUGAUGAAGUCCAACGAUUUACUAAAAAAGGAUGUGAAAGCUGAGCCCCGGCCAUCCCAUGGGUGAAAUGACUUUUUUCAAGAAGAGUAAAGAAGGAAACAACAACAUUUUCUAAAUAAUAAUAAAAAAAAGCUACCGCUGCCCUUCCCAAUUUGGAGGACCUUCUUCUCUCAGAACAACGACUAUCAACAAUCCAAAAAAAAAACAAUUACCGCCGCAAUAGCCACGUUAAUUCGGUGGCUGAAUUUUAUGUUCUUGAUUCAGAAAUUGACUUUUUACCAUUGGAGUAAAUAAGAAUAGCCACGUCUGUUAGCGAGUAAACGAAGGUGAAGUGAGCAAUUGUUAAUUACACUUCCAAUAACCAACAGAUAAAAUUUACGACCCAUGGGAAGAAAACAAAGCACAAGUCCUUGAGGUAGUGAUCGGUAAGCUGGAUAAUGAUUUACUAAUAUGAUAAUUUUAUUAUGAAGUUGUUUGGUAUUUCUUUAGAUAAUAUAAAAACAAAUUUUUAUUCUGUUUAAAGCUAUUUAAGUACAGAAAUUUUUGUUUCAUUGAAAGAGUUAGAAUAAACUUGUUAAAUUCUCUAUAUAAAGGUUAAUCUAGCUAAUCCGGCUCAACAUAAAAAUAAAAUAAAGGUUGUUAUUAUACUUUUAAAACUCGACUAGAGGCCGACCCAGGGUAAGACUAGGUCACGGGCCGUAUAACCAUUCAUUGACUUUGGUCAACGUAAGGAUAAAAAAAGUAAUUAUCAUAGUUUUAAAACCCGACUCGGUGGACGAACCAGGGCCAGAUUCGGGUCACAGGUUAACCAUUGACCCGGGUAAACAUAAAGGUAAAAAUGAUUAUUAUUAUAGUUUUAAAACUCAAUUUAGGGGUCGAGUUGGAGUCGGGCCUGAGUUGCGGGUGGAGACCAUUGACCCGGGUUAACGUAAGGAUAAUAUUGAUUAUUAUCAAAGUUUUAAAAACUCGAGUCGAGGGUCGACGUGGGGCCAGACUCGGGUCACGGGUUGGGUUGACCAUUGACCCGUGUCAAUAUAAGGAUAAAAAUUAUUAUUAUUAUAGUUUUAAAAUCCUAUUUGGGGGUCGACCCGGGGCUAGGCUCGGGCCAUGGGUUGAGUUGACCAUUGACUUAGGUCAACAUAAGAAAAAAAUGAUUAUUAUUAAAAUUUUUAAAAUCUAACUAGAGGAUCGACCCGAGCCAGACUCGAGUUACAAGUAGGGUUGAGUAUUGACCAAAGUCAACAUAAAGAUAAAAAUGACUAUUAUUAUAGUUUGAAACUCAACUUGGGGGUCGACCUGAGACGAAGUUCGGGUCACAGGUCGGGCUGACCAUUAACUCAAGUCACUGUAAUGAUAAAACUAAUUAUUAUUAUAGUCUUAGAACUUGACUCGAGAGUUGACCCGGGGCUAGGCCGAGUCACAAGUCGGAUUAAGGAUUGACUUGGGUCGAUAAAAACAAUUAUUAUUGUAGUUUUUAAACCCUACUUAAGGGUUGACUUGAGGCCAAGUUUAGGUCAUGGGCCGAGUUGACCAUUGACCUGAGUCAACACAAUGAUAAAAGUGAUCAUUAUCAUAGUUUUAAAACCUAACUAAGGGGUCGACAUGGGACAAGGCUUGGGCCAUGGGCUGCGAUGAUCAACCCGGGUUGACCUAAAGUAAUGUAAGAAUAAAAAUUAAAAAAAAAUCAAAGUAAUCUCAUUUUGACCAAAGAAAUAUAUAAAAAGUAAAUGGGUUUUUAACCCGUGUUUUAUCUUGGGUCAUUGAGGUCGCAAGUUUUUGAAUGGGUCAAGUCAAAUCAAUCUUUUAUCUAUUUUUUUAAAUCAAAACGGCCUAGACCUUGGGUCGGCCGAGUCCUGUCUAGUGUCUAACAAACACAAAAUAAAGCAAAUUGUUUAGUCCAAUUCAUAACACACCAAACACAGGAUAAGAUAAUUAUUUGCCUAAUCUUAUAUACUCCAGUCCAAUUCAUAGUACACCAAACACAUGAUAAAAUAAUUAUUUGUCCAAUCCUAUCUAAUCCAGUCUAAUUAAUAUUACUUAGCAUACAAAACACUUCUGAAGAUAACAAUCAAACAUCAACAAGUAACAAAUAAACAAAUCAAUACAUCUUUCAUAAAUGAGAGUUUGACUUAUUGUAGUGAUUUCUUAGUUUUUAUCAAAAUAUAACAUGCUUAAAUCUUAAUAUUUGGUUAAAAUUGAAUUUGAUUAUAUCUUAGGUAAAAAAACUAAAUUAACUCUUCUUUUUAGCUAAAAAAACUACAAAUUUAAUUUACAAGAGUUUCUUAAUUAGCCCUAUAUAUCCAAGUUGAUAUAGUUGAAUUGAAAAAUUCAUCAAUCAUAUGACAACAUGGAAAAAAAAUUAUUAUAGUUAAGGGUUCUUCAGCAAGGCUCUAAUAAAAAAAAAAUUUAUCUAUUAUUUUAUUUUUAGUUUCUCUCAUAUUUUAAACUUUUCUUUGGACGAUAAUGAAUUGGAUUAGACCAGAGCCAUAUUUAGUUUCACCCCUAUUUAUCCAAAAUAUUCAAAUUUAUUAUUUAUCUUUCACUUCAACCUAAUCGACUUAUUCCAACCCAAUUAACUCAGCUCGACAAAUAAAUUUCUUUAUCUUGUAGGUAGAGUGUCAAAAUCCGGCUCGACUAUCAGGUUCACUCAAGGUAUUGACCUAAUCAAAACACACCUAAUUCAGUUGAUGCUUAACUCAAUUGACUUAGUCAAAUCUAGUCAAAGACCUGAUCAAAUCAAAAGUUUGAAUUAAAAAAGAAAACUUGUUGUUUAGAGUAGGAUUCAAACCGUAAUUUUCUUUAUCAUCUAAAAUGUUAUAUCAAUUCAUCAAGACUAACACAAGCAAUGUAUGUUAUUAAUAAUAUUGUAUAUAUUGUUGCACGUGUGCGGCAUUGCGAUAAACCUCCUCCUGGAAUAUCCAAGUGUAUAUGGUGUAGGGAAAUGGACAUGACAAGAAAUUAUUGUCCUUUAUCAGUGUAAAGAGGGAAUGAGAGUCACCAUCUUGAUCACUAGGAACCCUAACUGGUCUCAAAGAUCGGGCACAAGGACUGGUUAUAUAAAGAAAAUGUAUUAACACUCCAAGCACACCUUACCUUAGGUAAGUUGCAUUGUUUAAUUGGUUUAUUAAACUAGUUGUCUGAUUGUUGGGCUGUCUAAGGUUAAAGACAAAUCCUCCUUAGUAAGGAGAUCCUUAUUUUAUCGAGUAAAAACCUAAUUGUUCUAAUGUUAAUAAAAAAAAUCUACCUUUUUAAUAUUUGAAAUAUGUUUUACGUAUAAGUUUGUAAUCCUAAAUACUUAAAAAAACAAAAUAUUUUUUUGGUAUUUUUGAAAUAUGGGCUUAGUUCUCAUGACUUUAAUAAAUUAGUUAUUAAAACUCAUAAUGCAUGCUAAUACAUAUUUUUUUUUAAUUUUGUUUUGUAUGAAAAUACAAUAUGAAAUUUUUUAUAUUUUUUAGAGACUUAACCGUAUACAUGAAAACAAAACAUUUUUUUUCCAUAUAUAUUUCUUGUAAAUUUCGGAGAAAACCAAGUAUUUUAAUACCGGAUUUAUAUUUUUAUAGUAUAGAAAUACAAACCACUAUUAAUAAAAAAAAUAGUAGAAAAAUAUGCGAGAAAACCAUAAUUUUUUUAAAGGAUUUUGAAUUUUUUUCCGAAUUGUUUUUCUUUUUAAUAUAAAAUAUAAUAUUAUCAUAUUAUAAUAAUAAUAAGAUGGGCUUGACCCAAUUAUAUAGGUAAAGCCCAUCCUGUCUGGGCUGAGAUCGACCUAAAAGAAAUUGGGCCGAGGUCGGCCUAAAAGAGUUUGGCCAACAUCAGCCUAACAAAUCUUCUUUUCUUUCUAUGUGAUUGGGCCAGACUCGACCUAAUCAUUUUGGUCUGGGCUGGAACUGGUCCAACCUAGUAAAUUAUGGAGAGACUCCAUUGUUCAAUAGUAUAAUAGUGAAGAAGGAAGAUGAGAAAGAAGUAAAGAAAAGAAGAAGAAUAAGGAGGAGGAGGAGAAGGAGAAGGAGAAAGAGAGGGGAGGCUGACCUGGUGGUGAUGAUGGUGGUGUUGGUGGUGCCGGUUGCAGAACGAUGGUGGUUCCAAGCUGCCGCGAGGAAUAGAUGGUGGCUAUAAAUGGGAUUCCUUUUUCCUUCUUUGUGCAAAGGCACAUGCUUAUUCUUUUCUUUCUUUUUUUUCUUUCUUGUUUUUUUCUUCCCUAUCUCUCCUGUUUUUUCUUCUGGUUUUUUUUGUUUAUGUUCCUCUCCUCUCCUCUCGUUUCUGUUAUGUGUUUUUUUCGUCCUCUCUAUUUUCCUUUCUUUUUCUCUCUCUUUCCUUUUGUUUUUUCUGUUUGUCUUUCGUCUUCGUUUUUUCUCCCCCCUUGUAUGGCCUUUCUCUGGCUUUUAUAAAGCCAGAUAAUACCAUUCGUUCGCCCAACAAUAUGAAGUGGACUCUUAGGAUCGUUACAGUGGUAAUGGAGACACAUCGUGGAGGUGCAAGGCUGCUUUUCUUCUUUUUAGUCUGGUCCGCUGAAAAGGAUGAACAAUGUCUUUUGAGACAACAUUGUCUCAUUCCUUAACUGAUAUAGCAAAUUUCAAUUUGCCUCCUAAAGUUCUGACUUUUUGCGAUUGGACCCUUCUUCAUGGAAAAUCUCUCUUUUUUUUUUUUUAAUUUUUUCCCUGGAUAAAUUGCAAUUGGACUCCUGAAUUUUAGCGCAAUUUACAAAAUAGUCUUGGUUUUUGAAUUAUUUAAUUAAGUCCUUAAUUGACUCUUAAACUUUUCAAAAUUACCCCUGGAAAAAUCAAUUAAGCUCCUUACAGAGUACCCUUGCCUUUUCACUGUGGUCAUUGGACUUUAAUUUCUUACAAUUUUGACCCAAAUCAACCUCAAACUUUGAUAUUUCUUCAAUUAAACCUUUAAUUGCAUUAAUUAAUUAAAUCAAAGUUUAAUUAAGUCUCCAAACUUAUUAAUUCUUUCAAUUUUUAACGAAAUUGACUCCUAAAUUUAAUUUCUUCCAAUUAAAGCCUAAAUUGACUUAAAAAUCAAAUUUUCUUGCAAUCAAACCCUUUAUAAACUCAAUUAAUCUUUCAACAAAAUCUAAUUGAGUCUUUAAAUAUCUGAUUUUGAACUUUUUUUCUUCAAAUUAAAUUUUCUGUGUCAGUAGGGUCUUCAUUAGUAAAAAAGUAUAAUGUCAAAUUUUAAUCUUUAUAUUUUUAAACUUUCUCAACCAAUCUUUAACCAUUUUUUGGGCGUCCCUGUGUCUUCUUCUCACUGCUAUAUAUUUUUUAGUGUUUUUCCAAGAAUUUUUUUGAUUGUUUUUGGCUUGGGGUUCCAAAAAUACAUAACAACACUAAUUUGUAUGGUAUAUAUAUUACCAUAGCUGAUCAGCUAGGUCAGUCGAGUAAUCCAAAGUCUUUAUGGGUCAAGUUUGGAUAGGAUCUAAUAAAUAUUUAAAAGAAUACCUAUCAGAUACCAGACCUAAUUGGAGUUCACUAGCUAGUUGAUUUGCACCUACACCCCACUUGGAACUUGUUUAUUUUUUUGUUGCAAAAGGUCUUUGAAUUAGUAUCGCCGUCUCCAAUAUUCAUCAUGUUUGUCUUGAAAAAUUUGGAACAGGGAAACUUUUGUAGAAAGCUUUGUGCAUGCAACUAGCAGUAAGGUUUUGUCUUCUUAUCAGUGCCCUAGAGGAUUUCUGUACCACAAAUCAAAAGAAAAGAACAAUACAUAAAGCUGGAAAGGUUUAGAAUGCUCCACUUUUAAAAAAAGCACAACAUAAGAAGACGAUACCAACAAGGAAACUCCAAGAUUAAAGAAAUAGAAAGAAGAAGAAGAAGAUACUAUAAAAUAUCAAUUCAUUGAGGGGAUGCCCCUCCUUAGCAUUUCUUAUUUAUUUUAUUAAUUAGUGCCGAUAUGUAUCCCAUGUGAUGGGCACAAAUGCUUUUAAUUUUCGUUCACUUGAAAGUGAUAGUUUGUUUGAAUUCAUCUAAUUAAAUUUCCUAUGUUCCUUUAGACACAUCAACUUUUACUAUUAAUUUGCAUUUAAAUUUGCCAUCCAUACCGAUUAAUUAUACAAAAUGUCUUUGAAUUAUUAUCGCCUUCUCCAAUCCAUAACACUUGUCUUGAAGAACUUAGAAUCUGGAAACUUUGGUAGAAAGCUUUGUGAGAUAAAUCACAUGCCCUAGAGGGUUUUUGUAACAUAAAUCAAAGGAAAGGGUUAGUAUGCUCCUACAUGCCCACUUCUAAAAAGGCACAAGAUAUGAAGACGAUACCAACAAGGACGAAACUCCAAGAUUAAAGAAAUGGGAAGAAAAAACAAGUUAAUGUUUACAAAAGAAAUUGCAAAUGAUCUAUGGAAGUAAACGUCAUUUUUUUGGGGCAUAAUUGAAAUCGAUUUGUGGUCUUAAGCACAGUGGAUUAUAAAAACCUUAGUGUGAAAACGAGAGAUUUUAGAGUAUUGCACAAAUAAAUAGUAAUAUUUACUCUGCAAAAGAGAGAUAGAUAAAAAAAAAGGGGCAGAGAGAUAGAUAAAUCCGACUAAGCCCAUGGGUUUAUAUCAUACGCCAGCCCAAGGAAUACAAGGCCUAGCCCACAUAGACUCGAUUGCUCGACUCUGAUGUUAAUUAAUUGGGUAGCGAUCCAAAAUCUUAGUUAGAUCGGGUUCCGAGCUGGGUCUAUCAAUUAUGCUAGGGGGCACUCACUAGAUAUCCAACUUCUUUUUUUUUUUAAAAAAAAAAAAUCUAUUUUAGCAAGAUAAAAUCUAGACUUAAAAAAAUCACAACAUAAUAUUUGAAUUAUAAAAUCAUAAAAUAGAUUCUAAAGCUUGAACUGAUCGUAAAAUCAUAAAAAUCUUCCAUAAAUCAUGAGCUAAGAAUCCAUCCAUAUAAUACAUUAAAAAUAAAAUAAAAUAACAACUCUAUAAAAUGAAAAGAAAAAGUUAAAAGAUUGGGAUCCAAUGACAUGUAAUAGGUGAACCUCUCCUCCGUCUCCACUUCCAACUUGAGUCAAUUCGAGUUGGGUUUUACCCAUCUCUGUGUCAACUAAGUCAGAUGAAAUUGAAUAUUUGAAAGAUCGGAUAAAAUUAUAAUUUCUAGUUCUGAUCACCUUAACGUUGCCUCUUCAUUGGAGAUUACUGGUUGAUUUGCACAUAUACACCCCCACCUGGGUGUUUAUUUAUUUGUUGCCGGAGUCGAUGAAUUUUACAAAAAGGUCUUUGAAUUAUUAUCACCUUCUCCGAUCCUUAACAUUUGUGUUGAAAAUUUUGGAAUCGGGAAACUUUUGUAGAGAGCUUUUUGUAACUAAGAAUUCCAUUCCAAUAUUUUUCAAUACAAAUUAAGGUUUCUAAUCAUGAAUGAACUAAUUAAAUAAUUUAAAUUGUUAUGUGAAUUUAAAGAUAUAAUUUGUAUUAUUUUCUAAAAUAUAUUUUCAAAUAAAAACUUUUUAGAUUUAAAAUUUACAUAAACUCACACUAACUUGUACUAUUAAUUAGAAGAGAAAACAACGGUGAUAAAAUUAGAAUUCGUAACUAUUUGAUGACAAGAUUCUAAUAUUAUGUUAAACAAUUAAUUCAAUUUAAUAAUUUAAAAUAUUAGGAUAUUAGGUAAUGUUUUAAAAUAUAAUUUAUAUUAUUAUAUAAUAAACACAAAUCACAAUAAAAAAACAAUACAUGGAAAGGUUAGAAUGCUCCAACAUACUCCACUUAAAAAAAAAAAAAAGAGUAGAAGAUAAGAAGGCGGUGGAAACUCCAAGAUUAAAGAAAGAGGUAGUAGAAGAGAAAGAAAAAAAGAAAAAAAAAGAUAAUGAUUACAAAAGAAAUUACAAAUGAUCUAUAUAUAAUAGUUUAGAAGCAUUUCUAAAUAGAAAAGUCAAUUCAUUGUGGAGCAUUUCUUAUGUUCUUUAGUGGCAAUACGUAUCCCAUGUGAUGGGCACGUAUGCUUUAAUUUUUGUCACCUCAAAGUGAUAGUUCGUUGGAUUUAUCUGAAUUUCCCAUGUUCCUUUAGACACAUUAACUUUUAUAUUAAUUUUAUUUUUUGCAUUUAAAAUUGUUAGUCCUAAAUUCGAACAAUGUAGUUCGAAUUCAUUUGUGGUCUCAAGCAGGAUGAUAAAAACCUGAGUUUGAAAAGAGAGAUUUCAGAUAUAAAUAGCAAUAUAUAUUUUAUAAGAGACAUAAUUAUGAAAAAUAGAGAGAAUUAAAAAAAAUAUAUAUUUUUAAGUUAGACAAAACUAUUCUUAUCACUUUAAGUUAAUUGCCUUUACCACCCUUUGUUUUGGACGUUGUUACGUUUUGCACCUUAUAUUUCUUUCAUAAUUUACAAUGUUUAUUUUUUUAAAAUUAAAAAAUAUCCAUAUUUAAAAGAAGCUAAAAAAUAAUGCACUCUUAUUUUAUCAAUUAUACUCAUUUUUAUAUAAGAAGAAAAAAAACUAUAUUUUUUCGAAGCUCAUACAAUCAAGUCUAUUUUUUUUUUUGUUUUUAAGAAAAGCUUAUGUUUUUUGAAAAUCCAUGCACAUUGUUCAUCAAUAUGUUUUUUUUUAGUAAAUCAUAUAAUAAAGAAAAUAAAGGAUAUGUUUAAUAUCAAAUAUAUUUUUUAAAGAUUAACAUAGAGGGUAAUGGGAUAAUUAACUUUAUCAUUUUUUAUAGAUUCGAAUAUAUUUUUUUUCUAUUUUUUUAAAUUGAGUUUAUAAAAAAAGUAUUGAUAAUUAAUCAUGAAGCACUUGUGAAAUUCUAUAUAUAAAAACCACUAAGCAUAUAUCUUUUAAAAUAUUAGAAUCACAUGACAAGCACAUAGGAGAAUAAAAGCUCACCCACCCUUGCGAUCCCAUAAAAUAUAUUCGUAUCUUUGACCAAAAAAACAAAAGAAAAGGAUUCGUAUCUCAAUAAAUUUUUUUUUUUAAUUUUACUAACAUUAAUGAACUAACUCAUAUUCAUAGCAAUGAACAAGGGUGCGCAAUUGAUUAAGGACUCAAUAAAUUUAACUUGUAUGAUCACUUGAAAAUUAAGAAGGCAAUUUUAUUGAAAGUUAAUCUCCACAACAAGAAAUUAUAACAUAAACCGGUGCUAGUUACGGAUGCUAUUAGAUUAAUUGCACCUAAUUAACCCUCAGUUUUACAAUAUAAGAAACUAUGCAUGCUUUACUUGAUGAUCCAGUUGAAUUUUAACUUGCACAUCCAGCAUUUUUUGUCUUUUCUUCCUUCUUGUUUAAUUUUCUCUGAAGGGGCUUUGUCAUUUUUUUACAAGUGUGUGGUGUGUGUGUAUAUAUAGAAUGUGAAUCAAAAUAAUUUACCUGAAACUAUAGUAAAUUUUAGCUACCAAAACGAAGUAAAUAGAAUUAUAUAUAUUACCUUCGUUUUGGUGGCUAAAAUUUACUAUAUCAUGUCAGGUAAAUUAUUUUCAACUAAUUAUUCUUCAUUAUUAUUCUACAUAUUACUUUCAUGUUCCAGGAGGUAAUUUCAUGUGGCUAAAAUAUAUAAAUAAAUUACCAACGUAGACAUAUGUAAAUGAAAUAACAAUAAGGUUAAAAGGACUCGAAUUGUUAUUUUGACAUAGGCGUGGUAAGCGGUUCUCCCCUCUCUUACCCCAUCCUUUAAUUGUUCUUCCAGCUGGCAGACUCUUAGGCCUUUCAGGUUUUUGGUUCUGAGUGGGUUUCCCCUCUCUUACCCAAUCGUUUUUUGCCAGAUGGCAGGUUCUCAGGCCUUUCAGAUUUUUGGUGUCGACUGGGUUUCCCCUCUCUCAUCCAAUUUUGCCAAUUGGCAGACCUCAGGUAUUCCAGCUUAUAAUAUAUUAUUGAGGACAGAAAAAUACACUAAAUUUAAGAACCCCACGAAACGCUAGCUUGGUUAGAUUUUGGAUUUGCAUGUGCUCAAAAGAUGACAUGCACACACAACUUGGCACUUGGUGGGAUUCUUGAAAACAACACUAAUGUUAAGAAAUUUGAUAGUGAAAUCCAUUGCUCAUACAAAAAAAAAAAAAGAUGGCGGGACACACCUUCAAUUAAGAAUUGCACACGAUUUGUCCUCUCCCUUUCCAAAAUCUCAACUCAAUGUGUAUUGAAAAAUCUCAAAAAAAGAUUACGACAAGCAUAUUAAACAGUGGAAGCAAGGACCUAGUUAAGGAUAGUUUGUCGUCGCCGCACAUUUAAAUAAAGGUUCAAGUAAACACUUAGCACAAGAACAUUGGAGUGUUCUCUAAAAGCUUUCUUACAGAAAAUCAGAGUGCUUUCUAAAAGAGUUCUUAUUUUGAUCACUUUGCCUGACACAAAUGGAGACCUUCUCAAAGGUACUUAGCAAGACUGAUAUUAAGAAGAGACUGGCAGUGCCAACAAAUUAUCUCAAGUCUCUCCCAUCCCUUAAUGGUGGCUGUUCCGUGGAUUUUAAGGCAAUAGAUGCGAAGGGCAAGGUUUGGACCUUCAAAUGCUCCAUUCGCAAGAAAGGACAUCCCAAGCCAGUCAUUUCAAAAGGCUGGCUAGCGUUCGUUGGCAGCAAAAAGCUUAAAGCUGGUUACAAGAUCAGAUUUUACAAGGAGAACAACAAAGUCAGUACUGCAACACAUGUUUUCAGGGUUCAAGCUGAAAAAGAAAUCAAGAUAUUUGGUGCUGUUCUCGGCUAUGCACCCAUAUAGCUGCGUUUCCAUAUCGCAUUAGGGUUAAUAAGAGAAGUCUGCAUAUGGCUCACCAUGACAACCUCAGCUUAAAGACUUCUCAAACAGGGCUUGUUUUGGUAUUUGCAUUUAACAAAAAAAUGUUCAAACCUAUGCUGUUGUGCUUGUUUUUGUUACGUUGUCUACCUGUUACUGCUGUUUCUUUUGGUGCUUUUGACUUUUGUUAUUAUCAAAGUAAAACAGGUACGUUAUCUGGAACUUUUGUUUAGUAGUCAGUAGUCUAGAUAUGUUUUUCGUUAUGCAUGUAAAAAAAUUUCAAUUUGGCAAGUGUAUUUAAUCAUUUCUGUCGAAAUUAAACAGGGCUCCACACACACACACACACACAUAUUAAUUAUGAAUCAUUUUUCCCAUGUAAGAUAGUAUUUAAUAUUAAUUAAUAUAAUGUUAUUAAUUAGAUGAUUUUGAGAAAAAUAGAAUAAAACACAUAUCAAAUUAAAAAAAUCGUUAACACAUAAGUGAAAUUGUAAAAUUUUAACAAAUUAAUACGCGGGUGAAUUGACAGGGUUAGACCUAUGUUUUUUUACUUUAGUAAUUUUGCUUUUUUACUUCUACCUCACAAUUUUACAACAUUAAACCUCAGUGAAAUGGUCUUUUAAGUGAAAAAUAUUGCUAUAGACAUUAUUAUUUCCUUUUCGAGUUCUUUCCAGUUCUUUGAGUACAAGUUCACCUGGAGGUUUAACAAUAAAGUGGCCUUGUUAAUCUUAGGCGUGUAUGUCCUGAAAUUGUUUUCUUUAUGGAGGAUUUUUCCUUUCGAUAUCAGUACUCUUGCUGCAAACGAUCAACUCAGUUUGGCUUCCGGUGAAUAAUUUCAUCUUUAUCAUAAAGAAAACGUAAAAAAUAUGGCAGCCCAUAGCUACUAGGUGAGGACCCACAAAAUCUGGAUGUCUUCUAUCAUCUAUCCUAGCUAGCAGCAUUUUCGGCCGUCUUUGCAAACGCAUGAGCCACUUGAUUACAAUUUCUAAAACAAUGGGUUAUUAAUUCCCAAUUUAAAAAAUAAACGUGAAGAUACUUUCCAAGACGGAUAUUCACAAAAGACUCUCGGUACGUUCUAAAAGCGCAUCUCCUCUCCACUUAGCCUAGCAAAUGGUAAGCUUUCACAAAGAUAUUUAGCAAGACAGAUAUUCACGAGAGACUCUCAGUACCAUCCAAGUAUCUCAAGGUAUGCUGUGGAUAUUCAAGCUAAUGAUAAUGAAGGCAACGUUUGGACCUUCAAGUGCUCCAUUCGCAAGAAAGGGCAUCCAAAACUUCUUUCAAAGGAUUGACUUGCAUUCGUUGCUUGCAAGAGUCUCAAAGGUGGUGACAAGCUCACGUUUAACCUGGUUAAAAAGAAAUCCAGUACCGCAACACAUGUUUACAGGGUUCAGGAUGCAAAACAAAUCAAGAUGUAUAAUAUAAUAGGCUGACUUUAUUAAGUCACUAUCUCCUGUCCCAUUUAAGGCUAGCUAAUGAUAUGAAAGGUCGUUUAAUGUGCAUUGAUUGUGUUUUAUCUAGGUGACGAUGUUGCAGAAAACCUCUAGAAGUACGGUUUGUUUUUUUUAAGGCUAUGAUGGGUUGGAAGGUGUAGGAGACUAGACUUUGACAACCAAAUCUCCUAUAAAACAAGACCCUUUUACAGGUUUACACUCCUAAACAAAAAUGGAUUUUAUUAAUGGAAUUGUUCAAUUGUUGAUUUAGCAACGGAAAAUCCAUAGAUACAGAACAAUAAAUUAGAUAAAAAUAAAUAAAUAAAUUAUAUAAGGAACUUUUGCAAUGAAUUUUUCAUUGCUGAUAUGGCAACAUCAAAUCUGCAAUGAAUUAGAUGCGGAUUCCAAAAAAAAAAAAAAAAGUUUAAAAUCUCCGCUGUCAUUGUAAAACUAAAGGAUAUAAAACGUGUAUUCUAAAAAUAUGAUAAAUGCAAUAUAUAUAUAUAUAUAUAUAUAUAUAUAUAUAUAUAUAUAUAUAUAUAUAUAUAUAUAUAUAUAUAUAUAUGUUUUUUUUUACACUAUGCUUUUUAAUGUAUUUUGAGCUUAUGCAAGUUUAUUGGAAGCUAUUUUUAUGAGUUUGAUAUACCUAUGAAUUAAUUACAAAAAGAUAAAGAAUUUCUGCAUUUUAUGUUUUGAAUAUUGCUUCUUAUGACAGGUUUUUCAUUAAGUUUUAAUUUCAGAAUGUGAAUGUAGGCUAAAUCAAAGUUAAAGUACAUAGGUAUAUCAAGCUUUUCAAGAAGGUAUUAUAGGCAGAAAUCCGAUUUCGUUUGAACCUCUAAUCAGACCUGCAAAAUCGACCUGAAAUCUUUCUUAUAACAGGAUUCUAUACUUUCACACUACAGAUUCAAAUAAACAUAUCUUGAGCCUCAGACAUUAAAAUCAUGUGAUAUAAAAGCCCCAAAUCAUCUACACAUCUAGGACUACAACUUUUAUGAAGGAUGCCAAGUCAGAUAAAAUCUUUUUGAAGGCACAAAUAAAUUCAAACGCAAUUUGAAGGACAAGAUUGGUCUCCUGAUCUGAUGAGGAAACUAACAGCGCCAAACAUCCCACUACAACUAAGAGUUUGACAUAGAAACGACGGGCUUUAGUACCCAAGAAAGGUGCAGAUCAAACCUCUAACAUACUAUGAAUUAAAGAAUACUAUUGGGAUGGUCGGAUAUUAUAAGAAACUAAAUCAGAAAAAAAAGUCUAAGUUGCAGUAGAGGUGGAAUUACAACAGAGUUGUGACAGCAGCAGAGUUGUGAUAGGAGUAGAGUUGUGACAACAACAGAGUCUAUUUUUCAACACAAAUUCUAAGAGAUUUAACUAACCUUAAGAACUAGAUAAAGAAGAAAGGAGUUAAGUAGCAUAAGGACUUCCAAUUAGCCUAAGAAUUCUGAAGAAAUUUGGUAGCCAAUGGAGAGAAUAAAUAGAGCAAAACAUAGCUGAAACAGGGGCUAUGCAACAUACUUUUCUUCUCUGUUUUUGUCAAUUUUCCAGCAACUAUGAACUAAUUCCUAAUUUCAGUUCAUGAGGAAUACACACCAUCUCCAUUAGCAAGUUGUGAGAAGUAAUGUUACCAUUGUAAUUCUUUCAGAUUCAAGUAUUUAUUUUUCCUUGUUCAGAAUUAUGCUAUUGAUUGUUAUUCAAGCUUAUUGAAUUGUUUUGAGAUGGCAUGUAUACUUUCUAGUUUCUUUUAAUCCGUAAUUGUUGUUAAGGCCUAGAGUAAAAAACAAAAGAAUUAAUUUGAUUGCUGCAACUCUCAUCUUGAUUUAUUAGGGAAGAAUAAACAAAGUUAUAUUGUUAAGCUUUUGAACUUUGGCUUAGAAUAAAUGCACAAACUUUACUCCUAAGACUACUGCCAAGUGAAUGAGAAUUGCUUUCAAUGUUAAAUUCACUUGAUGGUAAGAAAUUGAUUAGAGAGCUUUGCAUAAUUAAUUUUUGCUCGUAAUCUCAUUGAUUUCCCUUAGCUUUAAGGGAUAUCAAAUUUAUUUGCUUGACGUGAAAGAAUAUUUAAUUUACUUCGAUGAUCAAUAAAUUUAUAGGAAUGGAUGUGUGAACCCUUGAACUGAGUUAACGACAUAACAAUUUAUUAAUUUUAGAAUUAUCAUUUCUUUAAUUUUUCAUUUAAAACCCCUAUUCUUUUCAUUUCAGUAUAUUGUAGGAAGAUUAAAUGAAAAUUUUUUUAGGUUCAACCUAGUUUUCACGAUCAUAUUACAAAUUUAUUUUCUUUGUGAUAGUUAAGUCAGAAUUAUAUUUUGGAGGUUUCGACGACUAAACAAUAUAUAAGAAAAAUUUACCUAAGCUAGCCUAUUUUCCCUUUUUCUCUUCUCUCUCAUUUACUCUCUCCUAAAGAUGCUCUUCAUCGCUAAACACUAAAACUUCAUGCAUACAAUUAAUAAACCAUCUGAUCUUUAAGUCAAUACCAAUGAUGGAGGAAAGAAGCCUUAGGAAAUGUUGAUUUUUUUUUUCUUUUGGAGAAGAUUGAAUGAGAGGUCACUUACAUUGGGGUUCUAGGCUAGGUUUAUAUAGCCUUGAAAUCACGUUGUUAUAUCAAUGCAAGAGUAGGAUGAUAAAUAUGCUUGCCACCUAUAGUUGUGAACUACUUAAGGAUAAAGACUUAAAGUGACAAUGAACCUCUACAAAAGCUAUCUUUGUUCUAGGUUUUAUGGGUUGUGUAUAGUUGAUGAUGAUAAUAUGAUCAAUCUUUAAGGGACAAUGAACCUCUACAAAAGCUCAAUAAGUUUGCCCUCAUUUAAUGUAAGUAUGCUUUAUCCUUGUGAUUAAUGGUGAGUGGACCAUAUUUAACCAAGAGUGGUGCAUUCAGGUGUAGUAGUUGGAUUUAGAUCUAUUAGCCUUGUUUUAAGUUCGGUUUACCUAUCGUCUCAGUGUGUCUUCUAUUUAAAGAUUUUAUUAUAUUGAGCUCUAUGGACAUCGUAAGUCUAACUUGAUGGUAGAUGUUUUGAAACCGUCGAGCAUCAAGGCUUCUAGAAGCUAAAUUCAAUGACUCCCAUUUCAGGAAAGCACUAGGUCGUAUGACAUAUUCAUAUUCAAAUGGAUACAAGCUUUUUUUAGACCUUUGAUUUCAAAUUGAUCUUUACGGCUUAUCAUUACUUGAAAUUGAUGUCUUCUAUGAACCAUAUUUAAAGCAUUAUGACAUGGGCCAUGUUGUUGGGAGUGUAUAACCAGCUUCUAGCAGGUAACUCUAAUAUUUAGUUUUGAUGCAUUAUUUGAGUGUUGGUCCUGCCUUUUAGGCUUUAUUGUAGUAUUUCAUAAGCUCUUUCACGCUCUCUACUUACAUUUAAGCUAUCAUAUUAAAAGAAACUAAAAGGUCUUCAACUUUUAUUGUAGCUUUAUUACUGUGCACAUAGACUUAUUGUCACUGUGCCCCUAUAAACAUAUAACAAUUAGCCUUGGAAGCGAGGUAUAAUAGUCUUUUUAUUCUUAUUUGCAUGGUAAAAUGAUUGAUAUGCCUUUGGAGAUAAAAAUUAAAACAAUUGUGGGCAAGGGCACCUUUGAAUUUUUUUGUUUUAGUUGCACAGUUAAAUUAUCAUAAUACCCUUGAAUUAGAAUAGCCUUUGCCUUGGGUUAAAGGGUGUUUUUGGGUUUUCAGUUUGGUUUUUGUUUUUUCUAUAAUUAUCGAGUUUGACAAGAGGCAGUUUACUAUUUUGGCAUAUAUAAAAUAUUAUUUAAUUUGAAAAAGUUGGUUGCGUGGGAACCUAACACGGAUGCGCUUGGUUGCUCUAGUGACGACAUGUAUGGCAGCUAAACUUUGGCUUCCACAAUUUUGUUUUCAUCCUUACAGCGUUACCUCCAUUCUUGGGUGGCGCGUGUAGCAAAAAUAUAUCGGGGUUUUUUUUUUUGUUGUGGCCAUUUCUUUUUUUACUUCUUUCCUAUCUCUUCCUAGGUUUCAGAGCCUUCCCCUACACAUUUUCAAAGUAACCCUUUGAUUUUUUCUUUUAGAUUUGGUUUUUUUUUUUUUUUGCUAUUUCUUUUAUUUUAAAUAACCCAUAUAAUUGAGAUUUUCUUUCGAUUUAACCAUCCUUUGGUUAUCUCACUUUUUAAAUUUGAUUCUCAUUCUUCUGAUUGUUAAUUUUUCUAAUCAUUCUCUUAGUUAAAUUAUCUUUUCAAUUGCAUCCCUUUAUUUUUUUAUAUAAUUCUCUUGAUUGAAUUAUUUUUGUCAAUUGUAUCCCUCAAUAUUUUAGUUUAUUUUAUUUUAUAUUAGAUUUGAUUCUUAUUCUUUUUAUUGCUAUUUAUUUUGUUUAUAAUCCUUUUUUAUUGGAACUUUUUUUUUUAUUUCAUUUCUUGAUAUUUUAUUGAUCGGGAUUCUGUUAACAUUUCAGGCACGAGCUUGAAAGAUUUGACUGGGUUAGCUUAGAUAUGUUUUUAAUGUUGUUUUUUACAAUUGAUUUUUUUAUUCUAUUCUUCUAUGAGAUUAUCUUGAUUUCAUAUGUCAGGUAAAGAGUUUUGCAUGUUAAUUUAACUCGACCUAGCCCAAUAUUUUUUUAAUUUGUUAUUAUUCUUGUCUAUUUUUCUUUUAUCAUAUUAUCAAAUUAAUCAAGAUUUAAGUUAACUCUUGGAUUUCUCUUACUUUUUAAAAAUGCCACCUUCACCUAAACAAUUUUUUCCAUGGUUAAAAAAAAUUGGUCCGGCCGUGGUGUUGUCUAUGCCACCAAACUAGUAUCCUUCUAUUUCUGAUGUUUUGUUACUGUUCUGGAUUUCUGGUGCAUUCAUUGUGAUAUAUAGCGUUUUGCUGCUAUAUUGUAUACAUUUACUGAUUUCACCUAAUGUAUGUAUGAUUGCUUUCAUACUACUGUUUGGUCACCUUCCUCUGCCAGUACUCAAUGGCGGGCUCACCUUGGUUUGUUAGAACUUAGAAGGACUCUGUUCAUUUUUGCAGGUUAGCGUUCUUUGAUUGCCCUAAGUGUUUGUAAGUAACUAAAUAUUAGUAGCUAGUCCGACUGGUCUCCUUUAGCCAUUUCCUUGAUGGUUUGGGAUCUCUGUCUCUCUUUCACAAACAGCAAGCAUUUUCUAGUAUGCCUAUGGAAAACUCCAAAAGCAAUGCUCUUACAAAGCUUAUUCUAAACAAUUUUGUUUCCUUCUGAAUGGUUUUAUAUUUUGCGAAACAGAUAUAUUUUGAUCAGGACACUGUCUAUUAAAAUGGUUUGUCUUUGAUCGUACUCAGCAACACUACAAAAAGACCAACAGGGAACACAUAUUUACAUUUUAGGGCAGUGCUCGUCUGCAAAAUCUAAAUUAGAAUUUCUAUCUAUGAAAUGUUUCACCAAUGGCCUGGAAGAGGUCCAGCUAAUAUGGAACAUUUAAGGAUGAAGAAAACAACAUGAGAUAUACAAAUAAACUACAGUAGCUUCUUAUCUGUUUCAAAAUUAACCAAAUUAUCACGGAUCAGCAUGAACCAUGCAAUUGGUGAUGGCAAAUUAAACAAUCACGAAGUGAGAAAGGCAAAAAAUAAAAAGGCAGAAAAGCAACGUAAAAAGCUGCAGUUAAGGCGCUAAGUCCCACUAAAAGAGCCAUGGUACUGGUAAGGGUUACAAUUUAAAAAGAUGUCAAGAUAGCUAAAAGGCAUGAGGGCAUGCAAAAGAGCAUCAUUAGACUGCAUCAGGAUUAGAUAUAGAGUGUAAUCUGCAGAGCUGAACUAAACGUUUAGUAGAAGGCCAGGUCUUCUUUAGUGGUUCAUUAGAGUGCCGAAUACACUUCUCUCGUCUCCAGCCUUUCACUGUAGGGAUGAAUACAGAGCAAACAUCAGGGGCGCGAGUCUAACAUUUUAAAUUUGGGAGGGCCAUUGUAGAGAAUUGACUUGCAAAUUUAUACAGACCUAGGGGGGAUUUGAAAUUUGUGUAAAUUUUGGGGACCCACGGCCCUCUCACUUUUUUUUUGGGUUUGAUAUAAUUGAGUUCGGUUUUAGUUAUUGGUUAAGACGUUUAAUUUGAGUUAAUUCUUUAAUUUGUUUUUAACAAAAAGGUUAAAAUAAUAUCGUUUUAUAAAAACUCAACCCACAACAUACAUAUAAAAUAAAUAUUAAAUCAUAUCUUUUAUUAUGCAUACUAAAACAUAUAUUCAAAUAAUUAAUACUUAAACUAAAAACAUGUAAAGCACUUGCUUAAUAAAGUUUUUAGAAUUUAAUCAAGCUAAAAUUCUUAUUGUUGUUAAAAAUCAAUUGUUUAUCUUUAAAGCUUCAUUAUUCAUCACUUGGUGUUAAAUAACUUUCUUCAAUUAGUCUCUCAAGAUGUCAUCAACACCACCUUGUUUAGAUGUACUCCUAAAUAAGGUCUAAUGAAAUCAAAUGAAUUAUAUUUAAUAUUUCUCUACAAAGACUGAACCUAAGAUAUACAGUAUAAUGAAAAAGAUAAAAGAAUAAGUCUAAGAAAAAACAAUAACAAAGGAAGGAAAUAACUGAAGAAAUUUCAUGACUUUAAUUUAUAGAACUUGAAAACCAAAACAUUAAUUUUUCAUUAUUCAUGAUUGUUUAUUAAUUAUGAUGAAUUUUCAUAAUUCAUAAAUGUUCAUAGUUCAAGAAUUACUCAUAAUGACAUUCAUUCUCAUCACAUUAUUAAUAUAUUGGUUAAUGUACUAAGAUAUUUUAGGGAUUAAAUUUGAUCAAACAGAGACUUAAUAGCAAAUAUUCCUAAUUAACUAAACUCAAGAAGCAAAUAUUUUUCUUUAACCAAACCCAAGCCCAAGCUCAUGAGUCAACAAGCCGACUGUCUAAUCAACAAAACUAUUUUGAAUUUAAAACUUUUGCAACCCAUAGGUUUUUUUAGAACGAUUUUUCAUUCACCUUUAAUUGGUUUUUAAAACAUGUCUAUAUUCUAUAUUAAAAAAAACUCAUGUUGGAUUACAAAAUGUAAGUGGAUCUCUCAUAUAAUUUGGCCUUAAAAGGUCCAUCACAUGUUUUAUUAACCAAUUUCAACAACAUCAUUAACAAAAUUAAAAAAAGUUCAUAAAUAAUUUUUAUGAUAGAUUUUAUGUUUAUACAAUAGCAAACAAUAAAAUGGAAGAUUAGAUGUGAUUGAGUAAGAAAAAAAAAGAAGAAGAGAAAAGAGAAAGAAGAGUCAUAAGUGUUGUUACUUCUUGAAGACCCUGUAAAUGUGAACAUGCAACAUAAAAGGACCACACAAAUGAUCCUAUUGAGAAUUUAAAAUUGGUUAGAGACAUGUAAGUGACAAUUCAGGUUGGCAAGGAAUUAAAAGUCUAUGUUCUAGAAGAAGAUGUCGUGGCAAAUAAUUGAGAGCUCAAUAUCGGUAGCCAACUCUGUUGUUAUCUUCACUCUAACUUUUCUCCUUUUGCCAUUUCGUUGAUGGUUUGGGAUCUUUGUCUCUCUUUAUGAUUGAAAUGGUUUGUCUUUGAACGUACUCAUAAAUGCCACAAAGAGACCAACAGCUAGUGUUGACAAAAUUGUUCAAAAUAAAAACAAAUAAAGAGUUGACUUAGAGGCGUGAAAACAUUAUCUUUAAAGUAUUUAUUUGUUUCACAUAGAGAACAUCUCUAGGAUACAACUAAGUCAUCUAAACCUCUAAAAGACUAAGAAAAGAAAAUACUUGUUUUUUUUUUUUAUAUAUGUUCUCUGUGUAGUAACAUAUGUACUGUUAAUGAAGUGUCAUCUUUUGAUAUUAUAAAUAUUCAUAUAAUAGUAUUAGGAAGCCUACUAGGAGAGCCUCUUCAUCAUGGCUUUCACUUAAUUCACUAUAUAAUAGAAACUCAUACUUAUAAACACAUAGAAAAUAGUGUUUCUUUCCAAUAUGGGAUAAAUAUUUUUUUCCUUCUUUAUUCAUUUACAAAUUACACCAAAAAUCCCCCACUGGUUUGUAAUAAAUAUCUUUUCACUUGAUAGAAUUAUGCUUACAAGAAUAUAUUUUGCAAUUUAAACAUUCAAUUAGUGUUAGAACUUGAAUACUACCAAAGCUAUUGGUGUUCGUAGAUUAAACUAAAAUUUUUGUUGCAGAAUCAAAGAUAAUGCACACAUAGUACUACCUAAAUUCUUGAAGAGGUUUGCAACUAUUUAGCACUAUUAUGGCAAUGUGAUAAAAUCUUAUUUUCAUGAAUAUUUGUAAGAGAAAACCCUAAUUUUUGUUAAAAGCAACUUUACUUUAUAUUCAUAUAGGUGAAAUUAUAUAUGUCUCUAUUACAUAUAACACGAACUUUAAAUUCCAUUAAAGCCCAACACUCACCCUCCUUUACAUAAUAGAACACACCAAAUACUAUCAGAAUAGGGUUCAAAAUUAAUUAUUAGUAUCCAACAAAUACUAAAUAGUAACUUGUUAUUACGCAUUAAACUUAGAGAUAAACUUGUUGCUAAUCCGAAGUUGAGUUCCUAUUACCGGUGUCGCACGUGUGCGGCGUCGCGGCGAAAACAUCCACCCUCGAAUUCUAUCUUAUGUGGCAAAUGUGGAGAGACAAGGAAUUCUUGUCUUUUAUUAGUGAAAAUUAGAAUGGGAGUCGCCACCUAGUAUUUUGGUCACUAGGAACCCUAACUGGUCUCAGAGAUCAGGUACGGGGACUGAUUGCAUAAAGGGAAGGUAUUAGCACCCCAAAUACGCUCUACCUAAGGUAAGAUGCAUUGUUUAAGGUCUUGUCGUGCUUUCUAGUUAUUGGUCCAUCUAGGGUUUAAGAAAACUCCUCUUCAGUAAGGAGAUCCUUAUCUUAUCGGGUAAAACCUAACCGGUCUAAUGCCAACAAAAAAAAAUUUAAUAUCCGGAAUACGUCUUACGUAUAAGAUCAUAACCCCAUAUAUUAAAAGAAAACAAAAUAAAUUUUUUUGAAAAUUUUAAAAUAUUGGCCUAGUUCUCGUGACUUUAAUAAACUGGUUAUUAAAGCCAAAAUGCAUGCUAAUACAUAUUUUUUGAAAUUUUCUUUGUUGUAUGAAAAUACAAUAUGAUUUUUUUAUUUUUUGAGAGACUUGGCCGUAUGCAUGAAAACAAAACAUUUUAUUUUUUUAUUUUUUUAUUUUUUAAUGUCUUGAUGAAAACCAAGUAUUUUAAUACUGGAUUUGUAUCUUUACAAUAUAAAAAUACAAACCGGUAUUGAUCAAAAUGCAGUAAAAAUUUUUGCGGAAAAUCAUAUUUUUUUAAAAAAUAAUUUUUGAAGAAUUUAAUUUUUUUGGGCUGGGCCCAGCUCGGCCCAUAUGGCUGGGCUGGACCCAGCAGGCCUAACCGGGUCACUGGCCCAAGCCAGUGACCCGGCUAGGAAAACAAAAGGCACGCUUACGCGUGCAUGCUUGUGCAAUUCAAGUAGUCACUGUUCAAGUUAAUUAUAAUUCACUUGAACAGUGAAAAUGCAAAAAAUGGAAUUGCAUGCACAGAGAUGAAGAGAACAAACCUGGUGGCGGAAACAAUGUCGACGACGAUGGUAAUGACGUACUCUCACAGUGAUGCUGGUGGUGGUGGAGAGGAAGAUGACGAUGGUUCACGGUGGUUAUGACGGUGGCGGGCGGUGUUUGCUGCAGGUUUUUUUCUUCUUCCCCGUGCAGAGACACCUUCCUCGUCUGCUUCUGUUUGGUUCUUCUCCUUUUGGUCUCCGGUGGGGGUGGAGCUGCUGGUGGCUUUCAGACGGUGCGGUGGAGGUUGCUGGCCAGUGGAAUUGCUAUAGGGGUGCUGUUUUCUUUUCUCUGUUGAUCGAUACUCCUUUCUUAGGGGCGGCGUUGUAGCAGUGGUGGAGAGGAAGACCAACAGUGGUUCUCCUUUUUCCUUCCUUCUUCCUCUCUAACUUUCUUUCCCCGUCUCUCUGUUUCUGUCGUUCUGGUUCGAAAGACUUACCACCCUCUGUUUUCUCCAUCUCCCUUGUUCUCUCUUUUCCUUUCUGUCGUUCUGGUUUUACCCCUCCUGUUUUCUCCUCAGUACUGUCUCCUCCUCCCUCCCUUUUCUCCCCUGCGUUCGGUUCUUCUUCUGGCUUUUAUAGCCAGAGGACAAGAGUGUUUUUGGUAAGCCAGCGUGCAUUACGGUGACAAGGGUUGUCAGCCGCGAUACGCUCCCUUCUUGAUUUGGAAACGCCUCCAUUAUCGCUGCCAACAUCUCCUUCCUUUAUUAUCACAGAAUACCAACUGUUGCAGACGGUGAAAUGAUGGAAACGACGCCACUUGGGUUUCUUUUGAUUCGGCCAUUGAAUGUUUUGCAGUUUUGUAAUCAAAUCCCCGACAAAAUUGUAAUUGGAUCCCUUAAUGUUAGCGCCUUUUCUAGUUUGGUCCUUGGUCUCAGAAUGUUUCAAUUAAGUCCCUAAUUGGCCAUCAAACUUCAAUAACUACGCAAUUAAACCCCUGAUUUGGCCAAAUCAACUCUUUUAAAAUUAUAAUUGGACCCUAGAACUUUAAUUUCAUCCAAUAAAAGCCUAAAUUGACUUAAAAAUCUAUUUUUCUUCCAAUCAAACCCUCCAUAAAUUCAAUUAAAUCUUAGAUAAAAUUUAAUUGAGUCCAUAAACAUCUGAUUUUAGACUUUUUUUCUCAACUUGAAUUUUUUUUGUCAACAAGGCUCUUAUAAUGUCAAAUUUCAAUUCUUGUAUUUCUGAACCUCUUCAACCAAUUCCUAGCCAUUUUAUGGGAGUUCCAACAUCCUUUUCUCACUCCUAUUUUUUUUAUUCCUUCCAAAUAUAUUUUUAUAUGUAUUUUUUUGUAUUUUUUUGUGGGGAACCUAAAAAUAGGUAACAAUAGAUGCGCCCUCUUUACAAUGCUUACGAAGCAAAACAUCAUCAAUGUCUUGCAUAGUAAGCUUGUAAAGAAAAAGAAAAAGAAAAUGAUCUCAUUAUCUUGGGCGACCUGCCCAUUUUUGAAGAAAAUUGGUCUACUUUCAUGGGUGAUCUACCCACACACACUCACUAGUCUAUUUUCACGGGCGACCUACCCACACAUUCACAUUGGUCUAUUUUCAGGGGCGACUAGCCCACACACUCACACGGUCUAUUUUCAUGGGCGAUCUGCCCUCAAAUCACAGUGGUCUAUUUUCACGGGCGACCUGCCCACACAUGAUCAUCCUGGUCUAUUUUUAAGGGCGACCGGCCCAUACACUCACACUGGUCUAUUUUCAUGGGCGACCUGCCCACACAUGUUCAUCGUGGUCUAUUUUCAGGGGCGACCGGCCCACACACUUACACUGGUCUAUUUUCAGGGGCGACCUGCCCACACAUGUUCAUCCUGGUCUAUUUUCAAGGGCGACCGGCCCAUACACUCAUACUAGUCUAUUUUCAGGGGCGACCUGCCCACACAUGCUCAUCCUAGUCAAUUUUCAGGGGCGACCGUCCCACACACUGGUCUAUUUUCAAGGGCGACCUGCCCACACAUGCUCAUCCUGGUCUAUUUUCAAGGGCGACCGGCCCACACCCUCCCACUGGUCUAUUUUUAGGAGUGACCUGCCCACACUUCAUUCUGGUCUAUUUUCAGGGGCGACUUGCCCACACAUGUUCAUCGUGGUCUAUUUUCAGGGGCGACCGGCCCACACACUCACACGGUAUAUUUUCAUGGGCGACCUGCCCUCACACUCACAUUGGUCUAUUUUCAUGGGCGACCUACCCACAAAUAUUCAUCCUGGUCUAUUUUCAAGGGCGACCGUCCUACACACUCACACUAGUCUAUUUUCACGGGCGACCUGCCCACAUAUACUCACUUUGGUCUAUUUUCAAAGGCGACUUGCCCUUUUGAUUGGGUUUACCUAAGAUCCCAUCUAGCAAUCUAGAACUAAAAUCUGUGUUCUUCCUGUUGGCAAUGUUAGAAUUGGCAAAAUCUGUGUCCCUCACACUCACAUUGGUCUUUUUGUUUUUUCUUUUUUUUUUAAAUUUCCUAAUGGUAGGGUUCUUCUCAUUUUUCUUUCCGUUCCAAGGUCACAACAAUGAUUCUCUUUUAUUAUCAGCUCAAUAAUUUUUUUUUCUCUCUCUCUCUUUUUCCUUUUUUUUGUUUUUUUUUUAGGAUUUUCCUGUAACAAAUAAAAAUAUGUGUGCAAUGCUUUGAGGUUAGAUGACAUGCAUGCAUCCUUACCUGAUUUGAAAUAUAGGCCCCCCCCUCUUCGAUGUUUCAUCGUCAUAAGGUGCCUUUGUUUGCUAACCAAAACCUUCUUUGCUCUUUCCAUGUACUGGCCCGUUCAUGUGCUAGUCAUCCACUCCACUGUAAAUGCAACGCCUAUCCUAGGUUGUCUUCGAUGAUUACUGGUUUCACUGUUUAUCAAGCUUGACAAUGCCCCCUAAAUGUGGUGUUGCUUAAUUCAUCAUAAAAGAGCUUAACAAAUCAUUUCAUCUUCUGGAUUUUUUCGAGAAUCGUUCUUUGAUUAGCUGUGUGCAUCCUACCAGCACUCAUCAAUAGGUUUUCUAGUGUCGUCCCCAUCUUAGAUUGCUAAUCAGCCAUCGAGUUACCUCCAGUAUAAUCUGAAUUAUCUUUCUUUGAACUCCAUUGUCCUCAGUUCACCAAUUCAUCGUUUAAUCAUUUUUUUAUUGCCCCCUAGCUGAUCUGAAUACUGCUUGUUUUUCCUUUUCAGGGUCCACUGUAUUGCCCCAGCUGUUCAACUUUUCAAGAAGUGUCGAGAAGUAUUGAUGUCACUUCUGUCAAGAUUUUGCAAACCUGAUCGGUGCUCUUUUUGUUUGACAAUCUUUCUUGUUCGGGAAUCAACUCUCAUAUUUCAAAGAUCAUGCCUAUUUCAAAGUCUAAUUGUUGAAAUUAAAUCAGAGAGAUGUCAGUAUUUUUUUUUUGAAAUUCAAGCUUCUUUGGUCAAAAACCCAACACGCGUCAUUCAAUACAUGUAGUCCUUUGAUUAUCUUGUAUUUUGAAAAUAGAAAUUGACCCGUUGAGGGAUUAAAAUGGCUUUUUUCCAUGGUUCUUUGUGCUAAUUUUAAUCUCUGAUCUUCGGUAUAUCUUUUGAUAGUAUGUGAUGAGGUGACCUUUUUGUGAAUUUCGAAAACAAGAUGCUAAAGUCAGACCUCAAGCUUAUCAAGAAAUUUUAUCAGCAUGCAUAAUAACAAGUAGCUUAAUCCAUGAAGCCACGACCCUCAUAGAAAAACUCUUCAAGCUUUGAGAGCGCCAUUUAUCGGUUCAAAUUGCUUACUUGAUCAAAAAGAGCUUUUUAAAAGUACGUAAUGUAGGCUAUGGUUUAUGGCUAUGAAAGAAAGGAAUUUUUCAGGCUCAAAAGGUGUUUGAGGGUUUCAAAAACCUAGGAUCAACAUCAAUUAUUCAUUAUUUCUCUUUAUCUUAUUGUCUUUGUAGAGAAAGCGACAUAUGACCUUAUUAACCUUAAGUAUCAGAAUUCUCUUAACAUAUGUCAUAAUGCAAAUCCAACUUUUUCUUUGAUGAAUAACCAAUCUCAAUCAUCUGAUAACAUCAAGAGGUUUAUCAUGGAUGCCAAAAGUCAUGUUUGUAGCCUAGAUUUUUUUUUUGUAUCGACUUUUAACAUUUGUUGUGAAACUUCUUUUGUCUUUCCUAAACUUAAUAGACAUUUUAUCUUUGACCUGCCUUUAAGUAUAGGCAAUUUUCUUCUUCUUUUUUGUUUUUUUUGUUUUUUUUUUCAUGGCUUUCACAUAGCCUUUCUCAUAUUUUUUUUUAACAUGCCCCCAGUCUAGGUCUUUUUUCUUUUAGCUCUCUCUUAAAUGUUGGACUUUUGUUCUAACUCUUCCCUUUCACUUUUGUCUUCUCUUAUUUGCCCCUAGUGUGGGGUGUGAUCCUCGUCGGGGUUUCUUUUGAAAAGAAUAUUCUAUCAGGCUCAAAAUGGGAUUGCAAAUGAUAUAUUUCCAGUAUUGUGAAAGGAUAAAACAAAGAUGGCCUUUUUCUCAUUUCAAGCAAGGACGGUGUGAACCGAUAAAUUUUGACCUCGUCCAAUGUAAUGAUUUGGACUUGCAAGAACCUUGAUUUGCGAGUCCAUAACUACUGAAUCCAUUACAUAUCAUUAUGCAUACUGCUAAAACUUUGCUACAUGGUGGGUGAUUCAGUUUCAUGUGUGAGCUCAAAAUUUGUUUGGUCACCCCGUAUCAUUUUAACAAGCAUCGAGUCAUUUCUAAAAUCAAAAUACUUUUAAUCUUUCUAAGUUGAUUAGCCUUAAUUGCAUGUUGGAGUUCGAUCAAAAUAUUUUGUCAAAAAUGAAAUGCUAAACAUCUCCUGACUUCAGAACAGCAAAGAGACAAAUAAAAGACUUGUUUCGUUAAAGAAUGAGAUGUGAUCCCAAAACAAAAUGCAAAAUGACAAAAUUCCAUAACAAUAUAAUUGACAAUUCAUCGCCAUUCUUGGACCAGCUUUCUUCGCAAGCAUUUUCAAUCACUUGUCAUUCUGAAGAUGUUCGGGGGACAAUAUAGCCAAUGACAUCACCUUUCACAAACUCAACUUGGCUCUUGCUCAUCCACCUCCAGAGUCAUCUCUCAUCAUUGUUCUAGAAUCCAUGACAGAACCUUUAAUCUUUCCUCUCUUUAUAGCCUUUUCAAUUCUUUCAGCAAUCCUCAGAACUUUAUGGAAAUGUUGAGCCGAGCUUCCUAUUAAAUGCGCAUAGUAAGGGGAUUGAAAGGUGUUGGCAAACAACAUCAUCAUUUCUGUAUUUAUCAGUGGAGGUUAAACAUAUGUUGCCUUAUCUCGCCAUCUUUGCACGUAUGCCCUCACAGACUCUUGGUUUUCUUUCUCUAUAGACAUUAAGAUGGUUCUGUCAGGAGCAAUUUCAAGAUUGAACUUGUACUGCUUAAGAAAAGCCUUCACCAAAUCUUUCCAUUUCUUAACUUUAGCAUUGUCCAACCUCAUAUACCAGCUUAGGGCAAAUCCCGUCAGACUAUCUUGGAAAAAAUAGAUCAACAGCUUAUCAUCAUAAAUCACCUCAACCAUUUUAUUGCAGUAAGAUCGAAAGUGAGUGUUUGGACAUUCCAAUCCAGUGUAUUUGAUGAACUCUGGUAUCCUAAAAUUCUUUGGUACUAUGAUGUUUGGUACCAAACACACUUCAGCUGCUCGCAUGGGAUCAAACCAAUCAUUACCCCCAACUACUCUUAAUCUUUUUUCCAAAGCAGACAACUUGUCAUAGUUCACAAAAUCAAUGGAUCUAUUACCAGGGGGUCCAUCUGCUGUUAAAUCCAUGGUGAUGGGAGCUUGACUUGACGGGAUAGGGGCGAUAGGCACAAAAUGUUGAUCUGCUGUUGAAUCUGCCCCCAAGUUUUGAGAUGUCCCUGGGACGUGGAUUGAUGGUGUUUUCACAUGAGGUUGUGCAAAAAUCCCCUUUUCAUUUUUAGAGCUUAGCACUUAUUCAAGCAAAUCUGUAAGUUUAGCUACUUCACCUUUGAUGCUCUCAAUUUCAUUUUGAUAAUGGGCCUCCAAUUGAGCUCUUUCUUCAUUAUCCAUCUUUCAGGUGUAGCAAAUCUUGGAUGGGGGACCUAUGUUUCAACCUGACGGUAUGUAUGAUAAAUGUAUGAGUAUGUUUCUUAUAUGAUGAGCUCGCCCUUCCAGAGUUGACACAUGGUCGUAACCCUAAGAAUUUUGAUUUUUACGCCACAACGGAAAUUUUUUAAGUAACGGCCAUUGUGUCAACCACAAGUCUUGAGUUCAAGAUGCUUCAGGAAGGGUUUACUUUAAUGCAAAACAAAAACUAAAACACACAACCUAAGAAUAGGUUAUAUUCAUUAAGUGAGACAAAAGGUUGGUUGACUAUCUAGUCUCAAAAGGGUCUCAUAUCUGCCUAGUGACGAUCUUCGUAAAGACAGUGUGGCGGCGUUGCAAGGAACAGUUAAGGCACGUAUGCCCACCAUUACCAAGCAGGCACUCAGAUAUGAGUUGGGAGUUUCACGCAUCUGAACCCUGACCAAUAGUCAUAAGGCAGAUCGCUAAUUCCCCACCUAACUUAGAAGCUUGUGUGUGCUUUCCAAAAAUUAAUGUAUGUGAUGCAUGAGACAGUUCUAUACAAUGUAUAAACAUAUAUGUACAGAAAUUAAAGCAUGUAAAAAUAAAAUAAGCUUAUUAACAGAAAACACGCAAACUAAACAAAACACAGUUAUCAGACAAAAACAAAGCUUAGUCCACAAGAUUCCCAGUGGAGUCGCCAUUAUGUCACACGUGUGCGGCGUCACGGCGAAAACAUCCACCCUCGAAUUCUAUCUUAUGUGGCAAAUGUGGAGAGACAAGGAAUUCUUGUCUUUUAUUAGUGAAAAUUGGAAUGGGAGUCGCCACCUAGUAUUUUGGUCACUAGGAACCCUCACUGGUCUUAGAGAUCAGGUACGGGGACUGAUUACGUAAAAGGAAGGUAUUAGCACCCCAAAUACACCCUACCUAAGGUAAGUUGCAUUGUUUUAUUGUCUGAUAAAAUCUAAGGUCUUGUCGUGCUUUCUAGUUGUUGGUCCAUCUAGGGUUUAAGAAAACUCAUCUUUGGUAAGGAGAUCCUUAUCUUAUCGGGUAAAACCUAACCGGUCUAAUGCCAACAAAAAAAAAUUUAAUAUCCGGAACAUGUCUUACGUAUAAGAUCAUAACCCCAUAUAUUAAAAGAAAACAAAAUAAAUUUUUUUGAAAAUUUUGAAAUAUUGGCCUAGUUCUCGUGACUUUAAUAAAUUGGUUAUUAAAGCCAAAAUGCAUGCUAAUACAUAUUUUUUGAAAUUUUCUUUGUUGUAUGAAAAUACAAUAUGAUUUUUUAGUUUUUGAGAGACUUGGCCGUAUACAUGAAAACAAAACAUUCUAUUUUUUUUAUUUUUUUAUUUUUUAAUGUCUUGAUGAAAACCGGGUAUUUUAAUACUGGAUUUGUAUCUUUCCAAUAUAAAAAUACAAAACGGUAUUGAUCAAAAUGCAGUAAAAAAAUUUGCGGAAAAUCACAUUUUUUUUAAAAUAAUUUUUGAAGAAUUUAAUUUUUUUUUGGGCUGGGCCCAGCUCGGCCCAUAUGGCUGGGCUGGACCCAGCAGGCCUAACCGGGUCACUGGCCCAAGCCAGUGACCCGGCUGGGAAAACAAAAGGCACGCUUACGCGUGCAUGCUUGUGCAAUUCAAGUAGUCACUGUUCAAGUGAAUUAUAAUUCACUUGAACAGUGAAAAUGCAAAAAAUGGAAUUGCAUGCACAGAGAUGAAGAGAACAAACCUGGUGGUGGAAACAAUGUCGACGACGAUGGUAAUGGCGUACGCUCACAGUGAUGCUGGUGGCGAUGGAGAGGAAGAUGACGAUGGUUCAUAGUGGUUAUGACGGUGGCGGGCGGUGUUUGCUGCAGUUUGUUUUCUUCUUCCCUGUGCAAAGACACCUUCCUCGUCUACUUCUGUUUGGUUCUUCUCCUUUUGGUCUGUAGUGGGGGUGGAGCUACUGGUGGCUUUCAAACGGUGCGGUGGAGGUUGUUGGCCGGUGGAAUUGCUAUGGGGGUGCUGUUUUCUUUUCUCUGUUGAUCGAUACUCCUUUCUCAGUGGCGGCGUUGUAGCAGUGGUGGAGAGGAAGACCAACGGUGGUUCUCCUUUUUCCUUCCUUCUUCCUCUGUAACUUUCUUUCCUCGUCUCUCUGUUUCUGUUGUUCUGGUUCGAAAGACUUACCACCCUAUGUUUUCUCCUUCUCCCUUGUUCUCUCUUUUCCUUUCUGUCGUUCUGGUUUUACCCCUCCUGUUUUCUCCUCAAUACUGUCUCCUCCUCCCUCCCUUUUCUCCCCUGCGUUCGGUUCUUCUUCUGGCUUUUAUAGCCAGAGGACGAGAGUGUUUUUGGUAAGACAGCGUGCAUCACGGUGGCGAGGGUUGUCAGCCGCGAUACGCUCCCUUCUUGAUUUGGAAACGCCUCCAUUAUCGCUGCCAACGUCUCCUUCCUUUAUUAUCACAGAAUACCAGUUGUUGCAAAUGGUGAAAUGGUGGAAACGGCGCCACUUGGGUUUCUUUUGAUUCGGCCAUUGAAUGUUUUGCAGUUUUGUAAUCAAAUCCCCGACAAAAUUGUAAUUGGAUCCUUUAAUGUUAACGCCUUUUCUAGUUUGGUCCUUGGUCUCGGAUUGUUUCAAUUAAAUCCCUAAUUAGCCAUCAAACUUCAAUAACUAUGCAAUUAAGCCCCUGAUUUGGCCAAAUCAACUCUUUUAAAAUUAUAAUUGGACCCUAGAACUUUAAUUUCAUCCUAUAAAAGCCUAAAUUGACUUAAAAAUCUAUUUUUCUUGCAAUCAAACCCUCCAUAAAUUCAAUUAAACCUUAGAUAAAAUUUAAUUGAGUCCAUAAACAUCUGAUUUUAGACUUUUUUUUCUCAACUUGAAUUUUCUUUGUCAACAGAGCUCUUAUAAUGUUAAAUUUCAAUUCUUGUAUUUCUGAACCUCUUCAACCAAUUCCUAGCCAUUUUAUGGGAGUUCCAGCAUCCUUUUCUCACUCCUAUUUUUUUUUUAUAUGUAUUUUUUUGUAUUUGUUUUUAAUUUUUUUGUGGGGAACCUAAAAAUGGGUAACAACAACCGGUAUCUUUAAUAACAACUUUCAACACCAUUCUACUAAUUGUUUUCCUUACCAUAUCUCUAGAUAGUCCUUUUAUAAGUGGAUCCGCUAAAUUAUUUACAGAUUUCACAUAGACAAUGAUGAUUACCCUAUUUGUAAUCAACUCUCAAAGAUAUCCAUGUUUAAUGCUUAUAUGUCUUCACUUACCAUUGUAAACGUUAUUGUAAGCUCAAGACAUAAUUGCUUCAUUAUCGUAAUAUAAAGAAAUAACUAACAUAGGUUGUGGCCACAACUUAAUAUCUAACAACAUGUUUCUUAGGCGUUUUCUUCUUAACCUUUAAUAGUCAUAUCAAUAAAUCUUGAUUUCAUGGUAGAAUGAGAUAUGCAUGUUUGUUUCUUAGAUGGCCAAUAUAUUGCUCCUUCUUCAAGUGAGAAAAUUCAUCCUGAUAUGGACCUAUUAUCACUCGAACUAAUUAUCCAACUUGCAUCACAAUAUCCUUCUAACACAGCUAGAAAAUCAUAAUAAAACAAGCCUAAAUUGAUUGUUCUUUUUAGAUAACCAAAUACUCUUGCCUUCUAAUAAUCCGUAUUUGGCUUACAUGUAUAUUUUGAUAACUUGCAUAUAACAAAGCUAUAUAUGGUCUUAUACAAUGCAUAACAUACAUAAAACUUUCAAUGAAACUAACAUAUUCUAGUUGUGCUACCUUUUUUCAAAAUAAUCAUUUAACUUCAUAUUAGAGUCAAAUAGGGUAUUAGCUUCUUUUAUAUUGAGAUGCUUAAACUUAUCAAGCAUUUUCUCGAUAUAAUAUAAUUGAUUAAGUGCAUAUCUACUACUAUGUUUCUUAACUUUGAUACCUAAAAUUGUAUUCACUUCACUAAGAUCUUUCAUUUUAAAGAUGAAAGUGAGAUAUCUUUUGAUUUCAACUAUUUCAAUCAUAAUGGUGCUAAAGAUUAACGUGUUAUCCAUGUAAAGACAAAUAAUCACACCAAAAUCUUUUGUAAAUUUGAAAUACAUACAUUUAUCGGCAUCAUUGUAAUUAAAAUCAUUCAACAAAAUUACUUUGUCAAAUUUCUCAUGCUAUUGUUUUGGAACUUAGGCCCCGUUUGUUUGCUGAAAGUAGUUUUCUUUUGAAAAGUGAAUUCGAGGAAAGUGUAUUAUUUUCUGAUAUUUGGUAGUAUAAUGGAAAAUAAGUUGGAAAACACUUUCCAGUGUUUGGUUAUAUCAUGGAAAAUGAGCUGGAAAAUAACUUAUUAAUGUUUUAUUUUUUUCAAGUUUAUUAAAAUAAUGAAGAACAAAUCUUACAAAUUAAAAAGUUGAAUGAGAAUGAAAUUGAAAAAAAAUAUAAUUUCAUAAAUUAUCUCAAAUAAAAUAAAUAAUAAUCAAAAUAAUUGAGAUUAAAUCUAACAAAUAAAAAAAAUUGAAAGAUGAAGAAAUUAAAAUAAUAAUAAUUACCAUUUCAUAAAUUAUUUCAAAUAAAAUAAGUAACAAUUAAAAGAAUGAGGACCAAAUUUGAUAGAUAAAAAAUUUCAAUUAAAAAAUGAUAAGGAAAAAGCAAAUAACAAUUAUAAAAAUGAGGACCAAAAUUAAUAUAAAAAUUAAAUUCUAAGGGAUGAAAUUGAAAAAAAAAUAUUCAAAACAAAAUAUAUAUAACAAUCAAAAGUUUGAGGACCAAAUUUGAUAUAAUCAGUAAAUAAUAUGACUUUUCUAAAAAAUUUUACAACUUCUGGAAAGUGUUUUUCGCCCAAAAUAAAAGGAAAACACUUUCCUGUAAACCAAGCCAAAUUUUUCUUUGACUGGAAAGUGUUUUCCGUUGACUAACUUUUCUAAUGACAAACAAACACAGGAAAGUUUGGAAAGUGGUUUCUAGAAAACCAUUUUCCAUGAAACAAACGCCCCCUUACUUUAAAACAUAUAAAGACUUUAUCAAUUUAUAUACCUUUUUAUCAUUUCCAUGAAGUAUAAAACUCUCAGAUUGCUUCAUAUACACUUACUCAUUUAAAUCUCCAUUUAAGAAAGUCAUCUUAACAUCCAUGUGAUGAACAUACAAUUUAUAAAUUAAUCUUAAUGCAAAUAAAACUCUAAUGUAUGUAAUUAUUGCCACUGAAGAAUAAGUGUUAAAAUAAUCAACAUCCUUCUUUUGAGUAAAACCUUUGGCCACUAAUCUUGCCUUAAAAGUUUGUAAAGAACCAUUAAUAUUGUAUUUUUUUUCUAAACAUCCAUUUGCAUCCUAUUGGCUUAGAACCUGAAUGUAAUCUACUAGGACCCAAGUAUUAUAAGACAAUAUUGAAUACGUUUUAUCAUGUACAGUUUAUUUCUAAAAGAUAACGUCUCUAGAAGAUACAGCUUCACAAAAUAUUUUUGGAUCAUCUUUCACAUUUAGGAUCAUAAAUGUCUUUUUCAAUACUAUGUUUCUAUCACUUUUCACUAAAAAUACAAUUAAAUCAAUAAAAAUAAAAUAUAUCUAUGUUUUUUUUCUAAUUUUUUGACUCUUUCUUGGUUCACAUGAACCUAUUACUUUUAGGUUUUUAUAUUUUUUUAUUAAAAAUUAAGUUAGUGGUCAUUAUUUUUAAAUCUAAUUUUUGUGUAUUUAAAUUAAAUAUAAAUUUAUUUUCAAUAAAUUCAAGAGGCACAUAUUCAACUAUCAUAUUAGUUUAUUACAAAAGCCACGGUAGGGGAUACUGAAGUCUGAAAGCCACGAGGGCUUCCUAAACAGUAUCGUCGCAUCGGGAUUGGAAAUCGAGAGAGGAACCAGAGCUGAACAAAAAGUUUAGCAGAAGGCUCAUUAGAAUGUCUAGUACACUUCUUCUCGUAGCCAGCCCUUCUCUGUAGGGACGAAUUGAAAGGGAGUGUAACAUUUCAAUUUUGGGUGGGCCCUUUUAGAGAAUUGACUUGAAAAUUUAUUCCGAACUACAGGGGGGUUUGAAAAUUCUGUAAAUCUUGGGGACCCAGCGACCUCACACACACAUGAUAGGUGAUGGGUUUUUCCCCCCUAUAAUGCAUUAGUCAUAUGUUCUUCAUAGUUUAUUAUUUUUUUGUAUAUAUAAUAAAUGAGUGUAUUAAUUAAAAGAUAAUUUUUAUUGCCCCAUGAUGGUCUUGCAUCAAGUGCUUAACAGUAGCGCAUAUAUAUAUAUAUAUAUAUAUAUAUAUAUAUAUAUAUAUAUAUAUAUAUAUAUAUAUAAUGUGCCUCAUAGCAAAUCAAUUGACAACUAAUUGUGUUUAAAUCUGAGUCACAUCAUUAAUUACAGAUUAAUCACCGGACCAAGUUCAUGGCAUGUACCGUGUAGGACCUAAUUGGGUUUCUUUUUCUUUGUCAGAUAACGAGGGAAAUAUAUGGUCAUGAUUUAUUUUGUUUUUUUUUAUUAAUUAUUUCCAGCCUAUCUUUUCAUAGGAGUCCAAAAUCUCUGUCGUAAAAUGGUAAAUUAAUCAAAGUGGAUAGAAAUUUGAAAAACUCCAUCCGUACUUGUUAAUUUGGGGCCAAUCCAUAGUCAUAGCUCCCAAGUCCAAGUUGAGCACAGAUUCCUUUUUAAGUUGAUUUUUUCUCUAAAGAAAAGUACAGAGACCGAUUCGCACAUGCACAUGCUAUAUAUAGAUGGAAAAAUUCUACAUCCCCACUAGGAAGUUAAAUGUCUACCAGAAAGACAAAAAUAACCAAUGAUUACAAGAAUUUCAAUUAAAAUGCUGUUUUUUUCCUUUUAUUAUUAGAAUUUUUUCUUAUUAUCGUAUAAUUAAUAUAUAUAUAUAUAUAUGUUCACUUGUGAUUCUCAUGAGCCGGUACAUGUUGUAUAAAAUCACAUAUAUCAUCGAUGAAAUUAAAAAAAAAUAAGAUAUAUAAAAAAAAUUACGAUAAUGUUUUAGGAUAGAUUUCAUAACGAAGGAUACAAUUAUGAAUGCAAUUAAUAAUUUGGUCACGAUGGAUAUGGAUGAUUAUAAAAUAUGAUUGGACAAGAGAAAGAAAGAAAGCACAGUUUAAAAUAAAUAAAAUAGGGAAGAGAAAGAAGAGUCGCCGGUGGAGUGGUGGACUUUCUCCAAGACCACAAAUGUGAUCUUGCAACACACGACCACCAGACAAAUGAUUCAAUGUUCAAAGUUUGAAACUGGCUGGUGACACAUGCAAGUGAUAGGAUUGGCUGGCAAGCUACGAGCUGUAGUUUUUUAUAUGGGAUAAUAAUUGUUUUUUAAAAUAUAUUUUGUUUAAAAAUAUAUUAAAAUAAUAUAUUUUUUUAUUUAUUAAAUUUAUUUUUGAUAUUGAUUUAUUAAAAUAAUUUAAAAAUAUAAAAAAAUUUAAUUUUAAAUAAAAAACAAAUUAACCAACUUGUAUUUACGCUAAAAAAGAUUCUAUGUUUCCAGAAGAAGAUGUCGUGGGCAAAUAAGCGUGCGCUAUUUCUGAUGUUUAUCCAUUUCUUUUAUAAGAAAAAAUAAAAGGAGAAAAUCAGAGACUUCGUAGUCAAGAAAAGGGUUGCAUAGUCAAUCAAAGGGUGUGGGCGGCCGUGUAACUACGCAAGUUUCAAAGCAGAUAGAAUUAUAACAUAUUAAUUUAUUUUCUAAGAGCGUGUUUGGAACUGUUGGGCCGUGUUUUUUUUUUAAAUUAAUUUAUUUAUUAUUUAUUUAUAUAUUUUUAAUUAUUUUAAUGUGAUAAUAUUAAAAAUAUUUUUUUAAAAACAAAAAAUUAUUAUUUUAAUAUUUUUUUAAAUAAAAAAUAUAUUACGCUGCAAUCACAACUAUAUUUUUAAAUAUUUUACAUGAUAAAAACAAGUUUUAAAAUAAUAAUUAAAAAGUAAAUUUCAAAACUUAUUUGUGAUGAAACAAAGAAACAAAUUUCAAGAGUUGAUAUUAUUAGCAAAUUAUAUUUACCAAGAAUAAUAACAAAGUUCAUGUUUAAUACAGGAAGAUAAUUAAGGUAACAACUAGAUAGCUAGUGGUUUUGCCAAAUAAACUACCCCAUAUAUAAGACCUAAUUAAUUGUUUUUGUAAAUUUUAUUAUUAUAUAUAUAUAUAUAUAUAUAUAUAUAUAUAUAUAAUUAAUUGUUAGUGCUAGAUGGAAGAGAGAAUCAGAUUUAAUAAUAGAGAAUUAAUUAUAUAAAAAACUAUUUUUCUAGUAAAAAAAAGGUGUUAUGUAUAUAAAAACAUAGUUGUGUGUGUGUAUUAAUUUUAUUGGUCUAUAAAUAUAUUAUUUUAAUUGAAAAAUUAAAUUUAAAAUUCAACCUGCUCAAGCUAGAUAUUUUGAGUCAAAAAGUCACGGAAGAGACCCGAUAGACAUGAAAAUGUUUUAUAAAUAUGCAUAGAAGUUGAGAUAGCGACAUGUAACCACUAGUUUCAUUGCAAGAAUAUUUGUCAAUUAAAUUAAUCCAACUCAUGAAUAACCCAAAUGAGUUAUUAUAAUUUCAAUCCAGAAUCACACAAUUAUUUAAUUACAUUUAUACAUUUACCCCAGGAAAAGAAGUGAUUAAUGAAAUCCAUUCCACAUCGUGCGAUACUUUUUUUUCUACAACAAGACCUCGCUCGAUUGCUUACUAGAUCGCCCGAUCCUAAUAUAUAUCUUCCAAGGCUCUUUUUUUUUUUUUUUUUUUCAGAAAGUCUUCGAUGGAGAUGCUGUGACGUCGUCUUGAGAUGACCGGAUUGCGACACAGAGCAUGUAUGAGAAAUGAUUUUAUCAUUUCGGAACAUUCUGGUAUAUCUAUAAAUAUGUACACAAAUUAAGAAGGUCGAAUAAACAAACAGAGAUCAUUUUUCUUUUUUAUUGUCCUUCUCGUUUGUCCUAAGAAAUGGCUAGCUGCUCCAAGAUCCUCACCAAGACAGAUACUGAGAAGAGACUGUCAGUGCCUUCCAAGUUUCUCAAGUCUCUCCCACCAUUCAAAGGCGGCCAUGCGGUGUUUUUUCAAGCUAAAGAGGAGAGAGGCAAAGUCUGGACUUUUCAGUGCUCCACUCGCAAGAAAGGGCCGUAUCAGAAGCCAGUUCUUUCCAGGGGUUGGCUUGCAUUUGCGAGGAAGAAGAAACUUGAAGUGGGUGACAAGAUCGAGUUUUACAAGGCUAGAGAUCAAGAAACUGAAAAACCCUUUUAUGGAGUUCGAGUUGAAAGAGAAAUCAAGAUACUCGGUGCUGUUAUUGGCUGUAUGAACCCUUAAUGGGUCUCUGAGGAGCAUAUAACUGUAGUGUCCCGCCCCAUGGUUGUCAGCAAUUAAACCUUUUUCUAAUUUUAUUUCCCAUGAAUCUUAGGUUGCCCAGCUUUCGUCCUGUCCAGACCCACGCUUCCCAUCUCCUUUUUGAGACACGUGCAAAUAUAGUAUUUUUUUUUAUCAAGGAAAAUUGACUGCACGUUUCAGGUUGUCUUGGCAGCAAAAUAUAUAUUUCUUUCCAGGAAAAUCGCUCAAUAUAUUAAUGUACUUCUUCCUUUCUUUCCUUUGGUAAAUGUACUUGUUAUAGUUAAAAUUGUAAUAUUUUGACAGACUAUCACAUUUUUAGAACCAACCACGUCAACCUCAAGUUCACUUUCCGGAUCAACCUCUAAUUUUAUAUAUCUAGUUAAAAUAUAGUUUAAUUUAAAAAAAUUAAAAAAAAAUUAUUUAAUUUUUUUAAAAAAAUAAUGCCAUUUCAAAUUUACUUUGAUCUCCAAAGUUAACUAACCUAUUGUAAACUGUAAAUUGGGUCAAAAACUAUACCAUAUGUAAUAACUUUACAAACUACAAUGAUGACCAUUAAAUACACGGCGUCAUAACACUUUAUAAUUGAAGUGAUCAAUGUUGGAUUGACCAAGUCUGCCUUUUUUGUUUUUUUAAUGAGUCCAAGGAGAUGAUGAAAUUAUAAUAGACUAACAAACAUAGUGAAGGAAAAUUUAUAUAUAUAUAUAUAUAUAAAAAACAUAAUUAGUGGAAUUUUUACAUUGCUUGAUGAUGAGUCCCAAAAUACAAGAUGCUUUGAAAUAAAAUUGAUGUGUUGGAUAAUUAGUUAAUCUUAUAAUUCAAGCAAUUUGAUUUGUUCUCCUAAACCAAUGUGUCUUUCAGCUUAAUAUGAAAAGCUAAGGUGGUUGGUAGUAACAAAUGAUACUUAGUAAGCCAAGGUGGCUGGUAGCCGUGGUAGUAGUAGAUGGCUUCUGGUAAGUCAAAGUGAUUGGUAGCUCGUGACUGUUUUUGCGGGGCAACGUCGGGUUGACGUGUUUUUUAUGCCUCAUGAGAGGUAUUGUAGUUGGGAAGGAAAUGAUUUUUGAUUUAAUCAUAAAAUUAUUAUUAAGGUUCAAGAGUCGCCACCUAGUAUUAUGGUUAUUAAGAACCCUAUGGUAUGCGAGAGUUUGGGUAAAACACUGAUUGUGCAAGGGAAAGACGCAUCAUCCCCAGUGCAACCUACCUGAGAUAGGAUGCAUUGCUGUUUGAUUGUUUUUCUAUGUCAUAUUUUUAUUCGUUGGUCUCGUCUAAAGUUCAAGGCAAAUCUCUCUUCGUGGAAAAAUCUCUACCUUAUUAAGUUUAAUCCUAACCAUUCUAAAAUCUGAAUUUUAGUAUCGCAUUUAUUUUGAACUUAGUAUUUUUAAUACUUGAUGAUAUACUCUGCCAUGUAAUUUUAUACCUCCAAAUAUUAAAGUCUACAUCUAAACUCUAAUAAAAAAUGACCAAAAUGAACGGUGAAAGAUUUUUGACAUUUUAGCCAAAUCCUAACGAAUAAUCAUAAACUAGUUAUGAUAUCUAUUUUUUGCAUUUUAAAAAUAUGAGAAAGAUACAAUUUUUGUUUUUUUUUAUGAAAAUAUUCUUGGAAAAAUUUUAGGAUUUGGACAUAUACAUAAAAACAAAAAAACAUUAAAGAGGAAAUUAAUUUGAAUUUUUUUUUAGAAUCGUUUAACAGAAAACCGAGUGUUUUAAUAUCGGAUCUGUAUCUUAUAGUGUAAAUAUACAGUCCGAUGUUAUGCAAAAUUGGUAAAAAUACAUGUGAAAGAAUCAUAAUCUUUUGAAAGGAUUUUUUAAUUUUUUUAUAUAUAAUAAAUUAUCAUUAUAUUAUUAUAAUUAUAUUAUUAUUAAAUAUAUUGGCCUGGGUUUGACCCAACUAUAUAGGCCAAGCCCAUCCUGGUUUGGUCGAGAUCGACCCAAAAAGGGGGUUGAGCCGAUGUCUACCAACAAAUCUUCUCUUUUUUUUGGACUAGGAAGGACUUGGCCCAACCAUCUAGGCUGGGCUGAGACAGGUCCACCCCAGCACAACUCAGUCAUUGGCCCAACCCAGUGACUGGGUUGCAUGAACAAGGCAUGAAUUAUAUUUCACGUUCCACUGUUCAAAAACAGUGGAACCUGAAGAAAAAGAGGAGGAGGAGGAGGAGGAUGAGGAUGAGAAGGAGCUGCUGGUCUGGGAGGUCAACACGAAGCUGAUGAAAGUCAUUCAUAGAGGAGCUAGCAUGACGGUUCACUGUUGUCGGUGUUGGAGAAAGAAGAAAAACUGGUGGAGGAGAAAGAAAAGUUAGCGUAGUGAUUCCUAAUGUGGAGAUGACUUGUGCUGGCGGCUUGUGGGGAAAAUGGUGGUGGACAAGCAGGAGGUGAUGGCGGUUAGUGGCUGGAACGGCGGAGAAAGGGAAAGAAAAUAAUGGCAGAAAAACUGGUAGGGAAGCUGAUUUUUCGCCAACAUUGGACCCAAAUUUCUUGAUCCUCAGUCCAUGAAAUCCAUCACUAUUUAUAGGGGUUGCAAGAGCGCAAUCUUUUUUUCAUUUAGGAAAAAAUUUCGACCCUUGAUUCAUCUGGGAAAGAUUUCAACCGUUGGCUCAAAGUAGACAUUAUGAAUUGUUAAAUUUAACAGUUGAAGGUUUCCUGAGUUGGCCUCUUUAAGCCAGCGUCAUGGCUUGUUGUGGUGUCAAUCGGCCAGAACAGACCAUACCCGAGUGUAGAGAAAUGUUAGGUGAUCAUUUUGGUGCAUAUGUUGUUAAAUUUGGUGGAGAUUAGAGGCAUUAAAUGCACUUACAAAGUAGCUCUCCCGAACUAUCAUUUCAGAGAAAAUUGAAGAAGAAGAUGAACAAUAACCAAAACAGCGCCGUUUUGAUAAAGUUCAAUGUGGUCCUUCAAUUUCUUAUUUCUCUCAAUUACAUCCAUAAUUGGCUUCAAAUUUUUAAUUUUGUGCAUUUCAGCCCCUAACAAGCUUCAAGUUCAACCCCAGAUCUUGAUGCCUUUUUCAUUUUGGUCCUUGGUCUUGGAUUUCAUUAAUUUAGCCCCUAAUUGACCAUUAAACUUUAAAUUUUUUUCAAUUUCACCCCUGAAUUCAUUCAAUUGGGUCCCUAUAGUUCGAUGUCUUUUGCUGAUUGGUCUUUGGCUGUGAAAUUUUUUAAUUUAACCCCUAAUUGACCCUAAAACUCUGAUGUUUUUGUGAUUUAGCCCUUGAUUUCAAUCAAUUGACUAGGUAAAAAUCAAAUUUGAUAUCCUAAAAUUCCAAUUUUCAUAAUUAAGCCCAAAUUGGGGUUCCACACUUAAUUUUUCACCAAUUAAACUUUUAAUAAAAUUAAUUUGACUUAUUUAAAGAAUAAUUAAGUCCUUGCACCUGAUUGAAUUCUUCAAUUAGACCCAAAUUAAUUCAUAAACAUAAUUAAACUUUAAAUUGACCUAUUAAAAAUCUAAUUAUGUCUUUAAACAUAUUUUUUAUGCAGAUUCGUCUAAUAAUCAUUUAAUUUAACCUUGAAUCUACAUUAUUUCUUCUGUCUUGGGUAUAAUGGGGUACAAGUAGACUUCAAAUUUCAUCCAAAAUUAUAGCUCAAUUUUUAUGUUUUUUUUAGAAUCCUUAUCGACCUGUUUUCUUCAUGUUGCCAGCCUUUAUUUUAUUUUUUAUUUUGGAAGAAAAAAUUGAGUUUAAGGAAUAAUCUAGAAAUGUGUUAUGACACUUGUAAAAAGGUUUUAUUUGAUGGAUAUGGAAACUUUCUGAUGGUAAAAUCAGUAACUUUAUAGAGAGAAAAGGUGUAAUGAUAUUUUAGAGAGAUAUAUUAUGAAAAUAUAUAUGCUGAAAAUGUUAAGAAUAAAGAGAUUGUGAACCUUUGGUUUAAAUGAUUCAUGAUGUAUUUAUAGCCUAUGAGUCUUGUCCUUUUGUAGAGAGAAAAUGUUGAAGUGUAAUUUUACCCUUAUGAUAUUUUGAGUUGUAUUCUACUCAAAAUAAUACGUACAUGAUUAAUGUAAAAUAUUGAGGGACUUGUAUGGAGUCUUAGAAAAAUUCUCAAGGGAGUGUUGGGCUCGACCAAGGUGCUCGAACCUAUUAGAUAUGAAAAAUAGGUCCAGACACGCUGUUUGGACGAAAAUAUGUUGGACUUAGGCGUGAUGGCUUGAGUUUAUAAGGGUGCUGAGGUGUAUACCUAGCACCCUUGAUGUUAGGAGUGACAUCAUGCCUAGUUGGGUGUGUCAUGCCUUACAUGGGUGUAUGCCUUGUAUGGGAAGUUGAGCGUGUGACCAUGCUCCCUGCCCAUAGGUGCACGCCUUGCAUGGGCUCGGGAUUUUGCCCAAGCCCAUGCCCCUGAGAGCUGAGCUCGAGCAAGGUGCCUGAGUCCAAUGUCAUUGAGUGUUUUUUUAUAGCUUUUUCCCCGCCUUUAGAGGGGUUUCUUGGGCCCAUUUUAUUUGGGUUUAUCAGAAACCCUCUAAAUCUUUGUGAUAUUGAUCUACAAAGACUUAUAAAAAAAUCUGGUUACCAUGACGAGUUCGUUAAAUUUUUUUCAUAUGAGAAGAGGGGUGAAAACCUCAAGGUUAUUAAAAAAGAACUCGUGUGUAGAGGCAUGCAUUGUAUGGAAGAAAUUUAUAAGUAUGUAUAGGAGAAUCAUGGAGGAUCUCAUACAUAGAAAAAAUUCUAUGAGAGUAAACUGAGAUAUAUAGGACUCCAUACUUAGAAAAUUUUUCUAAGAGGUUAGGGAAAACCUAUGGAGAAGAAAUCCAUACUUAAAUUUUUUUCUAAAGGGCUAGUGGAAAACCAAGGAGGGUGAGUUUAUAUUUAGAAAAAUUUCUAAAGGGCAAAGGGAAUUCCAUAAAGGUUGUUCCCUGUAAUAAUAUGAAGCCUAAAAGCCUUGUACUAAUCCAAGAUCAUGCUAGAGAGGGGGGGCUUAUGGCCUUCUAGUCGAUGGUAUGAGGCUGGGAAGCCUUAACUAAGAAGAGAUCACACUAGAGUGGGAGAUCUGUGGCCUUUUUUGCAAUGAUAUAGGGCUUAGAAACCCCUCUACUAAAGAGUGGUUGCACUAGAGUGGGAGGCAUGUGGCUUCCCUAGCAAUGACGUGAGGCUUGGAAGCCCUCGAUUGGAGAAAUGUUUCACUGAAGAGUAGGAGGUUUGAAGCCUCUAUGGUGAUGGCAUAAGGGCUUGGGAGUCCCCCCAUUAGAGAGUAUGUUAAUUGCAUUCCUUAGCAUUGUCAUAUGGCACAGAGGAGCCCCUCACUAGAGAGUGGUUAUUUUAUGAGUGUGGGUGGCCUUCCCAACGAUGUAAUGGGGCAUGAGAGCCCCUAAUAGAGAGAGAUUGUACCUAAGAGUGAGAAAUCCAAGAUCAUCCCUCAAGAUAAUAUAAAGCCUGUAAAGCCCACUAAAAAGGCAUACUAGUCCAAACUGUAUUGGAAAGGCGGGAGAUCCAGGAUCAAUCCCUGGUGAAUUGGUAAGAGGCGUUUUGGCAUCACCUGGAGAAUAUGUCAGUCUGAGACUGUACUGGAGAAUAGGGGAUCUAUGAUCAACCUCCAGCGAGUUAGUGAGAGACUCUUAGGCAUCACAUGGAGAAUGUGUCAAUCCGAGACUAGAGAUUUAUAGAUAGAAAAUGCAUAUCAAAGAUACAAUAUUUUUAUUUCAAAAAUAAACUUACAUUCCCUCGUAGGAUUAUGCAUCUUAAGGUGAUCUAAGUGCCAAGUAUGGUGUAGAUUUUACCAAACAUGUCAUGGAAUUGAUAGGUGUUCGCUUUGGCUGCCCUAAUAACCUUAAAUGGGUGAUCUUAUUUUGAUUUAAGAGGGAAGUAAAUCCUUAGAAUACACCAAGCACUCAUGAGCUGGUCCCUUUUGGUUCUUCUAUAAGCUUUCAUUUCUACUAGGAGAAUGAUUUUGCUUGGAAGAUCCAUAUUAAUUGUCCAUAUAAUAACAAAGGGGCCCAUGUUAUAGCAAAUCAGCUUCCUCUACAUAUAUAUAAUUUUUCAUGUUUUGCUUCACCUUGAGCAAGCUUUUGUCUAGUAAGGCAUGAAGUUUGCCCCAGAUAACAUGUUUCUUUACCGCUCUUAUCAAGACUUCUAAAGCUAUUAGCUCAAGAAAUUCUUCCACCUUAAGCAUUUCCUCAUUGUACCUCUUCAAAUAUAUCCAUGUAGACUUGCACUCUAGCUUAACGCAAAGAUCGUUGAACCUUUCAAUGAAGCUUGGCUCCAAAUUAUUAUACCAUGCACAGAUAGACCCCUAGAAAGUUGGGGAAGGAUUUUUCACAUUGAGUCACUACUAACUCUGAGAUACCGUGCACAUUUUGUUCAUGCUCUCUCAGGUCAGUCAAGCCAUCAUAAUUAGUGAGGCUUAUUUUUAUGGAAAUGUAAUUUUUAAGGAGUGAAGUGUUCAAUACUCAUUUGGAAAAGAAAGAACCCCUCUACUAAUGGAGGUUGUAAUCAUUAUCUUAUGUAUACUUAUAUACAUUCCUUCAUUUAAUCCUUUUUCUAUUAGGUUCUUGGGAGACCAGGGAAUUUGGCAUUAUACAAUUGUUAUAAGUAAUUGGUGUCCAUCUAAUAGUAGCUAGGGUAAGGACAUUCAGAGUACUAGCUCUGUACAUGGGUAUAAAAAUGGUUAUAGUAAUUGGUGUCCAUCUAAUAGUAGCUAGGGUGAGGACAUUCAGAGUACUAGCUCUAUACGUGGGUAUUGCAAUGACACAAGUGACCUUUUGAGGGACUCUCAAUAUUGUCAUUAUGUUUAGUCUUUUUUUAGUAGUAUAAUCAUCUACAAAUGUCUGGUGCAGUCAGUAGCUAUGGUGUUGGUGUGUUAUGUGUUAUCAAGGGUGUCAAGACUUGUCAGAGUAACAAUGUCUGAUUUUCAUCUUGGGAUGCCAACACAGUACGAGUAAGAAGGUGCACAUAAAUAGUGAGUUAUUGAAGGUCCGGUUGAGUAGAAGUGUCUGUGGUAACAUCUAGAUUUAUUUUGCUUCUUGACCCAGGUGUGUCUUGGUUGUGUGUCAUGAAAUAGCCUGGAAAUGUCAAAAACAAGUUUUAAAAACUGAUGGUUUUUUUAUCAGCUUCCCACAUAUUACGCCAAUUGAUGAGUCCCAAAAUCUAAAAUGCUUUGGAAUAAGGUUGAUGUAUUUGAUAAUUAAUUAAUCUCUUAGUUCAAGUAAUUUGAGUCUUUCUUCCUAACCAAAGUGUUUAGUAGCUUGAUAUGAAAAGUCUAGGUGGUUGAUAGUAGCAUCGUCUGCUAGUAGUAGGUAGUGCCUUGAUAAGCCAAUAUGGCAAAUAGUUGUGACAGUAGCAGGUGGUUCCUAGUAAGCCAAGGUAAUUGGUGGUCGGUACAUCUAAAAGGUUUUCUUUGAUGAACAUUGAGACUCUCUAGUGAUAAAGUCAAUAACUUCAUGUAGACUCGCCAUCUUGUUGAUAUUUUUUUAAUUGAGGUUUUAUCUUUGUUGUUUUUUUCCUUUUCGGUAGGGUUAGUCCCGACCUGAUGGCUAUGAUCACGGACUUUGAUUGUUAAUACGAAUUAACUUUUAUUUUUUAAAAUCCUUUUAUAAAAUUGAUUAAUUUUAGUUUUAUCUUUCAACAUUUGAUUUUUUUAAUUGGUUUUUGUGCUUUUCUUUUCACUUUGCUUUAUGUGGGAAAACGUUUUUUUAUAUCUAAAAACAUGUUGGAAAAGCUUGUUUGUUUAUUUUUUUAUUAAAAAAGUUAUUUGACCAUGAUAAAACGAGGGUCAAAUAUAGCAUUCUUACUAGUUUUUGCAAGCAUUCCUUCAAAUGUUUACAUGGAGGUUUCUUCGAUAAAGAUUUGGUCAACUCCAAAGACCAUUUCAUUUGGUUCCGCUGAUGGUUGUUUAAUUUGUACAUGCAAUCUACCCUGGCUUAUGCGUUUAUUUUUCUAGUAUUUUUUUGGGAGGUUGGGUUUUCUUUUAUUUUCUUUUUUUGUUUUAUGAAAAAAAUUGUUAGUUUGUCGUAUCUUUAAUUAGCUUUGUAAGAGUCUUCCUUCUAACAUGGGCUCUUAAAUGUGUGAGUUAAAUAUGAUGGUAGAACCUUACUGGUAUAUUAAUUGAGGAAUCAUUCUAGUGGUAGUGGAUCAUAAAUUAUCAUAAAUGUUAGAGCACAGUGGAGUUCAGAUUGACUUGGAAAAUAAUCUUGGGUUAUUUGAUUAUAAAUUAUUAUUGGGUUAAUUAUUUUUAUUAAAAUAAUAUUAUUUUAGUAAAAAAAUAAAAACGUUAUUGGAAUUAGCACAAGUCAGUUUGAAUUGGAUUUAAUUUAAUUAAAUCAAUUAAAUUACUAAAAAAUUAGAUAAGUUAAUAACAUUUCACCGUAUCAAAGUCAAAUUACUAAAAAAUUAGUUAAGUUAAUAACUUUUCACCAUAUCAAUGUUUUUUAUAAUUGAACUUAAAAAAUAGCUAUAAGUUUUUUAGUCAACUUACAUGAUCAGGUUUAAUAAUUAUAUUAAUCACAAUUAUAGUCAGCAGUCUAAUAGUUAUCCAUUUUAACUUAAUCUUAAUACACACACUAAUUGUUUGAUACGUACUUUGUAUGUUUGUUUUUUAACUAGUUUAAAAUCUUUUUUUUUUUUACUUUUUAGUAGGUUUUUAUUUAUUUAUUUAUAAUCCGAGGGCGUUCUAACAACAGCAUCAAUAUUAAUUACCACCAUUGAGUAAUUAUUAUUGUAUGCAAUCCUUAACCAAAAAGUUAAGCACAAGGCUAGGUCUUGUUUCCUGGUUCCAGAGGGUGUCUGCACAAUAAGAACUACAACAGCAGUUUCACUUUUAAUAGUAAAUGAAGAGAUAUUUUAUUAUGGAUUAUAAUAGUAAUUUUUUAAAAAAAAAUUUAUCUUUUUAUAUUUAUUUAAUUGUUUGUUUUUUUUUUCUUCUUCUUCUUCUUGACAACUAAACUAUACAAUUUUUUUUCCCGUCAAAUCAGAUAUUUUUGUUAUACUUAAGGCUCUUUGGUAUGACAUGAUCGCCAGACUUAAGAGCCUAUAAAAAAUUAAAAAAAUUAAUUAAAAUUUCUCUUUAGAAUACUUCAAUAAUAGUUUAAAUAUUUUUUUUUAUAAAAAAUAAAAAUAAUUUAUAAAAAAAUUAAUUAGGAUUUCUAUUUAAAAUUAAUACUUCAAAUAUAGUUUAAAUGUUUUUUUAUAAAAAAUAAAAAAAUUAUAAAAAUAAAUAAUUAGAAUUUCUAUUUAUGAUGCUUUAAGGAUAAUUUAAAUGUUUUUUUAUAAAAAAUUAAAAGAAUAUAAAAAAAUUAAUGAGAAUUUUUGUUUAAAAUACUUUAAAGAUAGUUUAAAUAUAUUUUUUUUCAAUGCUCUUAAGUCUGACAUGACCGCUAAAUUCUAAUUUUUUAAAUUUGAUAUGGUUGUCAAAUCCAAAAAAAAAAACUUAAAGCAUUCUUUAUGAUUUUAAUAUAUUUUUAACUUUUAAUAAAAAAAAAAUAUUUACCCACGCAGAACAAUAUACUAGUCAACAUUGAAAGUUUGAAACUCGGUAAUAGUAACGUAUAAGUGACAGUUCAUAUUGGCAGAGAAAAUAAAAGACUCCAUUUUCUAGAUGAAAAUGUUCUGGACAAAUAAAUUUCGGCUACUUUUCUUUUUUCAAAACAAAAAAUAAAAAGUCAAAACCAGAUAUUUCACCAAGGAGAGGGAAGGGUCGUGCCCCUAAUUAAAAUGGAGUGCUUUUAAGUUUCACACUUGUUAUUUUUAAAAGUAUUUUUAUAAAAUAUAUUUAAAUAAUAUAUUUUUUAUUUUUUAAAAUUUAUUUUUAAUAUCAAUAUUAAGAAAUCUAAAAAAAUUCUAUUAUUUUUUAAAAUCCAUACAAUUAUUUUAAUUUUAAUUAUUUUUUUAUAAUUAGAAUAUUAUACACAAACGAGGAGAGGAAAUUAUAUUGCGCACAUGCAAAUUGCGUACGUAUAUUGUAUUCAUUUUCACAAAUACAUCGCACGAUACUUUUUGUUGUUUAGCUACACAUCGCUCGAUUUCACAAAUUUCUUUUUGGGUCUUUUACAAAAGGUAGUCUAUCCCUAUAUGGGACUGUACUCAAAUUAUUACAGCAUGAGAUGAUGGAAAAAGCUGAUAGACGACGGAUGAUUAAUGUCCUUUUUGGAAACUUUUUGUCUCUCUCUCUUUCUCUACACACACACACACAUACAGACACAGACACACACGCCCAGAGAAGAAGCUGGCAUUAACAAAUAGAAAAAACUUUCCAUUAUCCUUCUUGUUUGUCCUAACUCCUAAGAAAUGGCCAUCUUCUCCAAGAUCCUCACCAAGACAGAUGCUGAGAAGAGACUGUCAGUGCCUAUCAAGUUUCUCAAGUCUCUCCCGCCAUUCAAAAGCGGCCAUGCGGUAGAUUUUCAAGCUAAAGAUGAGAGGGGAAAGGUCUGGACUUUUCAAUGCUCCACUCGCAAGAAAGGACGGUACAAGAAGCCAGUUCUUUCCAAGGGUUGGCUUGCAUUUGCAAACAAGAAGAAACUUAAAGUGGGUGACAAGAUCGUGUUUUACAAGGGUAGACAUCAAGAAACUGAAAAACCCUUUUAUGGAGUUCGAGUUGAAAGAGAAAUCAAGAUACUCGGUGCUGUUAUUGGCUAUAUGAACCCUUAAUGGGUCUCUAAGGAGUAUAUAACUGUAGCGUCCCGCCCCAUGGUUGCCAGCAAUUAAACCCUCUUCCAAUUUUAUUUUCCCAUGAAAUCUGGGCUGCCAUGCUUGCGUCCUGUUCAGACCUACCUUUUCCCAUCUCCUUUUUGAGACACAUCCAAACAUAGAUCUGAAGGCACCCCUGGACAACAUACCUGCUCAUGUUUCAGGUUGUCUCGUCCGGAAAAAGAUAAAUUUCUUUCAAGAAAAGUCGUUGUUUAAUAUAUAGUAUUAAUGUACAUUUGUUUUUUCUUUUCCGUUGCCAAAUGUACUUGUUAUUUGUUAAAAUUGCAAUAUUUUGACAAGCUACAAUGAUACGAGCAAAUGCACGUCCGGCGGCACCCAGUAUAAUUGACUCUACCUGCUUUUUUUUUUUUUUUAAUCACUAUGGACCGGAAGUUCUAAGUGUAUGUGUAUGUUGGGUACUCUGCUAGUGUCUGCAGUUACGAUUUAAAAAAAAAAUAUAGGUUUUAAAAAAAUAAUUUUAGUUGUGAUUUUAUAAAAAAGGGUUUUAAAAAUAUAUAUUUAGUUAAAAUUAUUGUGAAGAUUGAUUUUUAUAUGCAAAAUAAAUGAAAAAAUUUUAAAAAUAUAUAUUAUUUUUGUCUUUAUAUAUUAUUUUUAUUUACAAAUUGGUCUAUAUUCAGAUUAUUUUGUCCUUGUCCUUUAUAUAAUUUACAAUUGAAUCUUUAUAAUAAAAACUUUUUACAGUCAAGUUAGACUACUCUUCAUCGCGUAAUUAUUCAUUACAUGGUUUUUUAUGUGAUAUUUGUAAUGUAAUGAAUCAUUAUAUAUAAUUGUAAUAUAUAGUCCAUUACAUUAUAAUUUUGAAAAUUAUAAAAUCAAACACAAGAAAAUAAUAGAUCAUUACAUUAUAUAGUUCAUUAUAUCCAACCAAUCAUGUAGUAAAUUCUUAAUUUUUUUGUGAGAAAUCUAGCAUCCUCUUUCCCAUCAGAAUAUUGCAAUUAAUAUUAAUUAAUAAAGUGUUAAAUACAUAUUUGAUAAUGAUAAACACACAAAAGGAUAUUCAAAAAAGAUUGAGAGAUACUUAUAUUAUUAAAAUAUUAAAAAAAAACCCGUUAUAAUAAAACCAAAAACUAUUAAAAUAAUGUAGCUUGCUUGUUGAGUUGAAAAGCAUGUAAAAUAAAUUUAACCUAAAAAACAGAAGCAGCAUCUUAGUGAAACGGACAGGCCACGCGUGAAGCCUAUCCAGCGGGGGUGCCACAUGGGCUGAUGUCAUCGCUUGCAUCAGACUUGUGAUCUCACACUGUACAGUGUACUACCUUGCCGACAGCAAUAAACACAAGAGUAUCUCCGUACCAUACAAGUGGGAGCUGCCUUUUGUUCCUAAUAAAUGCACCUCAUGCUUUUUCAUUAAAAAAAAAAAAAACCAAGUAAAAUUAUCCUCAAACAAAUGGAGGCAUUUUUAAAAAUAUUAGGAAAAAAAAUUAAAAUUGAUUAAUACAUAAACUAACUAAAAUAUAUAUUAUUACACUUUCAAUAACAAUUUUUAGGCAAAUAUAAAAGAAAUUCAUAAACUUUGAUUGAAUGCCCAAACAAUUUUAGUUUGAAUGAGGUUCCUAGGGUUUAAGAAAUAUUAAUCUGAGUCCCUCUAUUCACGGGUUCCAUUCAAAUUUAAAUUUUAUUUUAAAAACAAACGUUGUUUUCGAGGGAAAUUAGUAUUUUUGUUGUUAAAUAUAAUGUAAUUAAAGAUCAAAAUAUCGUUUCUAAAUAAGCUGAUUAUUUUCUUAAUUUUUAGUUAUUCUUUAAAUCAUAAAUAGUUAUUUUGGGAUAAAUGUUGAAAAUUAUUCUAUAUGGGACACCACUAUGUAGAUUGUAGAGGAUCUCAAAUGAAAGAUCCAAGCGCGAGCCGAAAGUAAGGUAGACGAUAAAGUAUUUAGAAACACUUUUAUAAAAGAGUUGGAAGAGGUCGGGAGUCGGCGACAUUUAGCAUUAAAAAAAAAGGGUUCAAAGCAUGCAAUCAGUGUACUAGAUUGGUUUCUGCGUCCAUGGCCGGGUCAACUUUUCCUAUAUAUAUAUAUAUAUAUUCAAGGGACACUAAAGUUUUAUAUAUAUAUUCAAGGGACACUAAAGUUUUUUAAAAAUAAAAAAAGAUUUGAAUUUCAGGUUAUUUAGAGUUAAAUAAAUUUUAUUAAUUUAAUAAUAUGAUUAAAAAAAUUAACAGUAAAUAAAAUGAAUAAAAGAAUUACAAUAAUUAACUAUAAAAAAAUGAGUUAGUAAUAUCAUACUCGAUAGAAGAAAAAAAAACUCAUUAAAGACUCGUUGUUAGUUUGUCGUGAACACCACUCUACCACCAAGACAUUUCAAACGAGAAAAUUGAAUUUAACAAACUAGAGUUAGGUAUAUAACUAGAGUUGAACUUGUUAUCAUUCUAAUUUAAAAAAAAAAAAAAGCUUGAUUUUUGUUUUUUUAUAAAGUAGAUAAGCAAUUUUAGUUUUCUUAGAAAAUGAAAAUGUCUAAGCUGCCAUUGGAUGUCAGUUAAUGUUUAUUUAUUUAGAAAUAACAAUCAUUAAAAAUUCAGCAUUGAUUUACGUAUAGUCAUGUAGUUAGAAAUUGAUAUACUAUUAAGGAAAUAUAUUAUUAGCAUUUCAAGUGUUUUUAGAGUUUCUAUGAUCAAAAUAAAGUGUCAUAAGAUAUUAAGGUGUAUAGAUUAUGAGUGAUUUAAGAAGUUUACAUUAUUCUUUAAUGUUUUGAAAAUAAAAAAUAGUGAAAAAAAAAGGAUAAACUUCCUUUUCUUUACUAAGGUUUGUUGAUAUUUACAAAUUAGUAAUUUAGUAUGGAGUUAUGCUAUAGUGAUAAUAUUGUAUUAAAAUAAAAUAGUCAAUCAAGAAACUUUAUUUUAUAUUAUUUUCUUUGGCAGAUGUACAUGGUAAAUUGUAAUGCUUGCAACAUUCGAGAAACUACAGUGAUAGCAAGCAAAAGCAAGUGCGGCGCCCUCUAUAAUUAAAAUGGUUGAUUUUCUAUUUAACAAGACUCUGUUUUUUUUACUUUAUUGCUGCAUUAUAGAGUUUGAAAUUGCGAUAAUAAUUAGUUUUUUAAAUAAUUUUUAUAAAAAUAUAUUAAAAUAAUAUUUUUAAUUUUUAAUUUUAUCACAUCAAAAUAAUAAUUUAAAAUCAUUAAUCAUCAAAUAUGCCAUGAGGCUUUCGGGGGCGGCCAUUUAUGGGGUGAUGUUGAAGCCUAGGUGCCUCCCGGGUAGUAAAAUAUUAGACUCUACUUUCCUGGAAGCAAAUCCAAUAAGUUUUGCAAAAUUAAUUGAAACAGAAAUUUGAAUCGAGAAAACUAAAUUUAAUGAACUAGAGCUGGGUAUUUAGCUAGAGUUAGGGUUCAUAUCCAUCCAAAUAAAUAUACCAAUAACGUACUUAUAGUGCUAAUUAUGGACAUUCUUUUCUAAGCACUUGCUAAAUUUCCCCAUUAGUUGGAAUCAAGAAUAUUAAGUUCUUUGAAAGGUAGAGGAGACGGGUUUCAUAUGCUUUUGGAAAAACAAGAUAAUUAAAUAAAGAGAAAACACAGGAAUACUUGGGACAGCACUUGAGCAGGGGAUCUCAGACGAGAGAUCCAAGCGCAGGCCGAAGGUAAGGUAGACGAUGAUAGUUGGCUGGCUCAUCCCAAAGGAAUGCAAAAGAAUGGCUUUAUGGAGAUAAUAAUUUCUGUGAUUUAAUUUCUUAACAAAUUCCUUGAGAUUAGCAAGAGAAAAAUAACGCUUUCUGAAGUAAUCACCACAAGAAUAACCUCUGAUCAUGGAUUUAUGGUGCUGUUAAUCUACUUCACAACGAUCAAAUGACAUGGCUAACAUUUUUGACACACAAGAAUAAACCUACCGUGAUCUUGUUUCUAAAAUGAAGAAUAUGGAAAACCAAUUUUUGAUAGUUUUAAAAAACGAGUAAUUAUAUAUGAACAUGUUUUCUAUGAAUUUUCUGUUUCUCCAGGAAAUGGUCGAUGAUUCCCCAGGAGCAUUCACCACCAUGUUUUAAAACUAACCCCUGGUUUCUUAUGCCUUGCCUGGCUUUUUCCAUUUUUUUCUCAAUAUAUAUAUCUGUGUGUGUGUGGAGCGUAAGCCCAAAGAUUAAAGAAAAGAAAAAAGGCCGGGAUCUUAAUCCAAAUAAAAGAAGCUCAAAUCAGACUAAGCCCAAAAGUUGAUGUGAGACCCCAAGCUAAAAGCCACGGGACCUUCCCACAGGCUGAAACUAUAGUCAGAGUAUUGUAAUAAUAUUAUAGAAGAGGGUUUUUUUUUACUGUUAAUAUACUACUCAUCGUUUCACAUUUCACUAUACACAUUAUAUUUCAUAGCUUUCCUUUCUUAGUCCCUAAAACUUUGGCCUUCUUGCAUUUUGGUCACUGAACUUUAUUUAUUUUCAAUCACUUCCUUGCAAGUUAUAUUGACAUGAUUUUGUUUAUUGUUAUCUGCUUUGAUUUGCAUAUUCUCGCGUGUCCAAUGUUUCCAAUACAUCGAUAAGUAUUCUGACAUUGAAUUAGACACUAAUUUUACAAAAAAAAAAAAAAACCUUAUAUUCUUAAAACUAAAAUUGAAAGAUCAAAUAUUAAAAUUCAAAAUUAGAUGUUUAAGGACUUAAUUGGAAUUUUUCAAGGUUUAAUUGAAUUUAUUGAGAGCUUAAUUGCAAAAAAAAAAUUGAUUUUUGAAGUUAAUUUAAGCUUUAAUUAGAAAGAAUUAAAGUCUAGGAGUCAAAUUGAAAUUUUUAAGAGUUAAUUUGGUCAAAUUAUGGGUUUAAUUGCAUAAAUAUUGAAGUUUGAUAGACAAUUAGGGACUUGAUUAAAGAAAUUCAAAUUCAAUUACCAAAAUAAAAAAGGUGUGUUAAUGCAAGGGUUGAAAUUGACUAAAUCAAAGCCAAAUUAAAAAAAUUAAAAAUUUAUUGGUCAAUUAAAGGUUGAAAUGUACAAAUUUAGAACAAAAAGACUAAAAUGAAAAUAACAAUUAAAUUUGGGGCUAACAAUUGAGUUUGGUAAGGAUGAAAUUGCAUGAAAUUAAAAGUCUAGAGGCAAUUACAUAUACAAUUAAAAGAAAUUGGAAGAACAUGGACUCAAUUGAAUUUUUUCAAAUCCCAAAUUAAAAAUCCAAAAUGACGUGUCAUUUAAACUUAAUGAAAAUAAGGUGAAUGACACGACGUUUGUCAGCUUGCACUUCUAUUUGAACAGUUUUGGCUAAUCGAGUUGAUAACUUUAAACAAAUAAAUAUGGAGUUACAGACCUUCAAAUUGAAUAAGGUUGGAUCCAAAUGAAAGAUGUGCACCAUCUCUAUAAACUUCAAGUGAUCUUAGGCGAUGAUGUCGUCAAAAUUGCUCUAACAAGACCUCGAAAGUAGGCAACCUAGUCAGCCCCAACAAUGCAACCAUCAUGCAAAAAAUAAUUUGGUUUUCGUAUGUUCACAUAGAAAGGCUUCUCAAUUGGUUGUAUCAAGGGUUUACAACACUUUUCUCAAGACCAAGAGGUCAAAAAUAGAUUUAAUACCUUUUAAAACCCUGUAAAUAUCCCCCUUAAGAUUAAAAAAAAAAUGAAAAGAAAAGAUAAGGAAAUGAAGAGAAAUAUCAAUAAGAAACAUGAGUGUAGAGGUUCAGAAGCCUAAACAAAAGUUUUCUUAAGUUUUGUAAGUUUGCGAAAGGCAAACUUUUCCAAAAAAAACCAAGAGAGAGUUGUUGUUCCAUUGCAAACCCAAAAAUAGAUCCUUUAUGACAUACUUUUGUUGUUUUUAUUUAUUUAUUUAUUUUUGUUUACAAUUAUUUUAACAAGCAUAGAAAAGAGGUUUGGAAUGUUUAACAAAUAAUGUUGCAUUCACUUCUUUGUUGUUGUGUUGUUUUAUUUAAUUAUGUUCUUUUGAAGUCUUUUUAUGUUUUUGAUAUAUUAAAGUUCUUAUUUAAGUUUUUUAUAUAUAUAUAAUGUUGUUUUAGUUUUUAUUUAGCUUAAACUAUGCAUGUUAAAGAUAAGGUGUUUAUGUUGGGUUUGCUAAGCCUAUUUAUGCACAAAAUGAGUUCAGAAAAGCAAUUUUGAAUCCAUAUUACAUAAACAUGAAUGAUGUUUUAGGGUGGUAGUUUUUGGAUUUGGUACCUCAUGCUUAAUUUUGAUAUUUUUUGUUAGUUUAUUUUUUUAUUUAAACAUGUUUGUAUAUGGUAUUGUGACUUGUUAGGAUAAAAUAAAAACAUGUUUUAAAAGAAAAAAAAUGCUCAUUUCUGGGCUUAGUGGUGGCUGGGCAUGACUGGGUCUUUUCUCUAGGUUUAUAGGCAAUGUUUUUCGUGUUCUUAGAAAGAAAAUUGCAUUAACCCUUUGAUUUGUACCAAUCUUGGUCCAUUUCUUUAUACAAAACCUUUCCUUAUGUAUGAUUAACCAAUAAUCUAGUAUUUAUUUGCAUCAAUAACAUGAUUUUAAUGGUUUUUAAUCCUAGAGUUUUGAUUUAGAACCGAAACUCAUUUUGACAAAAUCGUGAUGUUUAAGAGAUAAUCGAAGUAAAUAGAUGCUAAAUUAUUGAUUCUUGCAUGAUUUUCAACAUUUAUGAGCCUUUUUUAUACCAAAUUUGGUAUGUUUUGGGUUCCAUAUUGCUAAUAGAGUUUAUUAUGUUUUUUAUUUAGUUUUAUUUUUGGGUUGUUUUCAAGUCAAACAAUGAUUUUUUUGUUCGGUUUAUAGUUGAACCAAAAAUCUCAGAUCAGCCUAAUCGGGUUAGGUCAAAACAAAAUUAGAUCAAAUGGUUUAAUACCCUGUUUGGUUUGCUUUUUUUUUUUGUUAAGGGUUUUUGGGUUUAAGAAUGAGUUUGAAAAACACCUUUUAAAUUAUUUUUAGUAAUUUUAUUACAAAGAAAAAAUAAGUUUUUAUCGAACAAAGCUCUGAGCUGAAAUUAUAAUUUCCGUAAAGUAUUUUUUUAUUUAGAAUUUGAGUUGACGCAAGUAGUGAAGGGGACUGUCCAAUAAUUGAGGAAAUUGAAUUGUCAUGCAUGACUUGAAUAAAUCACAUGAUAGAUGCCCGAAGAAAUUGCUGCCUGUUAUAAGAUAUGUCUUAACACAGUUAUAAACACAAAAAGAUAAAACACCAAAAAGCUAAGAUGCAUGAUGACAUGUCUCGUACAGGGCCUUAUCGUGCGAUUUCGCACGAUGUGUAUUGUCUUUCAUGUUGUUUUAUUCAUCAAACUAAAACUUUGCCAAUAAAUUCUACAUUUCCAAUUCUAUAAUGGAACAAUUUACUAUAAUCAAAUGGGGUCCAUUUUUAUAUCUAAAUUAGAUUUAAAAUAUAUUGUUUUGGAUUUAUUUAUUUAUUUUAAUUUUAACUAAAUUUCAAAAUUUUAUUUGAUUUAUGUUUUAUUAACUUGGCCGGUUUUCUUUAUUUUUUUCAGAAUAAAUUAAUAGAUUUCAUAUUAUCGACAUUCAAAAUUUAUACAAUCAAAGUUUAUAAAUAGAGAGAGUUUAGGGAUAUAAUUUAGAACUUAAGAAACCCUUAUCUCAUAUAUAUUCUCCGUCAUGUAACUUUGUAAAAUCAACCCAUUUUGUGUAAUAGGGGUUGUGAUGUGACUCCAGGCCUCUCUUCUCAUUAUAUAUUUUUUUUGAUAAUAUAUAUUUUUUUAAUUUAAGAUACCUGGGAUAUGAAACUAGAGUGAGUGGGACUUGUUGGCCAACAAGUGUGAGUUGACUCGGAUGCAGCGGCUUCACUAAGAUACAUGGGAAUCGCGCGAUGCGGGGUUCUUUUUCAGCUGUGUCGUGCGAUGUUUUUCCAAGAGGUAUUCCAUGUUUGUUGACAGAAGAAAAUCAAAGCUUCUAGAACUGUCAAAGGAGAAUUAGAGUUCAACAUGUCAAGACAUGAAUGUGCGUGAGUGAUGAGAUAAAUAUUAUAUUUUAAAGUAUUACACACACACACACACACACACACACUAGUUACAUAAACGACAACACAUCACUUGCUUUUCUAUAAAAAGAAAAAAAUUGGCUUGACCCGGUCAGCAUCUAAUUAGUAAGAGAAAUGCCAAUUAAUCUAAGUUUUUGUCAUUAAACUAUGUACUAGUUAUAGAUAAUAUGCGUUUGAAAGCUAAAUGGUUGUAUUUAGUCACUAAUUAUUUAUACAAUGAUAGUUGGACGGCGCAAAGAAUCCAAGGUCAUUCUUUUCAUGUCUCCGAAAAUGGAGAAAAUAUGAAGGAUGUCAAGGAGACCAAAAUUUGGAAAAAGUAUUAUGAUAAUUUAUGUAUUUUUGUCUAUCAUAUAGAUAAAAAAAAAUUAUUUAGUUAAUUAAAUAAUUUAUGCGCGUUUUAAAUUUUAAUUUUAUACAAAUUAAAAUAAUAUAUUUUUUAUUUAUUUUAUAGGUAAAAAUUUAAUGAACAAUAAUUUUAAUUAAACAUAUAUUUUUUAAAAAACUACAAUUAAUAUUUUUUUAAAAAAAUUAAAAGCAAAAACUACGGUAAAAUCAGAUACACACUUAACUGCUUAAAAGACACUACCGGGAAAAAAUUAAUUACAAUAAAUUGAGUAAUUGAUUUUUGGUUCAGAGUCCAAGCCGUUGCCUUAACAUGUUGGAGAUCGCACGAUGUGGUUUGGACUUUGGAGGUCGCGCGAUGUGGGAAUCGAACGAUGUGGUUCGGAGGUCGCGCGAUGUGGGAAUCGAACGAUGUGGUUCGGAGGUCGCGCGAUGUGGUUUUUGUUUUUCAGCUGUAUCGUGCGAUAUUUUCCCAAGAGAUAUUCCGUGUUUGAAUAUCCAAAAGAAAAUCGAAGCCUUUAGAAGUGUGAAAGGAAAUUAGAGUUCAAACAUGUUAAGAUAUGAACUAGAUCAUUCACCUGUGUCAUGUUGUGUUGUGUAUUGAAUUAAUUUUUUUAAAAUUUAAUUUUUUUAAAAUAUUAUUAAUGUUUAUUUUAAUAAAAAAAUAAUUUAAAUUGGGUUAACAUGAUAUAACUUGAUUGACUUUGCAUAUGUUUAAAAGCAACUCAUACAACUCGUAAAAAUAUAGUUUAAUUAAAUUUUUUUCAACAUGAUAUUUUUUUUAAUAUUAAGACAAUAAUAUAUUAGAUUGAUUUGGAUCAACCUAGAUUAACAUGUCAGAUUCGUGACCCGAGUUAUGAAACUAUAAUAACUUUAUAGAAAGCAAAUUAAAAUAAAUUAUAAAACAUAAUUAUCAAUUAACUCAAUGCUAGAUGAUGAAAUAAUUUUUAAAAAAAUCAAUUUAAAAAGGACUUAAAAAAGGGACCCUAAUUAACCUGUCAAACCCUUUACCCGAGUCAUAAGACCGAGAUAACCUCAUAUAAAGCAAAUAAAAACAAAUUACAAAUUUCAAUCCCCAAUCGGCCAAAUAUUAAAGGAUGAGAUUAAAAAAAAUCAGUUUAAAAAAGAACAUAUAUAAGAAACAACUUAAGUCAAUCCGUUAAACCCAUGACCACCGUAUCAGAUUAAGAUAACCUUAUAGAAUGAAAAUUUUUAAAAUUAACCUGAUUUAACCCUGAUUAACCUUCAAAAUUCAUGACUUUGAUCAUAAGAUUAAAAUAACCUAAUACAUAGUAAAUCAAAAUAAAUUAUGAAGCAAUAUUAACAAUUGUCUAUGUUGGAUCUAAUGUUCAACGAUAAAUUUAUAAAACAAUUAAUUAAAAAAUUGAUAAAAAAUGAGUCAAGUCAACCCAAGUUAACCCGUUAAGCACUAUCUUCGGGUUAUGAAACCGGAAUAACCUAAUAAAAAGUAAACCAAAACAAAUCAAGAAGCCUAAUUUCCAAUUAAACACAAUAUUAAAUGACAAAUUUGGUAAAAAAUCCAAUAAGAAAAGAAAAGAAAAUGAGUCAAUUGAGUCAAUCCGCUAAAAUAACGACUCAGGUCAUGAGAUGAUGAUAACCCAAUAAAAAACAAAUCUGUUGUUAAAGGACCAGUGACCUAAGUCAUAAGAUCAAGAUAACCCGUAGAAAAAAAUAAAAAAAUGAAUCAAUUUAACUAGGAUUAAAAUGUCAAAACCCACAAUCUUGAUCAUGAGAUUAAGAUAUAUCUUCAUAGGAAGUAAAUCAAAACAGAUUAUGAAGCUCAAUUCUCAACCAAUCUAAUGUUAAAAGAUGAAAUUGGAAGAAAAAAAUCACUUUAAAAUGAUAUAAAAAAUAACUUAAGUCAAUUUUAGUUAACCCAAUAAGCACUAUUCUCGGGUCAUGAGGCUAAAAUAACAUAAUAGAAAGUAAACAAAACAAAUUAUAAAAUCUUAAUCUCAAUUAACUUAAUAUUAAAAAAAAAUUAAUUAAAAAAAACCUUAAUCAAUUGGGUGAACCCACGAUUCAUGUUAUGAGAGUGGUAACUCGUUAAGAGAAAAAUCUAAUAUUAAAGGAUAAAAUUAAAAAAACAAAUUGAUAGAAAAAAAUAAAAAAAGAAUAUAAAAGGAAAAAGAAAAGAAAAUUACUAUUCUAUUCAAAUAAAUAGUGAUGUGUGUUUAAAAAGCCAUCUUCUUUUAAUUUAUUGUUAAUGUGUGUGAGUUUGAGUGUGUUUGUGUGAAAUAAAUCUCACAUUUAUCAAAGAAUGAAAAUGGGAAGCAUAUUACGUAUAUAAGGAUUAACCCGAUCGAUAGCUUAGCUUUUUUUUGUUUAAUUGAAUGUGAUGUUUUUUAUUAUUAUUAAUUGGAGAGUAUAUAUUUGAUGGAUUUUAUGUUUUAAUCAAAAUUCAAUAUUAUUUUUAAAAGAUUAAAAGUAUAAACUGAGAUAAAUUAAGAAGAAUAAUUCAUGGUUUAAUAUCAGAAAAGCACAUUUCUCGAGCAUGCAUGAUCUUUAUAUAAAUAUAAUUUUUGUGUUGCUCAUUUGUUUUACACAAGGGUCAAGGUGUGCAUAUACUUUCAUUAAAUUAACUUCAACCAUGAAUUAUAUUAAUUUAAUAUAUAGCAUUAUAUGCAUUUUUCUGCUUAAAUUUUAAGAAUAACCAUUUACUGCUUAAAUUUUAAGAAUAACCAUUUAAACUUCAAGAUUCUAUUUCAUAUAUAUAUAUAUAUAAUUUGUGGAUUUUUCUCUUUAUUUUCCAGGUUAUUUUAGAUUAUGUUUUUUGUUUUCCGAACUUAGAUCAGUUUAGUUAAUAUUUAAACAAACUUGUAGUUUAUUUUUAGAUUAGAUUAAUGUUAAUGAUAUUAAGAAAUGAUCACAUCAUAGUUACAAUUUAGAGUCUGAGUGAGAAAAUUAAUUUUAUAUCAUAAUUUGCCAUCUCUUUAUUACUCCACGUUAUUGACUUCAAGGAACAAGGAUGCAAUCGCGCGAUGAGCUUUGUUUUUUUAUACUUUCCAUGGCCCAUCGGCCGGGAGGGGGGGUGAGUGGAGGGGUCGCACGACUCGCUAGCUCAUACGAGAAAUCAUGUUAGCUUUAUGAGUAGCUAGGUAACAAAAGGACAAGACAAUGAAAGAAAAGCCAAUAUUCCUUUUAGGGAUAUAUUAUUCGAACCCUAUAAAUAAGUAAAAGGAAAGCUCCCACAAGCAAAGAAGAAACCCAUUUCAUUUGCUUUGCUUUUGCUUGUCCUAGAAAAUGGCAGAGUUCGAGAAGAUCCUCAGAGAGACUGAUACUAAGAAGAGGCUGUCAGUUCCUAUCAGGUUUCUCAGGUCUCUUCCACCUUUCAAAGGCAGCCAUGCCGUCACGUUUGAAGCUACUGACGAGAAAGGCAAAGCUUGGACCUUUCAAUGCUCCAUCCGCAAGACAGGACAGUACCCGAAGCCAGUCCUCACAAGAGGUUGGGUUGCAUUCGUUAAGAGCAAGAAGCUACACGUUGGUGACACGGUCAGGUUUAUUAAACGUAAGAACAGAGCUACUGCAGCAAUCUCUUACAAAGUUCGUGCUGAAAAGGCAAUCAAGAUCUUUGGUGCUCCAUUUGGCCAUGCACGGAUCUAGUCCAUUUCCCUAAUUAAUAAGCUAGCAAAUAACAGUGGCGCUAUGGUCGAGGUAAUGGGUGAGAAUGGUGGGCGCCUCCAAAACAAAGAAGAAGACCAAAUCCACCCUCGGGCCCUACCACAUGCAUAUUUUUAUGGCAUUAAUGUUUUUACAAAAAUAGUAUUAUGAUUCUCCUUGCGAUAAUUUGGGACUUCACAUCUGGGUGUUGAGAUACAGUUGGUUUUUCAUAAAAAAUUGGAUCUCUAUGACAUCUCGGAGGGAUGACAUUUUUUAGGAGGCGAAUCUCGACAAUUAUAAUGAUCUUAAUUGUUAAACAAAAUCCAGAGAAUAUCCAAAAUAUGGGUAACCGGGUCACCCCUGGAGUCAAUUUUUUUAUUAAAAUAAUAUUGCCUUUUUUUUUAUUGAUCCCAUUAGUUCGAACAGGUCACUAAAAUUCCGACCACAUUGAAAUGAUUUGUCCGUAACAGUCACUUAUAAAAAAAACCAGCCCUAAUCUAUGUCUUGAAUUUUCAGAAUCAAUCAACAAAGCCAGGUAGAGUUUAACAGCUAUAAUCAUUCAUGACUAGGAAAGCCAUUAUCACAAGUGAAAUAAAGACUACAUGACAUUUAGGUUAUAAUUGGAUUGACAUGAGCAAUAAAUCUUAGAGGUGUGUGUUCGACUGGUAAUUGCCAUAGCAUCAUUUUAGGUCGGAAUGGUUCGUGGCUGCAAAUUCGAUUGAGCAUGAACGUACCAAAGCAGAAGCUGUUCCCCUGCCGAUGGUUUUAUAGUCUGUUUGGUAUCAUCUUGACUACCUCUGGCUGUCUUCUUAUUAAGGUUUAGCUAAGUUCAUACCAACCUAGCAUGAGCCCAAUUCUUCUUCUGUUGCAAAAUAUAUAUACUUGUCAAUAUUUCAGAGGGUGUGGUAAAUGAAAUUACUUUCAUAGCGCAUUUAACUCAGAAAUCUUUCAGGCUGUCUUCACUGGGUAGAAUCAUUUUUCAAAUAAGCUUUAUAACAUUGUAACAUUUGACAAGCCGCUCAGACAUCAGGCCGCACUGCCUUUUGGAAACGGUUGAUCUUCAAUUAAUCGAUUGUACAAAUAAAUUGCACGAGCAAGAACACAACAGCAAUUUUUAUCUACAGUUUGUACGCAAUUGCUAUCUACAGGUUUCAUCAACAUAUAGAUCUUGUAAAUAAAAGAGCUGAUCCAUUGACCCCGCGCAGGACUAGCAGUCUGGAGUCCGGAGUCCACAUAUGUCCCACAGACGAGCCUAGAACAAGUGACCAUAAAUUAGAAGACGCCUUUGAAAGUAAGGGUGAUGAUACAAGUUAUAAUAUCUUUGAGGCAACUAGACAUAGACCCAUAUGACUCCUUGGAAAGAGCAAACGAAUUAAUGAAUCUACAAAAGCUACGAACAAAGCAGAUAAUUGCUAACCUUUGGCCUUGAAUGAGCAUUCGGCAUCUCUAUCAAUUUGAACACACACACACACACACACAGAGAUAAUGAGUUUAUAUGCAAACAUUUAGUAGUACGAAUAGAAAUAGAAGCACAAAUUAAUUAGUAACACUAAUUGUUCCAUCUCAUACUUGUGCUCCGUAGAAAAACAGGGUACUUUCUAGGUUCACAAAGCCUCUGAUAAAUGAUCAAGAUGCAUGGUUGCGCUACUCUAUGCUCAGAACAUGAAACUGUCAAAAUUUCCAGCUAAUCACUCUAAGGCACUGGCUUGAAAGAGUCACAACCGAUGAAUCCAUCUGAAUGACAAUAGAGAACUAAGAGAUGCUAACUGUAGACACACCUGGGGCUGCUUAUAAAUGUAUUCCUCUGUAAUUCGAACUGCAGUUGAGUUAAGAACCCAUCUGAUGAUAUCCAUGGAUGGCGCCACCCGCCAUCUUGGUCCACACAGAAAUGGAUGCCUGAGGGCAUCCAAACAACUGCAAAGCAUAUCAAAAUAGUCAUAAUAUGGUUUAAAAGGUUUGGUUGCAUCUCUCUCAAAUUAAUUCAGAUUCCAUUCAAUAUGGUUAACCUCGUGUUGUCUUUACUAUUGUCUAAUAAGAGAUGAACUGAUGAAUACCUUAUUCUUUUUGAAGGUUUGGUUGCCAAUAACAAGGAUAAAAGGUUCCAACCAGCACCCCAGUUCCGAUCAAGUAUCUACAAAACGAACUUAAACAUCCUAAUAAUUCAUGUGGCUUUUACUUAUAAAAAACAAUCUUUAUAGUUAUUGUGAAAGGUGUAGCUUAAAGUAUGGUAAUUUGCAUUCGUACUACUUGGAGUCCAACAUUUCCAGAAGGAGAAUUCCUAACUCACGCAAGCAUGAAGGUACAACUUCGUAAUUAGGAUCAGUACCAACACAUGAUGAGUAGUGCAUGAUGAUACUAUAGAUUUUUUUUCAUAUUGAGCAAAUAAAGCGACUGCCAAUGCAUUCCAGUCUUCAAGAAACUGGUAGAAUUAAUGAGAAACUUGAGCUUAUCCAGAGACAUAAUGCAAGUCAACAAAAAUUCCACCAGGUUCUGGAUUGAUUAAUCCAAAAAAAAAAGGGGUGGGGGGGGGGGGGGACUAGCAUGUUGUACCUUCAUGAGGAAUGAUUUGAACUUCAUGAAAAUUAAUGGAUCCAUGAGUUCCCGCAGCACCAUUUUUGCCAUCAUAGAUCCUACACAUCUUUCAACAUGGAUGAAACAGAAUUCAGUACAUCAGUAGCUCUGCUAGCAGCGCUAACAGGAUACACUAUUUGGUCUAUUGAUCUAUUCAUACCUCAUGUCAAAUGCAAUCAUGUGUGGGAGGUGCACUAAUUCAAUGGUGCUGAUUUAUUCAUGUCUUGUUUCGUUCCUCAAUAUUUGUGCUAAUAAACCUUUCCUCAACCAUAAGUCUAGAACCACAAAAAUUUCCCAUUAUUCAAUGCUGUUGAAGAGAUACCAAACUUUCAAAGCAGAAUACCAGAAAUAAAAUUUGACUUCAAUAGAUAAACUGAAAUUGUUGUGCAUCAAGUGUUGUCAUAUCAGAAAGCACAAAUCAACAAGAGUUUUCCUCAAACGCCCUUCUCCUUAAAGAAUUUCUUUCCUUAUUCUAUAUAUAUCAAAUUUAAUUCUAAAUUCAGAGAAUCUAAAAUUAAAAAAAACAGCAUAAGAGGGGGGAAAGCUUGCAUUUACUUUAAUAUGCCUAUCCACUGGGCUUAUAUGCACAUUCUCCAGCCUCAACUCUGUAUCCGAAAGUCCAUGACUGUGCAAGUAGUUCACCUUAAGUAAGCAAAACAAACACCUUAAACUGUAGUUGUGCACAGCAAAUGGCAACUAUUUGUGCACAGAUAAUACAAUUAAGAUAUACAUACUUGAUACUCCAAUCAAGAGAUCCCUCAUCAAUAUGCGUGUUAUUCGCAGCUGCCAAUAGACAGCAGGUCCUCCAACGGUGUCAUCUCCCACCCUCCUGACAGAUUCCUCAUCCAAUGCAAGAUUGGCUUUCAAGGUAGGAAGCCAAUCUGAUUGUUGAAGCCAAUGUCUCAAAGAAAAACUACCAUGAUACUGCCAUAAAAUAAAAAGGAAGAGAUAAAUUUCACAUCCCUAAACUCACAAAUGGAAAAAUUGAAAUAUGGGAAGAACUGCUUCCACACGCAACAUGCACGGAAAUGAAGGCUUGUCCAAUAAACGGAAAAUCUCCAACAGGGGUCUCCUAGAAAGACUAACCUACCUAGCAUAAACAUCUAAAUGGCUUCAUACAACGAACAUUUAAUGCACACGCAAUAUAAAGAUCUUACACAGAAACAGAACAUACCCCAUGUACCAGAGUAAACGAACCACGGCCACUAGAAGGUGAAGUAUAACCAUAACUUGCAUCGAAUAAGAAUGGUACAUAAGUUUACGGCGAAACCAGCUUCUUCAACACCUAAAAACACUUUAACAACACGAAAGUUACACCAAUAUUCAAAACCUCAAAUACCAAAUAAAGAAAACUCCAAAACAAAGCCCCAAACCUCUACUGCUCGCAUUCCUCUACGUUUUGCUUGAGUACUGAUAAGUUUCCCAAACACAACUUUAAUGUUAUACAAAGGGCUGCAAUUCCACAUUAUACUCAUCACCUCCAAUAAUCACACAAUAUCAAAAAAUCAAAUAAGAAAAGAAAGCUAACCUAUUAGAAUCCUUCACUAUUGCUUCAAAAACCACCUCAUCCGCCUGAAAAAAACCCAAUUCAGUUAUCCAUGCCAUAAUUAGCAGUGCUAAGAACAAUCACUUUUGGACAUUAAACACUAUCCUUCCAUCUCUUUCCGAUUCCAACGGAGCCACGGCCUUACUCGGCGACGAACACCCCAGCACCGUCCCUACUUCUCUCCUAGAACAACUGCUUCUCACACCGAUGAUACUACCAUUACUACGUCGUUAAAUCAGUUUCAUCGUCGACAAAUUAUCAGAAAGAGAACAGAAUCCGACUCCAUAUAUUGCCGCCGCCGUCAAUCGAUCAAUCCGUUACAACUCUAAGAAUAUUUUUUGAUUCAGAGAGGAGUUAGUUAGCAGAAGGAAGGAGAGGAAAGGGUGAAGAAACAGAGAAGAGAGUGAGAGAUGCGUGCAGGAAUCCGUAGCCCUGGGCUUGGCUCGUGUCAACUUCUGUUUUUCCGAAUAUCUCCUACAUUUCACCUCCUGUUAUUUUUUGUGUUUUGCGUACGGUGCACACUCCUAGGUCCGCCACGUCACUUUUCGUUGUUUCCCACGUUUUUGUUUUGGAGCCAAAAAAAUAAUUCUAUUAUUAUAGACUGUUAUGCUCAAGGUUGUUAAACCGGGAAUGUCUAAUGAAUUCAGUUGAAAAAUUCGUAAUUUAUAGCUCGACUCUUUUUUAAUUUUACUCGAGAUUGAAUUGACUUUUUAGUUAUGUUAACUCUAUUAAAUAUAUAUAUAUAUAUAUAUAUAUAUAAAUAAAUGAAAAAAUUAUUCUCAUUAUCCAUAUUUUUUCAAUUUGACUCCAGUUUUUAUUUAUAAUUAUAAUUCUAGGUAAAUAUAAUUUUUAAAUUUAAAUGAAAAUAUAAAUUUUUCCUCAUGUAUAAUAUAAUACAAACACUACAAAUCUCUCUUCAAACAUAAUUUCUCUCUCCUAAGAAAACCCUAAAUUGAUUUCUCUUUUCCAAUUGAAGAACAGAUCUGGUGGAAAUUUUAUGGGCAAGGGGAAGUCAACAACCCAAAAGCUUUGAGCUAGUUAUUUGGACUUUCUUACCUCUUUGAUCUUUUAUCCAGCCAUGUGUACGGUUAAGAACUGGUUCAGGGGUGUGGUGGUGCUGGUUAAUUACCCUUUGGAUUGAAAUAAACUACGGCGAUAAUUAGAAAAAAGUUAUGUUUUGAUCGCCCUAAUCGAAAUGACUUUUUGAUAAUUUUUUUUUUUUUUUUUGAUAAGAGUGGUAGUUACUCCCUUCGAAGAGUUGUUGGGGUUCUGACAUAACAGAUAUAUCAAAAACUGUAGAAAGGCCCAUCAUAUGUCCUCCUGGUGGGGUGUUUUAGUUUGUAUUUUUUUUAUUUUUAAUGGUAAUCAGAGAUAUUAACUAAUACUUUAAAAGGUACAUACUUUUUUUCAUUUUUUUUUGUUUUUUUGUUUGUUGAUUUUUUUUGUUUUGUCUUUCUUUUUUUUUUCCCACAUUUUUUCCCUUUUUUCCUUUUUUUUGGGCUUUACAUGUUUUUUUUUUCUUUUUUUCCAAGAUUGUCUUUUUUUUUGUUUUUUAUUCUUUUUUGUUUUUUUAAAUUAUCUUUGUCGAUUUUUUUAAUAUUAAACUAGUUGAAAAUUUAAUUCUGUUGUUUUUUUUCUUUAAAACAUUAUGGAUUACUACAAUGUUUCCCUACAUGAUUUUGUUUUAUGAAUUUUUUUUUUCAAAAUAGUCUUUGUCGAUUUUGCGUCGUAGUUUUUUUCUUUAAAAUAUUGUGGAUUGUUACAAUGUUUCCCCAUAUGGUUUUUGUUUUGCUACAAUGUUUCUCCACAUGUUUUUUUUUAAAUUAUCUUUGUCAAAAAAAUUUUAAUAUUAAGUUGGUUGACAAUUACAAUUGUCGAUUUCCUCACAUGUUUUUUUUUCAAUUUUUUCUUUUUAUUUUCCAAAAUUAUCUUCUUCUUUUUUUCAUAUUUUUGUGUUUUUUUUUAAAUUGUUUUUGUUGAUUUUAUUUUUUUAAUAUGGAGCUGGUUGAAAAUUUAACUUUGUAGUUUUUUCUCUUUAAAACACUAUGGAUUGCUACAGUGUUUCCCCACAUGGUUUUUUUUUUCUUUUUUUUAUGAUUUUUGUUUGUUUUUUUUUUCUAGAAUUGUCUUUGUCAAUUUUAUUUUUUUUAUAUUAAGCUGGUUGAGAAUUUAGUUUCGUAGUUUUUUUCUUUAAAACACCGUGGAUUGCUACAGUGUUCCCCCACAUGAUUUUUUUUUGUUAUGCUUUUUUUUAAAAUUAUCUUUAUCGAUUUUAUUAUUUUUAAUAUUGAGCUGGUUGAGAAUUAUAACUGUAGAUUUCCUCAUGAAACACUAUAGAUUGCUACAGUGUUUCCUGCAUGGUUUUUUUUCCUUUCAGUUUUUUUUGUUAUGAUUUUUUUCAAAAUUUUCUUUGUUCAUUUUAUUUUUUAAAUAUUAAUCUAGUUAAGAAUUUAACUUUAUAGUUUUUUCCUUAAAAACAUUGUAAAUUGCAAUAGUUUUUCUCCAUAUAUUUUUUUUAUUUUUUCCACAAACCCACAAAAACGCACAAGCAUGCCACAAGCCCGCGACAUCGCGCGGGUAUGACAUCUAGUUAAUAAACUAGUUUUUGAAGAAUAGUCAAUGGUUUUUUUAUCAGUUUUCAUCGGCAACGUCAAUUAACAAGAGUAGCUUAGAAAUAAGGUUUAUGUGUUGAAUAAUCAGUUAAUCUCUUGAUUCUAUCGAGUUGAUUAUUUCUCAGUAAAGGUGGCUAAUAACCAAUACCUAGUGCCUGGUAAGCCAAAGUGGUUGGUGAUUGAUACCUAUAAUAGGUCUUUUUUUGUAAAUUUACCGACUCUCUAAUGCUUAAGUAUUUGUUUUUAGAGAAAAUGUCAAUAUCUAUUAGAGAGAUAGAAUCUGAAAAUAUAUAUGCUAAAAAUUCUAUCAACUUGAAAAGAUUGAUUCUUUUCUUCUAAAAAAUCAAUAGGCCUUUAUAUAGUCCAUGAUUCUUAUUUUUUUUAUCGAGGAGAGGACCCCAAAGUCCUCCUUUUCUGAUAGUAUUAAAAUAUCUUUUAUGUAUUCAAGAGGAAAAAAAAUCUCUAACUCAUCACACAAAAAAGAUCUUUGACUUAUCACAGGAAAAAAGAUCUCUGACUCAUCAAAUCUUGUGGUUCAAUAUGGAGCAUGAUAAGAUUAUUAGAGCCACAUGUAUUUAGGUUCAAUGCUUGGUUGGUUCCAAUGAUGUUGAAUCUUGUGUUCGUCAGAUCCAUGUAUGUUUAGGCUCAACACUUAGUUGAACUCAAAGGUGUUGAGUCUGGUAGCUCUCUAGACCGAUUUAUACAUAUUUGGGCUCAGCGCUUGACUAAACCUAAGGAUGCUAAGUCAAGUAGCUAGCUAGACUCAUCUAUAUUUAGGCUCAAAAGGAUGUUGGGUCUGGUAGCUCGGUAGAUUAAUAUAUGUUUGGGCUCAGUACUUGACUGAACCUAAAAAUGCUAAAUCUGGUAGCUCACCACACCGACCUAUAUAUUUGGGUUCAGUGCUUGGUUAAACCCAAAAAUACUGGGUCAGGUAGCUCAUCAGACCCAUCUAUCUAUAUAUGAGCUCAAAAAGAUGCUGGGUCUGGUAGCUCGCCAGAUUUAUACAUGCUUGAACUCAAUGUUUGAUUAAAUUUAAAAAUACUAAAUUUAGUAAUUUACUAAACUCAUAUAUACUUAAACUCAGUAAUUAGCUAUACUUAAUGACAUUAGGAUAUCACCUUACCUUUAUUUCCUUAAUUUGAACAUGGUUUUUAGAUAAAUAACAUGCUGAUCUAUCACUGCAUCGAAUAACUUUGUAAAAUCAAAACAUUUUAUGUAACUUAAUUACAUAAACAACAACAUUUCACUUGCUUUUUUAUAUAAAAAGCAAAAAUUGGCUCGACCUGCUUAGCAUCUAUUAGUGCAAGAAAUGGCAAUCCAUCUAAAUUUUUAUCAUUAAACUAUGUACUAGUUAUGCGUAUGAAAGUUGUGUGUGUUAAAAGACCAAUAAUGAUACGGGUUGCGGUUUUUUUUUUUUUAAAAUAGUUGUGAUUUUAUAUAUAUAUAUACUGUAAGAUGAAUUUUUAUAUGUAAAGAAAUUUGAAACAAAAUUAUACAUGGGCAAUAGUAUAAAAAAAAACUAUUAACCUAAUCAAAUAAUCUUUUUCUUUAUAAUUAAAAAAAAAAAGAGCUAUCACAACAUAUCUUCAAUACUCAAGACACCACCGGGAGAAACCUCAUGAAGUAAAUUGCGUGAUUGAUUUUUGGUUAAAAUUCCAUGUUUUAUUAGUUUUUUUAUUUAUUUAAUGGUCACAUCAAUUCAGACUUCAGAGUCUUGACAACGUAGGGAUUGCCUCGCUUGUAGCUAGCAAUAGACAUGGAUUUGUUUUUCUUUUUUUCUUAUCAUUCUUCUUUAUAUCUUUUUUUUAUCGGAAUAUAUAUAACAUUCUGGACUUAAUGGAAAUAUUUUUUUUUUAAUUUAACAUGAGUAUCAGCUUGCGUGUACUUUGACUAAUCCUACAUACCCUAAAAUUAUCGACUAUAUAAAUCUAUAAUGAUCAUUAUAUAAACAAUUAUAAAAUUAAAAAUUAAAAAUACAAAAAAAACAAAUAUUUUAAUUUCAAAUUUUUAUCACAAAUAUCAUGUAGAUGGUUUUAAUGUCAACAUUCUUGACUGGCUACUAGCUAGCAUUUUUUUUUUCGUCCUUGCCAUCUACCGAGAUCGCACGAUUAAUAUUAUAUAUAUAUAUAACAGUAUACGCGCUAUCGCGCGAUAUCGCGUGGUGGAUAAAUCAUGCUAGCUUUUUACGUAGCAACCUUUACUUUAAUUGAAGUGGAGGUAGGUCCUGGUGGUUCCUUAUAAAUACGGAAAUGGAAAGCUCCCACAAACAAGAAGAAACUCAUUUCAUUUGCUUUGCUUUUGCUUUUGCUUGUCCUCGAAAAUGGAAAACUUCUGGAAGAUCCUCAGAAAGACUGAUGCUAAGAAGAGGCUGUCAGUUCCUAUCAGCUUUCUCAGGUCUCUUCCACCUUUCAAACUAGGCAGCCAUGCCGUCACGUUUGAAGCUACAGACGAGAAAGGCGAAGCUUGGGCCUUUCAAUGCUCCAUCCGCAAGAGAGGACAGUACCCGAAGCCAGUCCUCACAAGAGGUUGGGUUGCAUUCGUUAAGAGCAAGAAGCUACAAGUUGGUGACAAGGUCAGGUUUAUGAAACAUAAGAACCGAGCUACUGCAGCAAUCUCUUACAAAGUUCGUGUUGAAAAGGAAAUCAAGGUCUUUGGUGCUAUAUUUGGCUAUGCACGGAUCUAAUCCAUUUCCCUAAUUAAUAGCUCUGUAAGUCAAGCUAGCAAAUAAUAGUGAAUGAAUUGGAGCCAUGUUUCCCUCUUAGGGGACAUGUUAGAUUUCUAAGUUGGGUGAGUUUCAAGUUUCUUGAAUUCUCAUAUAUUUGUGCUGCUUCUGCAAUUAGUAUGUUUAACUUUGAAAAGCCAUCCCAUCUGCUAAGGUCUCUCAAGAUGUUUCCUUCUGCACCUUUCUUUCAAGAAUAUGGAAUUAGUACUGAUCUCUGAAUAACGCAAUAAGUAGCUCGCGAGGCCACUUCUCAUGCAAGGGUACGUAGUAGUAGUAAUGUGGUAUAUGUGGUUGCGCUCUUGCAUAUGAAAUGAGAAUUAUUUUGCAUAUUCGGCAUCUUGACGAAAGAAAGUAACGAUGUUGGCUUAAAUCCGUUGCGUGAUUGGCUCUAUAAGAGGUAUUAUUUCAUGUUUAAAAUUAUGAUAUCAAAGUGGGGGUUUGAUAAAAUCAUAGAGCAUUAAUUGGUGACGAGGAGGCUUGUUGGUUCGAUCAGGGAAUCCUCGUCACAAAACUAUAAAAAUGGCACUCGUGCGGUUCGUUUCUUUAUUGGCUUACAAUGGCGCUAUGGUCACGGUGAUGGUGAGAAUGGUGGCCGCCUACAAAACGAAGAACAAGACCAAAUCCACCCUGGGCCCUACCACAUGCAUAUUUUUAUGACAUUAAAGUUUUUACAAAAAUAGUCUUAUGAUUCUCGUUGCGAUAAUCUGAUACUUCGCAUCUGGGUGAUGAGAUGCUGUCAAUUUUUUCAUUAAAAUAAUGUUGCUUUUAUUUAUUUAUUAUUGAUCCGAUUAGUUCCAACAGGUCACUAAAAUUCCGGUCACAUUGAAAUGAUUUGUCCGUAAUAAUAUUCAAUAAAAAAAAAAACCCAGCCCUAAUCUAUGCCUUGAAUUUUCCGAAUUAAUCAACAAAGCCAGGUAGAGUUUAACAGCUAUAAUCAUUCAUGACAAAGAAAGCCAUUAUCACAAGUGAAAUAAAGACUACAUGACAUUUAGGUUAUAAUUGGAUUGACAUGAGCAAUAAAUCUUAAAGGUGUGUGUUCGACUGGUAAUAUAUAGCCAUAGCAUCAUUUUAGGUCGGAAUGGUUCGUGGCUGCAAAAUCGAUUGAGCAUGAACGUACCAAAGCAGAAUUCAGCUGUUCCCCUGCUGAUGGUUUUAUAGUCUGUUUGGUAUCAUCUUCACUACCUCUGGCUGUCUUCUUAUUAAGUUUUAGCCACAUUAAGGGUAGAAUCAUUUUUCAAAUAAAGCUUUAUAACAUUGCAACAUUUGACAAGCCACUCAGACAUCAGGCCGCACUGCAUUUGGAAAAGGUUGAUCUUCUUCGAUUAAUCGACUGUACAAAUUACACGAGCAAGAGCACAACAGCUAAUUACACUCCCAACAGCAAUUUCUAUCUACAGUACUUGCGCGCAAUGGCUAUAUACUGGUUUCAUCAACACAUAGAUCUUGUAAAUAAGAGAGCUGAUUCACUGACCCCGCGCAGGACUAGCAGUCUGGAGUCCACAUAUGUUCCGCAGGCGAGCCUAGACAAAUCAAACAUCUCAGGAGGAACUUGCACGCAAAGUUCUUGAACUAUACUGCUUGGUGUAACAUCAUUUUGAUUAAGGUUGUCCCCGAGACUCAUUGUCACCUCAAUGUCAGCUGAAACAAGUUUGGCCACUGGAAGGCUCGAUGGAAACUCCUUAUACGGGACAAGUUUCCUCCAUUUUUUAGCUGACAAUUUCUGGGCUAAAGAAUCUUGAUUGUUUGGUUGCCCAAAGGAUAACUUCUCCGAUGUCUUUUCCUCCUUAAGAUACAACCGUCUCCCAGAUGUCAACCGGAACAAAGAGUUUACUUCCAAUUUUCCAGUUAUACCACUUUUGUCAUGAGGCCAGUCUCGACCAUUCAUGACCAUGAAGCCAAUGUCCGAUGUGAAGGAAAUACUAGUAUUUAAUUUUGAUGCUCUAUUUAUAGCUAGAUAAACGUCACCAAUCAGGACAAGAGCAGAAGGCUGACGAAGGGUCAAUCCUAUUUGUCUCCCAGUACAGUAUAAUAGACGCAGUUUUCCUGGAAGCAACUCCAACCAGUUCUGCACAUUGAAGUAGAGCAGAAAUUUCAAUAUUGAGUAACCCUUGAGAAUAAUCAAUCAAUAAAACGUUUCAUGUUCUACCAGAAGGAAGAAUCCAAAGAAUAUUGGCUGAUGAAGAAGUACAACAGCUAAAGAACCAAAUAAGUUUCUUUUUCUUUAUAUUGUAUCAAUGCAUUUAGCAGUUAGACCAUUUCACAUAAAGUGUUCACGUAACAAAACGAGAGAGUAAAUGGCAAAGAACAAGUGACCAUAAAUUAGAAGAAGCCUUUGACAGUAAGGGUGAUGAUACAAGUUAUAAUAUCUUUGAGGCAACCAGACAUAGAUCCAUAUGACUCUUUGGAGAGAGCAAAAGAAUUAAUGAAUCUACAAAAGCUACGAACAAAGCAGAUAAUUGCUAACCUUUGGCCUUGAAUGAGCAUUCAGCAUCUCCAUCAAUUCGAUAAAACAGGAAAGCCUAUUACGCUAUCACAACAAAAUUCACCCGUCAGUUUACAUUGCCAAUGUAAUGUCACUGCGAGCUAUAAACCAACACCAGAUAUAUAAUGAGUUUACAUGCAAACAUUUAGUAGUUCACAUAGAAAUAGAAGCACAAUAAGAUAUCUUUCAAGUAACAGGAAAUUAAAGUACGGUAAUUUGCAUUCGUACUACUUACUUGGAGUCCAACAUUUCCAGAUGGAGAAUUCCUACUGAGGAUUUGCAAUAAAAACUCACGCAAGCAUGAAGGUACAACUUUGUAAAUAGGAUCUGUACCAACACAUGAUGAGUAGUGCAUGAUGAUACUAUAGGAUAUUUUUUCAUAUUGAACAAAUAAAGCGACUGCCAAUGCAUUCCAGUCUUCAAGAAACUGGUAGAAAUUAAUGAAGAGAAACUUGAGCUUAUUCAGAGACGUAAUGCAAGUCAACAAAAAUUCCACCAGGUUCUGGAUUGAUUAAUCCAAAAAAAAAAGGGGUAGGGGGGUGGGACUAGCAUGUUGUACCUUCAUGAGGAAUGAUUUGAACUUCAUGAAAAUUAAUGGAUCCAUGAGUUCCCGCAGCACCAUUUUUGCCAUCAUAGAUCCUACACAUCUUUUCAACAUGGAUGAAACAGAAUUCAGUACAUCAGUAGCUCUGCUAGCAGCGCUAACUGGAUACACUAUUAGGUCUGUCUAUCUAUUCAUACCUCAUGUCAAAUGCAAUCAUGUGUGGGAGGUGCACUAAUUCAAUGGUGCUGAUUUAUUCAUGUCUUGUUUCAUUCCUCAAUAUUUGUGCUAAUAAACCUUUCCUCAACCAUAAGUCUAGAACCACCAAAAUUUCCCAUUAUUCAAUGCUGUUGAAGAGGUACCAAACUUUCAAAGCAGAAUACCAGAAAUAAAAUUUGACUUCAAUAGAUAAACUGAAAUUGUUGUGCAUCAAGUGUUGUCAUAUCAGAAAGCAUAAAUCAACAAGAGUUUUCCUCAAACGCCCUUUUCCUUAAAGAAUUUCUUUCCUUAUUCUAUAUAUAUCAAAUUUAAUUCUAAAUUCAGAGAAUCUAAAAUUAAAAAAACAGCAUAAGAGGGGGGAAAGCUUGCAUUUACUUUAAUAUGCCUAUCCACAGGGCUUAUAUGCACAUUCUCCAGCCUCAACUCUAUAUCCGAAAGUCCAUGACUGUGCAAGUAGUUCACCUUAAGUAAGCAAAACAAACACCUUACACUGUAGUUGUGCACAACAAAUGGCAACUAUUUGUGCACAGAUAAUACAAUAAUACAAUUAAGAUAUACAUACUCCAAUCAAGAGAUCCCUCAUCAAUGUGUGUUAUUUGCAACUGCCGAGAGACAGCAGGUCCUCCAAUGGUGUCAUCUCCCACCCUCCUGACAGAUUCCUCAUCCAAUGGAAGAUUGGCUUCCAAGGUAGGAAGCCAAUCUGAUUGUUGAAGCCAAUGUUUCAAAGAAAAACUGUGUUAUUUGCAACUGACGAGAGACAGCAGGUCCUCCAACGGUGUCAUCUCCCACCCUCCUGACAGAUUCCUCAUCCAAUGCAAGAUUGGCUUCCAAGGUAGGAAGCCGAUCUGAUUGUUGAAGCCAAUGUCUCAAAGAAAAACUACCAUGAUACUGCCAUAAAAUAAAAAGGAAGAGAUAAACUUUCACAUCCCUAAACUCACAAAUGGAAAAAUUGAAACAUGGGAAGAACGUCCUAGAAACAGAAUAUAAAAUCUCCAACAGGGCUUCACACAGCGAAACAUUUAAUGCAUACGCAAUAUCUAAACCUUACACAGAAACAGAACAUACCCCAUGUGCCAGAGUAAACGAACCACGGCCACUAGAAGGUGAAGAAAUAUAACCAUGAAAUUGCAUCGAAUAAGAAUGGUAAAUAAGUUUACGGCGAACCAGCUUCUUCAACACCUAAAAACACUUUAACAACACCAAAGUUACACCAAUAUUCAAAACCUCAAAUACCAAAUAAAGAAAACUCCAAAACAAAGCCCCAAACCGCUAUUGCUCGCAUUCCUCUACGUUUUGCUUGAGUACUGACAAGUUUCCUAAGCACAACUUUAAUGUUAUCCAAAGGGCUGCAAUUCCACAUUAUACUCAUCACCUCCAAUAAUCACACAAUAUCAAAAAAUCGAAUAAGAAAAGAAAGCUAACCUAUUAGAAUCCUUCACUAUUGCUUCAAAAACCACCUCAUCCGCCUAAAAAAACCCCAAUUCAGUUAUCCAUGCCAUAAUUAGCAGUGCUAAGAACAAUCAUUUUUGGACAUUAAGCACUAUCCUUAGUGAUAAUAACCGAAAAUCACAACGAAAUUAACAAUAUUUAACAGAUAAAGAUUAAAAAAAAAAAUUGAAGUAGACUUUUCUGGCUUACCCGGCCACCAAGGCCAAUACUGACACGAUCAAGCACCUUAAAAUCAGACAUCUUGAACCUCAUAACAUUUCCUCCUCCUCCUCAAUCACACAUCUCCUUCCAUCUCCUUCCGAUUCCAACGGAGUCACGGCCUUACUCGGCGACGAACACCCCAGCACCGUCCCUACUUCUCUCCUAGAACAACUGCUUCUCGCACCGAUGAUACUACCAUUACUACGUCGUUUAGUCAGUUUCAUCGUCGACAAAUUAUCAGAAAAAGAACAGAAUCCGACUCCAUAUAUUGCGGCCGCCGUCGUUGUCGCCGCCGUCAAUCGAUCAAUCCGUUAGAACUCUAAGAACAUUUUUUGAUUCAGAGACGAGUUAGUUAGCAGAAGGAAUGAGAGGAAAGUGUGAAGAAAUAGAGAAGAGAGUGAGAGAUGCGUGAAGGAAUCCGGAGCCCUGGGCUAGCCUCGUGUCAGCUUUUGUUUUUCCGAAUAUCUCCUAAAUUUCACCUCCUGUUAUUUUUUAUGUUUUGCGUACCCUGCACACUCCUAUCUCCGCCACGCCACUUUUCGUUGUUUCCCAAAGAAUUAUUAUUAAUUAUUAAUUAACAAUACCAAAGUUUUAAGACCCGGCUCGGUGGCCGGCCCGGUCCAAAGCUCGGGUUCUGGGUUUUGGCCGGGUCUCCGGGUUUGGCCAGGUCGGCCGGGUCAAUUCUUUAAAAAAAAAAAAUCAAGUAAAAAAAAAACAAAAGUCAACGGGUUUGUCACCGGGUCUUGACCGGGUCAGCCGGGUCACACCGGGUUUUUCCUUCCCCUGUUUUUUCGUCAACCCGGCCCGGUUCCAGCCCCGGGUCGGCCGGGUCCCGGGUCGACCCACCGGGCCGGGCCAGGUUUCAAAACUAUGAACAAUACUCUAAAUAAUGUCCAAACCACUAUUUCCCAACACCAAAAUCAUUUUAGAUUACAACAAUAAUUUAUAUUUUUUAUAAUUUUUUUUAUCCAUUUUUCAUUUUUUUUUUACUUUUUUUUUACACUUUUUAUUUUUUUUAUUUUUUUUCCCCAAAAUUAUUUUUGUCAAUUUUAGUUUUUUAAUAUUGAGUUGGUUAAAAAUUUUGCUUUGUAAUUUUUUUCCUUUAAAAUACUAUGGAUUGCUACGGUGUUUUUCCACAUGGUUUUUCUAUUUUAUUUUUUUAUUUUUAAAAUUAUAUUUGUCGAUUUUACUUUUUUAAUAUUAAGCUGAUUAAGAAUUUAGUUUUGUAAUUUUUUUCUUUAAAACAUUGUUGAUUGCUACAGUUUUUUUUCACAUGGUUUUUUUUAUUUGUUUUUUUAUGAUUUUCUCCAAAAUUAUCUUUUUUAAUUUUAUUUUUUAAUAUUGAGCUGGUUAAAAAUUACAGUUACAAUAUAUAAGGGAAGCACUGUAGCUUUCCUCGCAAAUUACUGUGGAUUGCUACAAUGUUUUUUCCCACAUAGUUUUUUUUUGUUUUUUUUUAAAUUAUCUUUGUUAAUUUUAUUUUUUGAUAUUAAGCUGGUUAUGAAUUACAAUUAAGUAAUAAGCUAAAGGGUGUAGGGAAUUCACUGUUCACCCACGCCCAAUGCAUUGUGGAUUACAAUAGUAAUCCACAGUGCAUUCCUCUCUUUUUUUUCAUCUUUUUUUUUUCAAAUUUCCCCCUUUUUUUCCAAAAUGACUUUUCUUUUUUUUUUUUCCAACUUUUUGCUUUUUUUUUGUUUAUUUUUUUCAAAAUUAUCUUUGUCGAUUUUACUUUUUUAAUAUUGAGCUGGUUAAAAAUUUUGCUUUGUAAUGUUUUUCCUUUAAAAUACUGCGAAUUGCUACGGUGCUUUUUCACAUGGUAUUUCUAUUUUAUUUUUUGAUUUUUUAUAAUUAUAUUUGUUGAUUUUAUUUUUUUCAAUAUUGAGCUGAUUGAUAAUUUAGUUUUGUAAUUUUUUUCUUUAAAACAUUGUUGAUUGCUUACAGUGUUUCUCCGCAUGAUUUUUUUUUGUUUUGUUUUUUGAUGAUUUUAUCCGAAAUUAACUUUUUUUGAUUUUAUUUUUUAAUAUUGGACUGGUUAAAAAUUACAGUUACAAUAUGUGAGAAAAACACUGUAACUUUCCUCGCAAAUUACUGUGAAUUGCCAUAGUGUUUUUUCGCACAAGGUUUUUUUCCAGUUUCUUUUAUGUUUUCUUUUUUUGUAAUAUUUUUUUCCAAAAUUAUCUUUGUCAAUUUUAUUUUUUUAAUAUUGAGCUGGUUAGAAUUUAACUUUGUAAUAAAGCUUAAUCAUGUGGAGAAAGCAUUGUACCUUUUCUCACAAAACACUAUGAAUUGCUAGAGUGUCUCUCAACAUAGUUUUUUUUUUCUUAUGAUUUUUUCAAAAUUAUCUUUGUUCAUUUUAUUUUUUUAAUAUUGAGCUGGUUGAGAAUUAUAAUUACAAGUCAUUACAAAUAAGGCUAAAUCAUGUGGGGAAGCAUUGUAGCUUUCAUCACAAAACAUUGUGAAUUGCUACAAUGUUUCCAACAUGGUUUUUUUGUUAUUUUUUUUCUAAAAUUGUAUUUGUCGAUUUUAUUUUUUUAAUAUUGAGCUUAUUGAGAAUUUAUCUUUGUAAUUUUUUUCUUUAAAACACUGUGAAUUGUUGCAGUGUUUCCAACAUGAUAUUUUUUUAUUUUUUCCAAAAUUAUUUUUGUCGAUUUUUUUUAAUAUUGAGCUGGUUAAAAAUUAUAAUUACAAUAAAGCUAAAUCAUAUCGGGAAAGCGUUGUAGCUUUUCUCACAAAACACUGUGAAUUGCUACAGUAUCUCUCUAAAUGGUUUUUUUAUGAUUUUUUUCUAAAAUAGUCUUUGUUGAAUUUAUUGGAGAAAACACUAUAGUUUUCCUCACAAAACAUUGUCAAUUGCUACAACGUUUUUCCUCAUGGGUUUUUUUUCCUUCCAAAAUUAUCUUUGUUGUUUUUUUUUUUAAUAUUAAGUUGGUAGAGAAUUUAGCUUUGUAAUUUGUUUUCUUUUUAUUAACAGAAAAGCUAAAAAAUACGGCGAAAACAAUCAUUUUGUUCAGUCUCUAAGUUUUUGAUUACCAAAACAACUUUUUUUUCCCAUCAUGAAAUAUUGGCUUCAUCAUACCUUUAUUUUUAUUACUUAUCUAGCGCUGGUUCACAAUUAUAACACUAUCAAGUACAUUUGUUUUAUAAAGCCGCGGCAGCGCGCGGGCAUGCCAUCUCGUCAAUACUCUAAAUGGUGUGGGGGAAUCACUGUUCCCCCACACCCAAAAUAACUAUGGAUUACAACAGUAAUCCACAGUGCAUCCAUCAUUUUCUUUUUCUUUUUGCAUUUUUUCAUUUUGUUUUCCAACUUUUCCAUUUUUUUUCAACUUUCCUCUGUUUUUUAUUUUUGCAUUUAUUUUUUCUUUUUUUUUCCAAAAUUAUUUUUGUUGAUUUUACUUUUUAAAUAUUGAGCUGGUUAAAAAUUUUGCUUUGUAAUUUUUUUCCUUUAAAAUACUGUUGAUUCCUUUAAAUUUUGCUUUCUAUUUUAUUUUUUUAUUUUUCAAAAUUAUAUUUGUCAAUUUUUUUUAAUAUUGAGCUGAUUAAGAAUUUAGUUUUGUAAUUUUUUUUAAAAAAAACAUUGUUGAUUGCUACAGUGUUUCUCCGCACGGUUUUUUUUUGGAUUUUCUCCGAAAUUAUCUUUUUUUAUUUUAUUUUUUAAUAUUGAGUUGGUUAAAAAUUACAGUUACAAUAUGUGAGGAAAGCACUGUAACUUUCGUCGCAAAUUACUGUGGAUUGCUACACUAUUUUUUCCCACAUGGUUUUUUUUUGUUUCGUUAUGUUUUUCCCUAAAAUUAUCUUUGUCAAUUUUAUUUUUUAAAUAUUAAGUUGGUUAAGAAUUGCAAUUACAAGUAAAUACAAGUUUUUCCUCACAAAACACUAUAGAUUGAUAUAGUUUUUCCUCACAUGGUUUUUUUUUCCAUUUUCUUUUGUGUUUUUUUUUUGUAAUAUGUUUUUUCAAAAUUAUCUUCGUCGAUUUUUUUUCAUAUUGAGUUGGUUAGAAUUUAACUUUGUAAUAAAGCUUAAUCAUGUGGGGAAAGCAUUGUGGAUUUCCUCACAAAAUAUUGUGGAUUACUAUAGUGUCUCUCCACAUGAUUGUUUUUUCUUAUAAUUUUUUUCAAAUUAUCUUUGUCAAUUUGAUUUUUUUUAAUAUUGAGUUGUUUGAAAAUUACAAUUACAAGUCAUUACAAAUAAGACUAAAUCAUGCGGGGAAGCAUUGUAGCUUUCAUCACAAAACACUGUGAAUUGCUAUAGUGUUUCCAACAUGAUUUUUUUCCCUUUCGUUUGGUGUUUUUUUGUUAUUUUUUUCUAAAAUUGUCUCUGUCGAUUUUUUUUAAUAUUGAGCUAAUUAAAAAUUUAGCUUUGUAAUUUUUUCUUCUUUAAAACACUUUGAAUUGUUACAGUGUUUUCCCAUAUGAUUUUUUUAUUAUUUUUUUAAAAUUAUCUUUGUCGAUUUUUUUUUAAUAUUGAAUUGGUUAAGAAUUAUAAUUACUGUGGCACAUCACCCGCGCGGCUUUGGCGGGUGAUUUUCAUUCGUUUCGUUGAUUUGAUUCGUUGGGAGUCGCCACCUAGUAUUUAAUUGAGGAGUACUAGGAAACCCGGGUGUACUGGUCUUGUCAGAUAUUCACGGGUAAGGGACUUGUUGUGGUUAGGGAAGGUAUUAGCACCCCUAGCGCACCCUACCUGAGGUAAGCUGCUUCGCGAUUUGAUGUAAUUUAAAAUUUUUGAAAGUUGUCUUGCUAAUGAAUUAAAAAUAGAAGAAAAGUUCUCCUCGGUAAGGAGAUCCUUAUCUUAUCGGAUAAAAAAACCAUAUUGCUCUAGCAUCAAUAAAAACAAAACAAAUUUUUCUGUUUAAUAUCAAGAAUGCAUCUUACGUAUAAGAUUAAAAUCCUCAAUACCAAAAAAAAAAUAUUUUUUGAUAUUUGUUUUUUGAAAUAUAAACCAAAUUCAAUGCAAACUAAAACAUUUAAUUUUUUUAUUUCUUUUUAAUUUUAUCAUAACAACACAUACAUAAAAAUAAUAACAAAACACCCACUCAAAUACUUUACUUUUACUAUGUCUAAGCACACACCCAUUACAUAAUUACAAAUCAAUCAAAAUUUAAAAUAAACAAAUAGUACAUUAAACAAAACAAAAAAAAUACAAAAUAGCCCCAAAACAAUCUGGGAUAACAGGGAAAGCCUUCUGCACCACCAAAACAGCAGCAGUGCGUCUCCUCCACGCGCCACCGUCACUGGCGGCGCGUGGGUUCACGUGCCGCCGCAAAAAAAAACAGGCAGCAGGGGAGAUCCAAAGCGGCUUCUCCCUUCUUCCUCACCGACAGUGACUGCUACCUCUACCUGCAACAAGAAACACAAAAAAAAGGCCACAAACAGUUGAUUUUAGCUUUUUCUUUCUUUGUUUUUCAGAUCUGCAUUUCUCAUUUCUCCUUCUUCGGACCUACUUCUUGCGGGUCAGUUUGUUAUGGGUUUCGUCUUCUUCUCCUUUGCUUCGGGUGGCAGGUCUGGCGAUUGUAGAGGGGGGCAGCGGCGUUGAUGAUCUCCACUCCUGUUGGUUGUCGCGGCGGUUGGGUUUGCUGCUAGAGGAAGAAGGCGUUGCUGCACGAGGAGAGGGAUGUCGUGUCCGGUCCGUCAUUGAGGUCAAAAGUGAGGGAAUAGUCGAGGUCUGUAAGAUACUGAAUCUCCAAGUGAUGGCAGCGCUGUUGUGGCUGUUGGGUGGAGGAUUUGGGUCUGUGGGGGCUGUGAGGGGUUGUCUUGUGGCCGGCUGGUUCUCUGUGGGGGGCUGGUUGAGAGAGGAGAGGCUGGGAGAGGGAAGGUGAAUAUGGUCGGGGGGAGCGGCCACGAAAGAAGCAAAAUCGAGAACUAGUGGGGGGCAGCGGUUGCUCUUUUUGUUUUUUCAAGUGGGGAGCGCUGCCGUUUGGUUAGAGGUAGGUUUAGGUUUUUAGGGUUAGGGUUUUUUUUGUAUUAUCUUUCAAAUGUGCAAAAUUGGCCCCUCUUUUGUGUGUGUUGAAGACCAGUAUUUAUAGGUAAAAAUGUUGUUAGGUCUCAAACUUGGUCCCUCAACUUCUUUUUUUGUAAAUUUUGAUCUUUCUUAUUUUUUU
This 141242-nucleotide long non-coding RNA is filed under the name Populus trichocarpa (black cottonwood). Its description in RNAcentral is "long non-coding RNA (PTRI_LNC003391)". Lineage: Eukaryota; Viridiplantae; Streptophyta; Magnoliopsida; Malpighiales; Salicaceae. The record is from RNAcentral.